UUUUUUUUUAUUUUUUUGUUUUUUGUUUUUUGCACAGGUUACAAAAUGUAUAAUUUGACAAAAUAUAGACAGCACACAUCAACAAUAGAUUCAUCAAAUACAAUAGAAGAUUAGUCUUUGAAUACAAUUCAUCAUAUUAGUCUCCGAAUACAAUUCAUCAUAUUAGUCUCCGAAUUAAAAAGACCGAACAAAGAUAGAACAUUAUAUUACAAGUCUCGAGACCGCGAGUAGCGAGUUUGUCUUCGCAUUACAAGUCGAUAUCGAUCAUCUAAACUACCAUCACAUAGAAGAGAGCUGCGGUCAUCACGAUGAGCAUCAUCACGAUGAAACUCGUCUUCAUCCGGUUCCUCCAACGCUCCCUCCCCUCUCCCGCUAGAUAGCGGGCGUAUCUAGAUUCGGCCUCGGCCCUAGUGGUGUACCCUUUGUAACUGUUACCGCUGAAUCGGUGAACCUGUCUCCGACACUCCUCCCAGUCAUCGUAGACUCCGGGAACCUUACCCUUGUACACGACAUACGUCGGCAUCACUAUGCACUAGCCAAACGAAACGUUAGUACCAAUUCACAGACAAUACAUAAGCAAUAUAUAAUUAUGCAACAGAACGAUCGGAAGAGAAAGACAUUAAUAGCAUCGAUUACAUCUAAGUUGAACGACUCUCAAAACCAAAGAGACAUACUACAAGUUCAUUAAAGUUUAAUUACAACAUGAGCCAAUCGAUGUUUCAGAACUAGACAACUCGACUCAAGGGACCGGAGCGUGGAUGAAGCCGCCGUCUAUCGUGGGAGUCAUGAAAGAACGGGCGUUGUCAUCCUGCAUUUGUAGCAUUGUGUCGAUGUCACUGUUGGACGGUUGAUUUCUGAGGUAGAACUGCCCCGAGGUACGAAGGACAUCUUGAUGGAUGAUUUCCGCAAACUCCGACUGGAUGCGAAAGAAUUCUUGUCGGAGGUCCGCGUCCUGGAUUGCCGACACGCUCGCGGCCCAAUCUUGGAGUUUACUCGGUAGCAGAAGUUGAUGAUGGUCCCGUACGAUCGCCCGCAUGUGAUGGAUGGCGUAGUAGGCACCCUUCUGACCGCCAGGCGGCUGCUUGACGUAGCAGAACGUCGUAUUGUGGGAGAACACGUGCUUGCCGUACUUACGAAUAGGCCUGGUGAAGGUGCCUCCAGAUUGGGCGUAGCCGGGGAGAACAUCAUCAAGAACCUUCUUGACAUUUGUGUAGUCUACGUUCGACUGACGGUCCGGGUCGAAAUACGUGGCCAUGGAAUAUUUGGGGCUUAGGAGGAUGAGCGUGCAACGUGUGUCACUGCAGAAAACACGGAAUGUUAAAAGAAAAAUGAUCGAAAAGUAAGAAUUCAUAUGUUACGGGCCGGUUGAGGGGAGGACUUACUCGGGAAAGUAAGGCACGAGGAAGUUAUCCUUAUCUUGGUUUGCCAGAAUGACGCCUUCGAGGUAAGAACUCGCGACUUGCCGGUCCCCAGCGUUGCCCAAGAUCUUGGCACGCAUGUAGAAGGGGUCGACUAUCACGAUGUUCGGGGUCUUGUCGCGAAUGAUCCGCAUCUCCAUACUCAGCGAAAAUAGCCGAACGAAGGUGUAGUGCAGCGGAUGAAGGUUAAACAUAGCAAAGAUGUCAUCAAACCGCAGGACGAUCGUACCCCCGAUGUCGCCAUCCACAAAGCCAUUGCCCUCUGGCACCUUGGCCACGAAAACCGGGUAUGCCACAUCCUUCUCUCUGAGACGCCGCUUCUCCAAAGAAAGAACACUGUCGUGCAGACUCCGCAUAGCACCGGUUGCAGCAUUGAGCAUAUUUGGUGGUAGCAUCGCCCUACCCGCCACAUGCACCCUCCUCGAGAUAUCCUGCGGUGAAGGUGGCCCGUCCUGAGCACGGAUCGUACUCGGUGCCGGCUGGCUCGCACCCUUCUUACUCUUUCUUUUGCGUGCCUUCUUCUUCUCCUGUAAUGGGACCGAGUUCUGCUCACAGACCGCCUUCUUGAGUGUGUUGGGGCUGAUAAUAUUUCGCACCUCGCCUAUCUGAGGCUCGGUGAAGUCGGCAGCUGGAGGCGUCUCCUGAGAGCUGAACGCCAGACGGCGCCUGUUGCAACUUGGCUUCUCCGCGGUACGAGCUAGAUCGCACACGUCUUUUGUUGGGUUUGGUUCUCGAGAAGGAGGCCCCAUGAAGUCGCCAUCGUACCCAUGCUCGGCAAAGUACUGAUCGACGUUGCCAAAUGUAUCAUCGUCGUCGUCGUCGUCGUUCUGAUCCUGUGCCAUAUGCAUGUUUGGAUCCAGUGGCAUAGGGAUGUCCGGCACCGUUACGGCGGUCUUGCCAUGGGGCCGACUUGGCGCCGGCACGACUGGCGGUGUUGUCUUUGGGGUGGUGUCCCCCGCCCCCAAACGAAUCUGGCUCUUCGGCCAAAGCAGGGGCCAGCUUAGGCAGGCGCUAAGGGUCAUCACGUCAUCAUCGUCGGCCCCGACGGGUCGAAUCGGAGGUAACAAGUCGUCGCAGCCUGGCAGCACCCGAACCAGUUGAACCCUAAACAAGUUGGGUGGCAUCUGGGUACCGUCGAACAAGGGGUUGCCCGGUUGAACGAUUUUGCCCUUGGCGACAUCGACCAACUCGUUGUUCACGAAGUGGAGGAGAGUGCACGGAACCUCGGCGGCGCCCUGCGAAAACAUGUAGGGCGUCAGGGAUGCCCAGUCAAAGGCAAGGAGAUGAAGUCCUCGGUCGAGAGAGGCUUAAUUAGUUACCGUGAUGAUGUCGUCGAGCUCGGCUAAUGUCGAGGCACCGCCAACGGCGGGCGUGCAGUUGACGGAGCGGCCGCUUGCUGAAGAGGUGCCGGCCGGCGUACACCCGGGUGCAUUAAGCUCCCGUGCCGGCGUCGGAGACACCAAUGGCCCCGCCAUCGCAUUAUGCGAGUUGCUGGCCGUGAAGCUAGGAAUCGGGGGCGGCCCCUGUUGGCCGCCCGCAAUCCAUGCACUCAACCCCGAGAUCAAGGUAGGCACAAGGGCGGUGAUCGUCGCUCCGAGUCGUUGUUCCACUUGCUCUUGGACAAUCUCCGGAAUCCGCGCCACCUGUGCCUUGAGUUCUUGAACCUCUCGCGCCUGGCUUUCCGAGCUGGUCUUUUUCUCCUUCCGCACACCAGCGGUAUAGUAUGACCCCCAUUUUGUCGACAAGCCUUUGACGGCCACACGACCAGCUGACGUCGGCUUACUGAGCUUAUCCUUGUUCUUCAUUAUAUUCAACCCCCUAUUUAGAGUGGUGUCCCAAGGGUUGCUCUGAGUCGACCCCGCGCUACUGCUUUCAGUCGCUUGCGGAAGGAAUGUGAACCAUUUAGAAAUUCGGCUUCAUUAAUUAGAAUGCAACCAUAUGGAGCUAAUUACGCGGGGGUGUAUUCCUUACCAGAACAAGCUCAAGCUGCCUGGUCUUCGGAUCCGUGGUAAGCUCCUUUGUUUUCGGGUCCUUCUUGUACCGGGCCCUGACAAAGUUCCUGGUCUGCUUGUCACCGUAUUUAUCGAAGAGGGGCGGUAGGCCUUGCUCGGCACGGUCCGCCUCCUCCUUGUCCCAUAUAGGCUCCGCCACUCUGUAACCGCCGGGACCGAGUGUGUGUUCCCCUAUGUUCAGCUCCCGCAUUUGUUUCCCCCACUCACUUGAUUGGGAGCUUGCGGUGCUCGAGCAAUUGAUCUUGAAGUCGUUGUAGUAAUCUUCGGUGAUCGAAGGAUUUUUCUCCUUGAUCUUCUCAUAACUCUCACCUUUCUCGAUCAUUCUCUUCACAUUGCUUUUCCAAGUAGACAGGGCCUUGCUCAUCUUCGUGAGGGCAGCAUUGUUCACUUUAUUCCCUUUGAGGCUUGUGUUUUCGAAUUCAGCGGGGAACUUGUAUCGUUCGUGCAGCUUCGUGAAGAGGAGGUGGUGCAAAUUCCCCCGGUCAGGAUGCCUCAGGUUCUCGGUGUUGAUCGAGACGGUGCUCCGGACAAUGCACCCGAGCUGAAGCGAGUACCCCUUGACUAUUCGUUCGGGCGCCGUUGGAUUCUCGUUGGAGUCCACUUCAGUAACUUCCUCCUUGAGGGUGCGGAGCACGAUCGGGCGCCGGUCCUUCCGUUGCCUCUUCGGCUGGCUGCUAUCUGUGCGUGCGCCGCCAUCAUCAGUGGUGGCAUCCUCGGCGGCACCAUCAGUGGUGGCAUCAGUGUGGUCAUCCUCGGCGGCACCAUCCGUGGUCUCAGGAUCGGUGGGGAAGGCGGCGGCCUCAUACAAGUGAGGUUGUUCCUCCAUCUCCUGGGACAGCUCCCAGAAUGCCUUGCCGCCCGAACCCCCGGCCUCAUCGUUGUGGGCCAUGUUUCUCUCUAAAUAGAAACUAAGUUUGGUCAAAAAGUUGGUUAUUGUCCAGGAACAAGAUCAUGGUCUCAUCAUUUAGGGUUUGUCGACACCGAGGCAUCCUAAAAUCUAAGCUUUUAUCAUUGAGGGUUUUUCGACGCCAAGGCACCCUAAAAGCCUAACUUUUCAUCAUUUCGGUUUUUAUCGACACCGAGGCACCCUAAAAGCCAUGCAUUAGUCACAAGUACGCCGGGGCACUUGAUCCUACUUAAUUAACUACUAAGAUACCCCGGCCCAUGCAUUAGUCACAAGUACCCCAUAUGUCCUAUUUUUAGCAAAGUCAUGCUAAAAUUCACGGAAAAUUUCAGCAUGACCUUUGCUGAAAAUAGGACAUAUGGAGUACCCGAAUUUGCUGGAACGGAAGUUAAUCGACAUUCCAGCAAACUCAAGGGCCUCUCGGGUGGACAAGGCAAAAAAGGCCUCCAUCACAACAUGGAAAAUACAUUGGCAUGUGGACUGGAAUGUGGCUUCAUUUAACAACAACAGUUUCACACAGAAAACAGAGCUGAAUUCAUUGAGAUAUUUGCAUUGCUAGCUACAUUUCAGUGCCAAAUUUCACCAAUUUAAGCAAAACUACCGUUUAGCUAGCUACAGUUCAGUGUCAUAUUUCACUGGAUUAAAAUAAGCACAUACACAUAACUGACAGCACACAUACACAUCACUGAUUUAACGAAAUUUGCACACAACUCAGUAGCACUUCAUCAUCAUAUAAAGUAUAUUAGCAGCAGUACAAAUAAAGAGACAUGAUCAAAGUACUUCAUAAUAAACCCAAGCAACUUCAUAAUAAAUCACUAGUCCUACUUAUUGAUGGUUUCUAAAUCAUUUAUUUGAUCGAUAACAAAUAGCCUUGUCCUGCACAAAAUCUUUGUCCUCAGCUGUAAACUGAACUAUUGUCAGGUCAUGUUGUCAGGUCAUGUUGAAAGUAAAAUAGGACCUUGCUGUGUUUGGGACCAAAUUGUUAUUUGGCUAUUCUAGCUGGCUUUUUUUAGCGAAUUGUAACUUGUGUGAAGCUGAAACAAAGUUAACUUACAUGCUCCUAUAUGCUCAGCUGAAUUAUUAUAACAUGUCUAUCCAGUUUGCAGUUAUUCUUAUAGGCGAUCCGUAGUUAGCGUAGCUAUUGUGCAUCAAGAUUCGUUUUUAGUCCUAAGAAAACACAAGGUUGUCAGGGACGGUUUUUCUUUGACUGGGGUUGUUGUCGGCCUGAAUUAAAGAUGCAGUGUUUGGCAGAUCCAGUCUGCAAACUUUGUCCUACUUACUGGAUCAACAAUGUUCUUAAUUCCAUUACCUAGUGUACAUACCAACAGCCAUAAACAAAAGAGCAACUAAUGACUGAGCCAACCAAGAGCCACAGACGAAACCAGCACAUGCUUGCACAUGCACUGAAGCUACAACUCUUAUCAAGGUAAAAAUAAAAGAGAAAAUUGCUUAUUCUCUCACAGAUGUUGGUUUGCCGAUCUGCAUCAGUAAAUGCGUUCUUUUUUCAUCCGAGGCAAAUAAGCAAAAGAUUGUACUAGACAACUAAUCGACAGUGUUCUUAAUUCCACUAGCAUAUGUGUAGUUCUAAGUUCAUGCACUAAUAGUUUGCCUGCAGAGAGCUUCCUAACCAGGUUCGGUGUGUUUUACUAUUUGAUCCAUUAGGUAGCUAUUAUGCAUCAAGAUUCGUCUGAAAUCCUAAGAAAACACAAUAAGGUUUUCUUUGGCUGGGGUUGUUGUCGAUCUGAAUUAAGGAUGGAGUGUUUGGCAGAUCCAGUCUGCAAAAUUUAUCUUACUUACUAGGACAGCUGACCAAUAUUGUUCUUAACUCCACUUCCUACUGUACACAGUAGCAGCCAUGAAGUGCAUCAGUAGCAACGAGCACAGGCGCAACACAGGAUAGAGCGCAGCCAUGAAUUCAAGUUAACAAUAUCUGCCAAAACCUAAUACAAAUGAAUCAUAUGAAUAAAAAUGAUUGAUGCAGAAUCCAAAAUGGCAACUGGCAUACAUCGCUGGAACCAAUUGUGCAUAUAUGGUAAUUAUGAGUUUUACUUUGUAGAUAAUUAGAUACUGAAUUAGAGUUGCGUUUAUCUCCAAAUACAGCAGCUAUAUUCAUUAAGUUUCCAUCUAUCUAAUGGGGGCUCUUCCUCUUGUUCUCAUUAUUUCUCAUUCUUGUACACUAUUCUUCCCUUUUUUGUUUGAAGAAAAGAGAUCCCUACAUACUCAUGACAAUGAAACUUAUCACAGAACAUGAUCAUUAGCAGUUACAUUGGACGAACUCUUGCCCCUCUAGGUUCCAUCUUUUCGAAAAUAGAACAACACAAAAUGCACCAACCUGUGGUGACAAGCCACGGUUCAGAGCAAUAUAUAGGCCACUAAAAUCAGUCUAAACGUGACAAGCGAAGGGAAAUUAACAUAGUUUCAUGACAAUUUCAGCUGUCUAUAGAGAUGGUUUGGGAAUUUCAACUAGGUUGCUAUAUUUGACCAAAUUAUACAGUGACAUUUGUCUGACUGCCAACAAACAUGAAAAACCAACAACAUAGAUCCGAGGUGGGGCAAAAUGGCAACUGGUGGUGGUGGUGCUGGUGACAAGAAGAAAUAGAGAUGGGGCUCACGGGGGAUGCGAGGGGGAUAGGGGGAGAGGAGGAGGGGGAGCUCACGGGGGCGACGAGGUCCGGGNNNNNNNNNNNNNNNNNNNNNNNNNNNNNNNNNNNNNNNNNNNNNNNNNNNNNNNNNNNNNNNNNNNNNNNNNNNNNNNNNNNNNNNNNNNNNNNNNNNNNNNNNNNNNNNNNNNNNNNNNNNNNNNNNNNNNNNNNNNNNNNNNNNNNNNNNNNNNNNNNNNNNNNNNNNNNNNNNNNNNNNNNNNNNNNNNNNNNNNNNNNNNNNNNNNNNNNNNNNNNNNNNNNNNNNNNNNNNNNNNNNNNNNNNNNNNNNNNNNNNNNNNNNNNNNNNNNNNNNNNNNNNNNNNNNNNNNNNNNNNNNNNNNNNNNNNNNNNNNNNNNNNNNNNNNNNNNNNNNNNNNNNNNNNNNNNNNNNNNNNNNNNNNNNNNNNNNNNNNNNNNNNNNNNNNNNNNNNNNNNNNNNNNNNNNNNNNNNNNNNNNNNNNNNNNNNNNNNNNNNNNNNNNNNNNNNNNNNNNNNNNNNNNNNNNNNNNNNNNNNNNNNNNNNNNNNNNNNNNNNNNNNNNNNNNNNNNNNNNNNNNNNNNNNNNNNNNNNNNNNNNNNNNNNNNNNNNNNNNNNNNNNNNNNNNNNNNNNNNNNNNNNNNNNNNNNNNNNNNNNNNNNNNNNNNNNNNNNNNNNNNNNNNNNNNNNNNNNNNNNNNNNNNNNNNNNNNNNNNNNNNNNNNNNNNNNNNNNNNNNNNNNNNNNNNNNNNNNNNNNNNNNNNNNNNNNNNNNNNNNNNNNNNNNNNNNNNNNNNNNNNNNNNNNNNNNNNNNNNNNNNNNNNNNNNNNNNNNNNNNNNNNNNNNNNNNNNNNNNNNNNNNNNNNNNNNNNNNNNNNNNNNNNNNNNNNNNNNNNNNNNNNNNNNNNNNNNNNNNNNNNNNNNNNNNNNNNNNNNNNNNNNNNNNNNNNNNNNNNNNNNNNNNNNNNNNNNNNNNNNNNNNNNNNNNNNNNNNNNNNNNNNNNNNNNNNNNNNNNNNNNNNNNNNNNNNNNNNNNNNNNNNNNNNNNNNNNNNNNNNNNNNNNNNNNNNNNNNNNNNNNNNNNNNNNNNNNNNNNNNNNNNNNNNNNNNNNNNNNNNNNNNNNNNNNNNNNNNNNNNNNNNNNNNNNNNNNNNNNNNNNNNNNNNNNNNNNNNNNNNNNNNNNNNNNNNNNNNNNNNNNNNNNNNNNNNNNNNNNNNNNNNNNNNNNNNNNNNNNNNNNNNNNNNNNNNNNNNNNNNNNNNNNNNNNNNNNNNNNNNNNNNNNNNNNNNNNNNNNNNNNNNNNNNNNNNNNNNNNNNNNNNNNNNNNNNNNNNNNNNNNNNNNNNNNNNNNNNNNNNNNNNNNNNNNNNNNNNNNNNNNNNNNNNNNNNNNNNNNNNNNNNNNNNNNNNNNNNNNNNNNNNNNNNNNNNNNNNNNNNNNNNNNNNNNNNNNNNNNNNNNNNNNNNNNNNNNNNNNNNNNNNNNNNNNNNNNNNNNNNNNNNNNNNNNNNNNNNNNNNNNNNNNNNNNNNNNNNNNNNNNNNNNNNNNNNNNNNNNNNNNNNNNNNNNNNNNNNNNNNNNNNNNNNNNNNNNNNNNNNNNNNNNNNNNNNNNNNNNNNNNNNNNNNNNNNNNNNNNNNNNNNNNNNNNNNNNNNNNNNNNNNNNNNNNNNNNNNNNNNNNNNNNNNNNNNNNNNNNNNNNNNNNNNNNNNNNNNNNNNNNNNNNNNNNNNNNNNNNNNNNNNNNNNNNNNNNNNNNNNNNNNNNNNNNNNNNNNNNNNNNNNNNNNNNNNNNNNNNNNNNNNNNNNNNNNNNNNNNNNNNNNNNNNNNNNNNNNNNNNNNNNNNNNNNNNNNNNNNNNNNNNNNNNNNNNNNNNNNNNNNNNNNNNNNNNNNNNNNNNNNNNNNNNNNNNNNNNNNNNNNNNNNNNNNNNNNNNNNNNNNNNNNNNNNNNNNNNNNNNNNNNNNNNNNNNNNNNNNNNNNNNNNNNNNNNNNNNNNNNNNNNNNNNNNNNNNNNNNNNNNNNNNNNNNNNNNNNNNNNNNNNNNNNNNNNNNNNNNNNNNNNNNNNNNNNNNNNNNNNNNNNNNNNNNNNNNNNNNNNNNNNNNNNNNNNNNNNNNNNNNNNNNNNNNNNNNNNNNNNNNNNNNNNNNNNNNNNNNNNNNNNNNNNNNNNNNNNNNNNNNNNNNNNNNNNNNNNNNNNNNNNNNNNNNNNNNNNNNNNNNNNNNNNNNNNNNNNNNNNNNNNNNNNNNNNNNNNNNNNNNNNNNNNNNNNNNNNNNNNNNNNNNNNNNNNNNNNNNNNNNNNNNNNNNNNNNNNNNNNNNNNNNNNNNNNNNNNNNNNNNNNNNNNNNNNNNNNNNNNNNNNNNNNNNNNNNNNNNNNNNNNNNNNNNNNNNNNNNNNNNNNNNNNNNNNNNNNNNNNNNNNNNNNNNNNNNNNNNNNNNNNNNNNNNNNNNNNNNNNNNNNNNNNNNNNNNNNNNNNNNNNNNNNNNNNNNNNNNNNNNNNNNNNNNNNNNNNNNNNNNNNNNNNNNNNNNNNNNNNNNNNNNNNNNNNNNNNNNNNNNNNNNNNNNNNNNNNNNNNNNNNNNNNNNNNNNNNNNNNNNNNNNNNNNNNNNNNNNNNNNNNNNNNNNNNNNNNNNNNNNNNNNNNNNNNNNNNNNNNNNNNNNNNNNNNNNNNNNNNNNNNNNNNNNNNNNNNNNNNNNNNNNNNNNNNNNNNNNNNNNNNNNNNNNNNNNNNNNNNNNNNNNNNNNNNNNNNNNNNNNNNNNNNNNNNNNNNNNNNNNNNNNNNNNNNNNNNNNNNNNNNNNNNNNNNNNNNNNNNNNNNNNNNNNNNNNNNNNNNNNNNNNNNNNNNNNNNNNNNNNNNNNNNNNNNNNNNNNNNNNNNNNNNNNNNNNNNNNNNNNNNNNNNNNNNNNNNNNNNNNNNNNNNNNNNNNNNNNNNNNNNNNNNNNNNNNNNNNNNNNNNNNNNNNNNNNNNNNNNNNNNNNNNNNNNNNNNNNNNNNNNNNNNNNNNNNNNNNNNNNNNNNNNNNNNNNNNNNNNNNNNNNNNNNNNNNNNNNNNNNNNNNNNNNNNNNNNNNNNNNNNNNNNNNNNNNNNNNNNNNNNNNNNNNNNNNNNNNNNNNNNNNNNNNNNNNNNNNNNNNNNNNNNNNNNNNNNNNNNNNNNNNNNNNNNNNNNNNNNNNNNNNNNNNNNNNNNNNNNNNNNNNNNNNNNNNNNNNNNNNNNNNNNNNNNNNNNNNNNNNNNNNNNNNNNNNNNNNNNNNNNNNNNNNNNNNNNNNNNNNNNNNNNNNNNNNNNNNNNNNNNNNNNNNNNNNNNNNNNNNNNNNNNNNNNNNNNNNNNNNNNNNNNNNNNNNNNNNNNNNNNNNNNNNNNNNNNNNNNNNNNNNNNNNNNNNNNNNNNNNNNNNNNNNNNNNNNNNNNNNNNNNNNNNNNNNNNNNNNNNNNNNNNNNNNNNNNNNNNNNNNNNNNNNNNNNNNNNNNNNNNNNNNNNNNNNNNNNNNNNNNNNNNNNNNNNNNNNNNNNNNNNNNNNNNNNNNNNNNNNNNNNNNNNNNNNNNNNNNNNNNNNNNNNNNNNNNNNNNNNNNNNNNNNNNNNNNNNNNNNNNNNNNNNNNNNNNNNNNNNNNNNNNNNNNNNNNNNNNNNNNNNNNNNNNNNNNNNNNNNNNNNNNNNNNNNNNNNNNNNNNNNNNNNNNNNNNNNNNNNNNNNNNNNNNNNNNNNNNNNNNNNNNNNNNNNNNNNNNNNNNNNNNNNNNNNNNNNNNNNNNNNNNNNNNNNNNNNNNNNNNNNNNNNNNNNNNNNNNNNNNNNNNNNNNNNNNNNNNNNNNNNNNNNNNNNNNNNNNNNNNNNNNNNNNNNNNNNNNNNNNNNNNNNNNNNNNNNNNNNNNNNNNNNNNNNNNNNNNNNNNNNNNNNNNNNNNNNNNNNNNNNNNNNNNNNNNNNNNNNNNNNNNNNNNNNNNNNNNNNNNNNNNNNNNNNNNNNNNNNNNNNNNNNNNNNNNNNNNNNNNNNNNNNNNNNNNNNNNNNNNNNNNNNNNNNNNNNNNNNNNNNNNNNNNNNNNNNNNNNNNNNNNNNNNNNNNNNNNNNNNNNNNNNNNNNNNNNNNNNNNNNNNNNNNNNNNNNNNNNNNNNNNNNNNNNNNNNNNNNNNNNNNNNNNNNNNNNNNNNNNNNNNNNNNNNNNNNNNNNNNNNNNNNNNNNNNNNNNNNNNNNNNNNNNNNNNNNNNNNNNNNNNNNNNNNNNNNNNNNNNNNNNNNNNNNNNNNNNNNNNNNNNNNNNNNNNNNNNNNNNNNNNNNNNNNNNNNNNNNNNNNNNNNNNNNNNNNNNNNNNNNNNNNNNNNNNNNNNNNNNNNNNNNNNNNNNNNNNNNNNNNNNNNNNNNNNNNNNNNNNNNNNNNNNNNNNNNNNNNNNNNNNNNNNNNNNNNNNNNNNNNNNNNNNNNNNNNNNNNNNNNNNNNNNNNNNNNNNNNNNNNNNNNNNNNNNNNNNNNNNNNNNNNNNNNNNNNNNNNNNNNNNNNNNNNNNNNNNNNNNNNNNNNNNNNNNNNNNNNNNNNNNNNNNNNNNNNNNNNNNNNNNNNNNNNNNNNNNNNNNNNNNNNNNNNNNNNNNNNNNNNNNNNNNNNNNNNNNNNNNNNNNNNNNNNNNNNNNNNNNNNNNNNNNNNNNNNNNNNNNNNNNNNNNNNNNNNNNNNNNNNNNNNNNNNNNNNNNNNNNNNNNNNNNNNNNNNNNNNNNNNNNNNNNNNNNNNNNNNNNNNNNNNNNNNNNNNNNNNNNNNNNNNNNNNNNNNNNNNNNNNNNNNNNNNNNNNNNNNNNNNNNNNNNNNNNNNNNNNNNNNNNNNNNNNNNNNNNNNNNNNNNNNNNNNNNNNNNNNNNNNNNNNNNNNNNNNNNNNNNNNNNNNNNNNNNNNNNNNNNNNNNNNNNNNNNNNNNNNNNNNNNNNNNNNNNNNNNNNNNNNNNNNNNNNNNNNNNNNNNNNNNNNNNNNNNNNNNNNNNNNNNNNNNNNNNNNNNNNNNNNNNNNNNNNNNNNNNNNNNNNNNNNNNNNNNNNNNNNNNNNNNNNNNNNNNNNNNNNNNNNNNNNNNNNNNNNNNNNNNNNNNNNNNNNNNNNNNNNNNNNNNNNNNNNNNNNNNNNNNNNNNNNNNNNNNNNNNNNNNNNNNNNNNNNNNNNNNNNNNNNNNNNNNNNNNNNNNNNNNNNNNNNNNNNNNNNNNNNNNNNNNNNNNNNNNNNNNNNNNNNNNNNNNNNNNNNNNNNNNNNNNNNNNNNNNNNNNNNNNNNNNNNNNNNNNNNNNNNNNNNNNNNNNNNNNNNNNNNNNNNNNNNNNNNNNNNNNNNNNNNNNNNNNNNNUUCAUGAUCAUGCCCGUCGCCUGCUCCGGCAUCUUCCUCAUCAUCAUGUCCUGCAUCUUCUACAUGAUGACUGUGUACAGCAUCACAGUCGUGAUCAUCUCCUGGGGAUUCUUCGUCUUCUCGCCCGCCCGAGCCGCGGUGGUUGUCUUGCUGCCCUUCCUCAUUUCUUGCCCGGCCCGCAUGGACGACUUCGUAGUCAUCUUCAUCACCUUGCCACCGAUAGCCAUCCAUGAAACCACGCAACAGCAGGUGGUCCCGCACCUGCCCGGAAUCCGGGUCCGCAAUAAGGCUCUUCAGCUUGCAUCUUCGACACGGACAUCUUAUCUCCGUCUCGUUCUUUUGAAGCAUCUCGGCCUUCGCGGACCUCAAAAACCUAUUCACGAUGCCUUCGGUCAUCGUGCGGACCAUGGUCGCCUGCGGGGUAGAGCAAAACGAUAUUUUAGAACCAAACAAAAAUUUGGUAUGACCUUCCCUAAAAAAAGGACCAAAAAGAAUGCUUAAUGCCAAAAUUCUCGCCGAAACGGAAAUGAAUCAACAUUCCGGCAAAAUAUUGGCAACUAUCGCAUAUCAAAUACCGGUACACCUCCAAACACAAACACAUAUGCAACACCACAAACAUAUGCAACACCACGAACAUACAUAGAUCUAGCUAGGCCGUAAAAAGUGCAUGUGCACAUUGUUGUAAGGAGAACAACCUAAAUAUAGCUUCCCCCCUUACUUACCUAUUAAAACAAGGUAAUUUAACCACUUAAUUUGAAUGAAUCUAUGGUGGAAAUGAGGUGAAAAAGAGGAGGCACCCGAGACAAGGAGGAGGUGGAGAGAAUGAAGUGGGGAGAAAGUGAGUGUGUGGGUAGGAGAGGCUGUCCCAAAUAUCUUGUUGCUGCCCACUUACUAAUGGCGCACCUCUUGCAUGGUGCGCCAUUAGUACUUACAACUACUAAUGGCGCACUUGGGCAGGAUGCGCCAUUAGUAUGUUUGGAUAGGCGCACUAGUUCAAAAAAAAAUCCUACACUAAUGGCGCACCCACUGCCUGGUGCGCCAUUAGUAGUUACAACUACUAAUGGCGCACUUGGGCAGGAUGCGCCAUUAGUAUGUUUGGAUAGGCGCACUAGUUCAAAAAAAAUUCUAUACUAAUGGCGCACCUGCUGCCUAGUGCGCCAUUAGUAGUUACAACUACUAAUGGCGCACUUUGCCGGGAUGCGCCAUUAGUAUGUUUGGACAGGCGCACUAGUUAAAAAAAAUUUGAUACUAAUGGCGCACCCGUAGCAUGGUGCGCCAUUAGUUGUUUAAACUCUAAUGGCGCAUCAGAUUGUGGUGCGCCAUUAGUAUAUACUAAUGGCGCACCAUCUUUCUGGUGCGCCAUUAGUGUCAAUCCCAUCUAUAGCCAUUUUCCUAGUAGUGAAGAAUGAAAAUAAGCUGUCAAUGGAAAUAAGUUGUCAACUAUUUUGAAAUAAACAAUAUAAAUUACUUAAUAACUACGUUAAGCUCACAUGGGGGAAGAAUUGGAGGUGUAUCCACAAGGACGAAAAUCGAAGGUCUCUCUUGCGCGAUUGUAGGAUCACCAAGAUCCAUGGUGACAAGCAUACCUUCAUCAAAACCAUACAUAUUGCAAAGUGCUUCCCAGUUUUUGCAACCAAAAUGGGUUACACUCUGAGCAUUGUACAACUUUACUUGAAAAUCCACACCAUGAUGGAUACUUAGGAUAAUUUUUUUGGUUUCCAUACUUUCAUGGUCUUCAAAACCCAUCCUCUCCAAGACAUAGCGUCUUGCAAAGCAUGGGAUAAGCUAGUCAAAUUGGAAAAGAUAAAAAAUACACGUUAAAAUAGUUGAAGUCGUGCUUAAUUACAAAAAAAAACUAUUGUCGUCGUUGCGUAUCGUAUGAACAUCGAAGGUCUCCUCGAGCUUAAUGCUGAAGCGCCGAUCUUCGUCCAGCUCAAUGAACCUGUCGCACAUACCUCGGUCGUCGUGGCACUAGUCGCACUCCCCCGGGCGGUUUUCAUCGUCCGAGUACGACAUUUCCGGCCUAAGUUCAUAAUUCAAAUAUUAAAUAUAUGUACUAAAAACCUAAAUUAGAUCAUUAUUAUUAAUCACAGGUUGACUAUCGGUGAUGGUACGUAGCUCCUCCUUUAAUUCCCGAGUGCAUUAUUACAACAAAUUGUCUAGCACACAGGAAUAAAGGAGAAGCUACCCCCGCGACGGCGUGGAUGAUGGAGGGGGCUCCUAGAUUUCUGCAUAGAGUGCUCUUCAAUUUUAGCAAUCAAAGUAGGAGUACUUUUCCAAUAUUUGCAUUCAAUAAGCAAAACCAAAUCGUAAAAUAAAGUAGUAUUCAAAUUAGCAUGCAUUCAAUUAUAACCAAAAGUACAUCAUCUCUUGUGUCCGUACAUCGUCGAAUACUCCUCGAAUACUAUUAUACAUAUAGCAUCGCUAAUUAAUACAGCUAGAACCGUAGCGCCCGACGGGUAUCGUCGCGGGCGGUGGACACCCAAAGAAAAGGAACGAUCACAGGAUCAUAGCUCCGGUGAGAUCCCUGAAGAACCUGCCAGGUAUUGUCGAACCUGCCCUCAAACGCAACCAUGUAACGACGGACGUGCUCGUCCUCCUCGUUGACACGGUGACGUACCACCUCCGCGGUGUCCGGAAGCCUCGGCACCAUCACGGGCCCACGCGACCGCCACCAAAUAAGGAUUGGGUCAACAACGGGCUGCCUCCUCACCAACCUACGUCCCUCAGAAGGUAGCACCUCCCAAUACCAGUCCGGCGGAGCCCAGUCCCGAACAUGGCCCUGAUCAAGUAGGUCUCCACCGCCGAGUCAACGACGACGAGGAUGCGGGAUAGGCAUCGCCGACGUCGAUGCGGGAACUACAUACUUCUUUAUAUAGUUAAAUAAAGUAGUUUUAUUAAUUAAAUCAACUAUCUAGUUCAACUACUAAGCACUUACUAUAAAUAAAUAAAGUAGUACUUACUAAAAACAAAGUAGCACUUACUACAAAUAAAUAAAGUAGCACUUACUAUAAAUAAAUAAAGUAGCACUUACUGCAAACUACUUCUAUAUAUAGUUAAAUAAAGUAGUUUUAUUAAUUGAAUCAACUAUCUAGUUCAACUACUAAGCACUUANNNNNNNNNNNNNNNNNNNNNNNNNNNNNNNNNNNNNNNNNNNNNNNNNNNNNNNNNNNNNNNNNNNNNNNNNNNNNNNNNNNNNNNNNNNNNNNNNNNNNNNNNNNNNNNNNNNNNNNNNNNNNNNNNNNNNNNNNNNNNNNNNNNNNNNNNNNNNNNNNNNNNNNNNNNNNNNNNNNNNNNNNNNNNNNNNNNNNNNNNNNNNNNNNNNNNNNNNNNNNNNNNNNNNNNNNNNNNNNNNNNNNNNNNNNNNNNNNNNNNNNNNNNNNNNNNNNNNNNNNNNNNNNNNNNNNNNNNNNNNNNNNNNNNNNNNNNNNNNNNNNNNNNNNNNNNNNNNNNNNNNNNNNNNNNNNNNNNNNNNNNNNNNNNNNNNNNNNNNNNNNNNNNNNNNNNNNNNNNNNNNNNNNNNNNNNNNNNNNNNNNNNNNNNNNNNNNNNNNNNNNNNNNNNNNNNNNNNNNNNNNNNNNNNNNNNNNNNNNNNNNNNNNNNNNNNNNNNNNNNNNNNNNNNNNNNNNNNNNNNNNNNNNNNNNNNNNNNNNNNNNNNNNNNNNNNNNNNNNNNNNNNNNNNNNNNNNNNNNNNNNNNNNNNNNNNNNNNNNNNNNNNNNNNNNNNNNNNNNNNNNNNNNNNNNNNNNNNNNNNNNNNNNNNNNNNNNNNNNNNNNNNNNNNNNNNNNNNNNNNNNNNNNNNNNNNNNNNNNNNNNNNNNNNNNNNNNNNNNNNNNNNNNNNNNNNNNNNNNNNNNNNNNNNNNNNNNNNNNNNNNNNNNNNNNNNNNNNNNNNNNNNNNNNNNNNNNNNNNNNNNNNNNNNNNNNNNNNNNNNNNNNNNNNUAAGUGCUACUUAUAUAGCAAAGGCUUUGGUCCCGAUUCGUGGCACAAACCGGGACUAAUGCACCCCUUUAGUCCCAGUUGGAGCCACCAACCGGGACCAAAGGCCUCUUUUCAGCAGCCCAAAGGGCGGGAAGCAGAGGGCUUUGGUCCCGGUUGAUGCCACCACCCGGGACUAAAGGGGGACAUUGGUCCCGGUUGGUGCCACCAACCAGGACUAAAGAGGGGCAUUGGUCCCGGUUGGAGCCACCAACCGGUACCAAUGGACCCGUCUAAUUACUUAUUUAUUUUCUGCAGCUUUUUUUUUGUUGAUUCUUUCUGCAGCUGUUUUUUUAGUCCCACCUCGCCAAGCGAGAGGCACUCGCAGCUGUUUAUAAGCCCUGAGUGCAGAGACGAUGAAGAAGAGGCUCAAUGCUCACCUGCACGUUGGUUCGCUUCAAGCCUUAGGAAUAGGGUAGACUGCACGGAGCUAUGUGCAGUGUAGUUUACACUUUUCUGAAAGGCUUGAAGCGAAUUAACUAGCAUUGCACCUCUUUUUUAUUUAUAAUGACUUAUUACCACACAGAAAUAAAUAGAAAAAAAUAAAUAUAGCAGAAAAGAAAAAAAACUAUAUAAUAAACUACUCAGANNNNNNNNNNNNNNNNNNNNNNNNNNNNNNNNNNNNNNNNNNNNNNNNNNNNNNNNNNNNNNNNNNNNNNNNNNNNNNNNNNNNNNNNNNNNNNNNNNNNNNNNNNNNNNNNNNNNNNNNNNNNNNNNNNNNNNNNNNNNNNNNNNNNNNNNNNNNNNNNNNNNNNNNNNNNNNNNNNNNNNNNNNNNNNNNNNNNNNNNNNNNNNNNNNNNNNNNNNNNNNNNNNNNNNNNNNNNNNNNNNNNNNNNNNNNNNNNNNNNNNNNNNNNNNNNNNNNNNNNNNNNNNNNNNNNNNNNNNNNNNNNNNNNNNNNNNNNNNNNNNNNNNNNNNNNNNNNNNNNNNNNNNNNNNNNNNNNNNNNNNNNNNNNNNNNNNNNNNNNNNNNNNNNNNNNNNNNNNNNNNNNNNNNNNNNNNNNNNNNNNNNNNNNNNNNNNNNNNNNNNNNNNNNNNNNNNNNNNNNNNNNNNNNNNNNNNNNNNNNNNNNNNNNNNNNNNNNNNNNNNNNNNNNNNNNNNNNNNNNNNNNNNNNNNNNNNNNNNNNNNNNNNNNNNNNNNNNNNNNNNNNNNNNNNNNNNNNNNNNNNNNNNNNNNNNNNNNNNNNNNNNNNNNNNNNNNNNNNNNNNNNNNNNNNNNNNNNNNNNNNNNNNNNNNNNNNNNNNNNNNNNNNNNNNNNNNNNNNNNNNNNNNNNNNNNNNNNNNNNNNNNNNNNNNNNNNNNAUUAACUUUACUAAAAAAAUGAGCAUAGAUGCUUAUUUUUAAUGACUUAUUACCACACGGAAAUAAAUAGAAAAAAAUAAAUAUAGCAGAAAAGAACAAAAAUUAUAUAAAAAACUACUCAGAAAUAAAUAGAAGAAAAAAUAGUUGUGAUUAACUUUACUAAAAAAAUGAGCAUAGAUGCGCUUAUAGAGAAAAUUCAACCUAAAUUUAUAAUAAAUUUCUACUAACUUCAGAGAAAUUCAGUAUGAAUUUAGAUCAAAUUUCCUGUAUAAGGGCAUCUAUUUUCAUUUUGAGAGGAGCUCAACAAGGCAGAGAGGGAGGGGCUUAUAAACUGGUGUGAGCCCCCUUCGGUUGGCGAGGUGGGACUAAACUCUGGCCGCAACGAGGACCAACCCUUUAGUCCUGGUUGGUGUUAUGAACCGGGACUAAUGGGGACCUUUGGUCCCGGUUCAUGCCUCCAACCGGGACCAAUAAUGGUGGGCCAGGAGCGAGGACCAUUGGUCCCGGUUCGUCCCACCAACCGGGACCAAAAGGCCCAGACGAACCGGGACCAAUGGCCCACGUGGCCCGGCCGGUCCCCGGGACUCACGAACCGGGUCCAAUGCCCCCAAUGGUCCCGGUUCUGGAUUGAACUGGGACUAAUGGGCUGACCCGGUCUGGACCAAUGCCCCUUUUUCUACUAGUGUCACAAAGGAGUGAUUUUGACCAAAGAUAAUUUACUAAAAUGAAAUUGGGUUGGUAACUACAAAUGUUGUUUUUGUGACCAAAAUGAAUCGAUUAAACACCUCUUUCUCCGAUGUACGCUUGCACAAAUGUUAUGGAGAUCAAUCCAUAUAGCUUUUAACAUUCAUCCCCCAACGAGCAUACGUUAUUUGGGACGUGGCUUAAUGGAGUGGAUAAACACAUAGCUAAACAUAUUCGGAUAGGGAUAUGUGCACUUUUAUGGGCUAUAUGGAACACGAGAAAUGAUAUGAUCUUUAAUGGGACAAACUUUGCUAAUUUUUUGCAGGUCAUCUGCAGAGCUACUGCUUGGAUCCGUAUGUGGCCGUUACUCACUCAUGCGGACUUCAGGGAGCCUUUGGAUAUUGGGUGCAACCGCUGGAAGAGGAUAGCACGGGCUAUCUUCAGCCGAUUUGGAUGACGAGUUAAUAAUAGGCUAGGUGUGUAGGCAUCGUAGUCUAUUUUUCAUCGCUGGAUAUGAAGCGUUUUUGCCGAAUGUGGCACGUUACAGAUUUAUUUUUCUCUUUGCUUGGUUUAUGGGCUGCAUUGGAACUUAAGACCUUGUUACAUUUUUUUAUAAUAUGGCCGUAUGCAUCGAUUGAUGUAGAGGCUGGAGGUAAACCUCAUUUUUUUAAAAGAAAAACUUCUUUCUUCCAAUGUUUGCCUAGAGAGAAUGCCAAAACAUAUGCUAAUCUUGUUAGGUAGAGGCAAGAUUUGAGAAGCAUUUGAAGUUUUGAACAACUAAACUCGUGUCAGUGACAGCUAAGUAAUUACUCCACUCCAGAUUAACACUAACAGAUAUUAGCUUUAUUAUAGAUUGGACUAUGCUCGACAUUUAUCUAUUCAAGAUUAAGAUGAUGGGGGAAAAUGUGAACACCAAGGCCCAUUUCUCAAGGAAAGGGAACGGAAAAACAUAACCCAUUGGUCCAUAAUGAAGAACUGAAAGCGAGAUACAAAGAAGUAUCUGCAUACAGAACUGAACAUAUACAUCAGUUAUUUGUGGCACAUUUCCAUAGGACAGAAAUGAAGUUUCUAGCUUUUAUAGGACCAAAGAAAUGUGACACUCAGUACCAGCUACAAACCCAUCAAUGGAAAAUAGCAGCAAGCAUGUUCACUGAACACCAUGGAGCAACAUCCAUCCAGAGAGCAAAAUUAGGUUAACCAAUUUUCAUAGGAAACACGUGGAACUAUUAUAUGUCAUAUCCUCUUUAUACAUUGAAGUUAUAUUUGUCAUUCACGUAAUAAAAUAUGGGACAGGCUACACGUCAAUCGCCUGAAAAACAUAAAACGGUCAAUCGAUCCUCCUUCUCCUAUAUCAACUGUUCGAUUAAGAUCCAAUAGACGUUGUUCGUCUUCAACCUUUGGCAGAUCUUCUUCCUCUCUCUCACCCGCCGAUCCAGCCCAGCCCUAACCGUCGGCCCCGCCGCCCGCGGCCGGCGGCACUCCCGCGACCGCCUUGCCGUCCCGCCCUCCCCUGAACCACCCCCACCGCCAGUCUUCCACUAUCGCCGGCCAUCCCUGACUGGGGGAUGACCCUCGGAUAGGCCCAAGACGGCAAACGACGCUACAAAAUCAUCGGGGCCAGCAACGCCCCUCAACCCGGCUCGCACUUGGUCAUGUCCCUCAACCCGGCUGAACUCCUCAACCCGGCUGCCCGGCCGGGUCCCUGUUCGGCUGCUCCAGCCGGCCUGCUACGCGAAGUCAACUACGGUGUCCCAUCUGACGCGACAUAGACAAGACUGCCAUACUGCGACCACUGUUGCUGAUAAAGCAUACGCUGUUCACUCAUCGCGCGCGACAUCAUUUACAGUGUACUUUGUCCCCCGGGCAUUGAUUUAUAAAAUACCAUAGGGACAAAACUUAGCCUAACUCUCAAGCAAGCAUACCUUGUGAUAUAAGCCACACGUUGUAGCUUACAUCCCAAGCUCACGCCCAUGCCUACCUAACUUACAUGCCAAGCUAGCCCCCACUAUAUAAGCUAGCUCACAUCCAUUCAUCCAGGAGGAUGGAGACCCACGGGCACAUGCUCAUACUCAUGCAUGCCCAAGCACUCACUAGGCCACAACACUCAGCCACACCCACGUACUAGUAGAUGAGCACUUGGCUCUCUCACGCAUUCAGUAAUACAACUUUCGGAGCAACUCUGUACUGCCAGAUAUGUACACUUCAUAUAUAUUCAGACAUGCAGUAGAGGUAUUAUCUCUCCGGAGAGCUCCGAACCUGGGUAAUCACCACGUGUUGUUUGGCCAAUCACGUCCCUUGACCUCCAAAGCAGUCUUGCCCUCACCACAAGCCACCUCGUGGCAUCUGUCGUCUCGCGAACCCGCCCGCGAGAUAACCACGACAGUUGGCGCCCACCGUGGGGCAAGCUGCCGCGGAACCGCGGUCCGGGCGGGACCAUUUUCGUCAUCUCCGCCGCGACGUCGCCGCCGUCUCUCCGGUCGCACUCGAGGGCUCAACAUCAACUCACCCCGGGGUGACCAUGCGGAGCGGCGCGUCCUCGUCGUCGGCCUCGCCAUCUUCGUCAUCGUCACCGCAGCGUCGCACCGUCGCUCCAGUAGCGCUUCGAGGCUCUACAUCAACACGCCCCCGGCACGACCGUACGGGGUGGCGCGUCGUCAUCGUUCGCCUUCAGUCUGCGCGCUCGCCGCUCCGGCUCUUGCUCCUCGCCACCUCCGUCCGCACACGUACGCGCUGCUCCGCCUCGCUUCAGUCAGCUGCAUGCCCGCAUCCAUUCAUGCUCUGCUCGCCUCCGCUCCCUUAGGCGGUGCGUCUAGCUCCGGUCAGAAUGUGCGGUCGCUCCUCCAUACACUGAGCUCAAGCUCGUCCACGGCCGGACAAAAGCCAGACAUUUCCCAAGCACGUCCCAGACAAUAGCUAUGCACUACCCAGAGUAUAGUCAGACACUUACCGUAUGACAAUGGUUAGAGCAUCUCCAACAACCGCGCGAAACGACGCGCGCGCGGGGUGUUUUGCCGCGCUCCAGCGAUGGCGGGAUAAUCACACGCGCAGGAAUCGUUUGCGCGCGCGCGAAAAGGCGCCAGCUCGCGCCUCAUUUUUUGCGCACCGUUUCCGGCGCGCCUAUAAAGUGCGGUGCGCGCCACGCGCCUCUCCACGCCUCCUCUUCUCCUCUUCCUCUCCCUCUCUGCCACGCGCCGCUCCAGCGCCCCUCCACCGAUGCACCUCCACCGCCCCAGCGCCCCGCCAUGCCGCCGCGCCGUCGAGGAGCGUCCGGCUACCGCGGCGUCCGACUGCGCCCCAACGGCGGCUACUAUGCGGAGAUAUACUACGGCGAUCUCCGGCUCGGCCUCGGCACGAAUGGGACGGCGCGCGAGGCCACCCACGCGUACGACGCGGCGGCGUGGCGCCUAGGCCGGCCGCGCGGCCAGAUGAACUUCCAAGAUGUGUACACGCUCCAGCAGGCGCUCGACGUCGCCUCGCCGCCUCGUCUGAACACGACACAAGACCGUGCGGAGCACGCCGAGCGGCAGCGCCGCCUCCUCGUCACCCAGGAGGACAAGCGGGUCAUGGCGGAGUGGCGCCGGCGCCACCCGAAGGACGUCGCCUACGAGCAAGUCUACUGGGCAAGGCGUCGCGAGGAGGACAGGCGAAGGCGCCGCGAGGCGCGGUUAGACAGGCGUCGGCGGAAGGCGUUGGCGAACGUGCAGUCCGAUCUCGUUGCAGCAGGUGGGAGGUCGUUCUUCACGGAGAACGAUGAUCGUUGGUUGGACAUAUGGCUAUCAACCUCGGACGACACCGCCGAGGAUGAUAAUGGUGAUGAUGAUGAUAGCGACUUAGAAUAGUUUUUUAUGCUAUCUAUUUAGUUUUUUAUCGUUUGUCGUUUUUAUUUUAUGCAAUGUAUGUUUCCGAUGUAAAAUACCUUUGUAUCGUUUAAAUUCCUAUGCAAUCUAUCUAGUUUAUAUGCUUCCAAUGCCUACAUCCAGUUUGUAGAAUGAGCGCGCGGAAAUUUUUUGCGCGGCUGCUGGAGCGGCGCGCGCGCUGCAUUUUAGCAUGGCUACUGGAGCUGGCGCUGCACGCCGUGCCAAACCAGGCGAUGGGCGCGCGCUAAAGCCAUUUUUUGCGCGCAGCGCGUUCGGCGAUUGUUGGAGAUGCUCUUAUGCGCUAGCAAACCGACGCUCGGGGUCCCGCUCCCUCCUCAGCCUCCACGUCCACGGCCGCGGUUCUCGCCUCGCCCAGCUCCGGUCCAGCGCCUCCGCCUCGCCCCCGCAUCUCUGACCGUCCUCUGCUUUGAGCGCCGCGUCCCCGCCCCUGUCUGCAGCUCCCCUGCAUGGUCUCUGCUCGGGUUGUCCGCGCCGACGACACCCUCGCCAGCUCCGGCCGGACGCCCCGUGCCCGUCGGCUUCGCCCUGGCCGGCUCCGCCUACGCCGACGGCCUCGCUUCCGCGCUCCCGGCAGGCUCCGAGUCCCCGCCGAGUUGCCUCCACCUACAGACGGCGCCGGCUCCGCCCUGCGCUGGCCGGCUUCCCGGCCACCCCUGCCGGCUCCACGCCUCCUCACGCCGCUGGCCCUGAGGGGCUCCUCCGCCCGACCCGGUCGCCACGCCAAGCUUGCCAUCCUCCGCGCCGGGUCCUUCCCUCCCCGGCUCCGCGUCCGCGAGUCCGCCUCGCCAGGCCGGCCUCCCGCACGUCGGCCUCGCGUCGCCGCCUCUAGCCAACCGCUGCUCCGGGCCGACUCCUGCCGCCAGGUCACCGCGCGGCAGCGCCCGCGGCCCCCCGCCUCAACCGCGCGACCGCCGGGUUGACAGCGCCCCCGCAUUCGGCUCCUUCCCCGUGCCGGCUUCGCCCCGUCUCGCCUGGAUGCCUCACGCGCGCGCCACGCCGGUUUCGCCUCCAUCCACGACCGACCUCUCACGGUCCUGGCUGCGUCCCGUCGCCCCCGCCUUCGCGUGCCGGCCCCGGGCCGGUUUCCCGUCGCCGCCUCGCGACCCCAAUCCGCCGUGCUGCAUCCGCACCUCCAGGCACUCCGGCUCGCCGUCCUGCACGCCCGUGCCGGAUCGCCUCCGGCCCCGUCCACCCCGGGCACAGCCGUGCCUGGCCUCCUCCACCAUCCCGACUCCCGCGACCCGGCCGGUCGGCUCCCGCGCUCGUCGGCUUCCCCGCAACCCGGCCGCCGGCUUCACCGCGACCCAGACGCCGGCUGCCGCCGUCCCGCUCCUGCCGACUGCUCAGGCAGUGAAAGAGAUGCCAACUGAAAAAAAAGAAGAAGAAAGAAACAAUGUGAGUCCAGCUGCACAGGUCGGCUGGAGAGAAAAAGAAAAAAAGAACAAAACGAAGGCUUAGAGGCCUCCGUCCGUUCGCGACGCCGCUCCAUCGACUGUCCUGUCCGCCUCGACGUCCCGCCGGCUGUGCUAAGGGCAUGUACAAUGGUUCUAUCUUAGCAAUGCCACGUAGGAUAAAUGAUAAGGUGGAGGAGAGAGAAAUCAUAAGAGAAGGCUUGUCUUCUCUUAAUUAAGAGAAGGCAAGAGAUGAUCUCUUAGCACAAUAUGUCUCACCACGUUUUUUAGGAAUAACUAGUUUUUGAAGAUAAGACUAAGAGAUGACCCAUUGUAGACAUGUUUUUUUGUCAUCUAUAAAUUACAUGCAAGAUUUAAGAUAAGGCUACCUUAUCGACCAUUGUACAUGCCCUAAGCCAACCCGGCCGCUCGUCCGCCUCGACACCCGUUCGGUCGGACCCGACCGGCUGGGACCCCCCUUCGAGUAUCCGGAGGCUCGAAGGCUACCCCUAGUGGGUGUAUCGGCAUGCUAGCGCCAAGCCGCGCCGGCUGUCAUCGACAACCUCCACCUCGUCUACAUGAAAAUCAAUGUGAGCUCCUCACCUGCAUACUUUUGUGCCACGCGCAAACAUGGAUAACCCCGAGCAACCCUCGGGGACCACCUCCGUCUUUAUUACAGUUGCGUCACUGUUCGCCCUGGCGUCGGCUAGUCUCGGCCCGAUACGUUCGUUCUCGCAGAUGGCUUAGUAGCGCAUACGGUACCAAAGGCCCACUCUCAGCCACAGACCCCAGCGCGGCUGUCCGGCAAGUGAGAGCAAAAGCUGGAGGUCACCCCACGCAAAAAAUGAUCGGGAGAAGACGGCUUGGGCAACCCAUCCGUUUCUUUUAUGAGUAUCUACUCGGUCGAAUCUGCUCCUGUAGUUCGAGUACUGUACGCUCCACUCCGCGGCCACUCUUCGUAACAGCUAGAGGCCGGCUCCGAGGUGUCUAGCUAACAAGAGGCAAAGCCAAAGAGCAGAGGGGACAUGAAAAAGACUGAAGGGGGCUCGGACGAAACCGAGUCGGCACCCUCCGCAUAAAACUUACAAUGCUGAAAGCAAACAUUUGAUAUAUAUGCACAGACUAACUUUGUCUUUUGCACGAUCAUCGCUGUGGGGAACCCCCUCCUCGCCCGGAGACUCGGAGGCUACAUGCGGGUUGCGGGCCCGACGCCGGCCACAACCGGUGUUUCCAUCGCCGCUGUCCACAUCAUCAACAACAAAGACCCUUCGCCCAACUUUUCCAAGUUGCACGGAGGCUCGCGGGCUACAUGCAGUGGGUGAGCUCGCAUGCCCCCACUCAGCCGGCGGACUCCGCGUCCGCGUCCGAAAGGGCCCCGCACCCUCCAGCCGGCGGACUCCACAUCCGCGCCCGGCACCCUCGACAUCACCAUCGGCUUCAUCAACAAUAGCAAAGACCCUCCGCCCAACUUUUCCAAAGUUGCACGGAGGCUCGAAGGCUACACCCACUGGGUGCGUUCGCGCGCCCCCACUUAGCCGGCGGACUCCAUGUCCGCGUCUAGUAGGGCCCCGCACCCUCCAGCCGGCGGACUCCGCGUCCGCGCCCGGCACCCUCGACAUCACCGUUGUCUUCAUCAACAACAGCAAAGACCCUCCGCCCAACUUUUCCAAAGUNNNNNNNNNNNNNNNNNNNNNNNNNNNNNNNNNNNNNNNNNNNNNNNNNNNNNNNNNNNNNNNNNNNNNNNNNNNNNNNNNNNNNNNNNNNNNNNNNNNNNNNNNNNNNNNNNNNNNNNNNNNNNNNNNNNNNNNNNNNNNNNNNNNNNNNNNNNNNNNNNNNNNNNNNNNNNNNNNNNNNNNNNNNNNNNNNNNNNNNNNNNNNNNNNNNNNNNNNNNNNNNNNNNNNNNNNNNNNNNNNNNNNNNGGCGGACUCUGCGUCCACGUCCGACGGGGCCCCGCGCCCUCCAGCCGGCGGACUCCGCGUCCGCGCCCGGCGCCCUCGACGUCACCGUCGGCUUCUUCAACAACGGCAAGACCCUCCGCUCAACUUUUCCAAAGUUGCCCGGAGACUCGGAGGCUAUGCCCAGUGGGUGCGCUCGCGCGCCCCCACCGGAAGCAAGCCGCGCCGGCUGUGGUCCGCGGCCGGCCGUCAUCGACAUCUACUGCUUCAUCGACGCCCGCUAAACCCCUCCGCGCAACUUUUCCAAGUUGCCCGAAGGCUCGGAGGCUACUGACGGGGGGAUGACCCCCGGGUAGGCCCAAGACGGCAAACGACGCUUCAAAAAUAUCGGGGCCAGCAACGCCCCUCAACCCGGCUCACACUUGGCCGGGUUGCUCAACCCGGCCAUGUCCCUCAACCCGACUGAACUCCUCAACCCGGCCGCCAGGCCGGGUCCCUGUUCGGCUGCUCCAGCCGGCCUGCUAUGCGAAGUCAACUUCGGCGUCCCAUCUGACGUGACACAGACAAGACGGCCAUACUACGACCAAUGUUGCUGAUAAAGCAUACGUUGUCCAUUCAUCACGCGCGACAUCAUCUGGAGUGUACUUUGUCCCCCGGGCAUUGAUUUAUAAAAUGCCUCAGGGACAAAAUCGUAGCCUAGCUCUCAAGAAAGCAUAGCUUGUGAUGUAAGCCACACGCUGUAGCUUACAUCCCAAGCUCACGCCCAUGCCUACAUAACUUACAUGCCAAGCUAGCCCCACUAUAUAAGCUAGCUCACAUCCAUCCAUCCAAGAGGAUGGAGACCCAUGGGCACAUGCUCAUAAGCAUGCAUGCCCAAGCACUCACUAGGCCACAACACUCAGCCACACCCACACACUAGUAGAUGAGCACUUGGCUCUCUCACACGUUCAGUAAUACAACUAUAAGAGCAACUCUAUACUGCCAGAUAUGUACACUCCAUAUAUAUUCAGACAUGCAGGGGUAGGGGUAUUAUCUCUCCGGAGAGCUUCGAACCUGGGUAAAUCACCGCGUGAUGUUUACCCAAUCCCGUCCCUAGACCUCUAAAGUAGUCUUGCCCUCACCACAAGCCACGUCGUGGCAUCUGUCGUCUCGCGAACCCGCCCGCGAGAUAACCACGACAAUCCCUCUAAGCCCCCCAUGCCGAGGUGUUUGUGUUUCUUCGGCGAAGUCCCACACCACCGCCCCACCACCAGCCCCCACCACCGCCAUGCCCCUAAACCCUAAGAUAGAUACUGGGGUAGCCUGCCCAAUGAGCUUCUUCCUCCCCUCCGGUGAGUUGCUUCCUCCCCUGCAGCUUUUUCUUCCUUCAACCAAAAUCGAUUGACCCAAAAUUCGAAAGUCAGGCAAUUGACAAGUAGCUAUUGUGAUAAAAUAUAAGAAUAGACAAAAAGGGAGCUUAAGAGGAAGGGAGCAUAUGGUUCAAAGUUCAAUGGUAAGGCAUUGUUUAUUAGGAGGUUGAACACCCUUUCCUGAGAUAACUGUUUCAUUUAUCGGACAAUGGAAAAAGCAGCAGCUAGAUGACAAUAGAAAAUAGUGUGAUCAUUAGAUACAAAUUUACCCUUUUCAUUUAUAAUGCUCUUUGCUUUAGCCCAGAAACCCAUUGUUUACUUCGCCUCAGGACUCCAUUCAGAAAUAUCUCUUUCAAGGGAUUGUUUUAUAAGCUAUUCGCAAUGGCAGAUUAAAGACGGGACAUAAUAAAACGAAAUAUGUAUUACUCCCUCCAUCCGGAAAAGCUUGUCCUUCAAAUGAAUGUAUCUAGCACCAAGUUAGUGCUAGAUACAUUCUUUUCCGGAUGGAGGGAGUACAUAAGCAGAGUGUAGAUUAAGUUGGUAGUCCCUCUGUUCCAUAUUAAGUGUCACUGAUUUUGUACAACUUUGUACUAAAUCAGCGACGCUUAAUUGGAAUGGAGGGAGUAAUGACUAAACAUUCAGGACAUGAUUAAUGAACUGUUAAGGGCUACUGAAAAUAAAGGCACAAAAAGAAUAGACUUGAUUUUGUUCUUACAUGAAAACCAACAGCAAAGAGCAACUCAUAUUGCAGUCUCCUAAUUAAAUUCAUGCGUAGCAUCAAAGCUAUGUGUCUAAUCCUAUGGAAUUACAUGAAAAAAAGAAGAAAAAUUGCAUCAUGUAGGUAGCUCAUAGUUAUGUGCAUUAGCUAAACCCGAACCUCCUCUAGAAGGCAUCAUUGAUGAACCCACAAAAUCAACAACACUGCAAGUUCCACUGCAAUUUGUUUUGAGACUUUUUACAUGCCAAGAAGCAUUUUAUCAGUAGGAUUCUACUCUGCCUACAAUGAGAACGAAUUCGAGGCCGAGAUUGUGGUGGCAGCCCCAAUCCCCUUGCCAAGCUUAGAGCAUGUCUAGUAGAGCCCUUAAACCCUUAAAUCUAAAACCAGUUUUAAGGGUUGAGAAUUGGCCAUUUUUUUUAUACUUUUAAGGGUUGAAAAACAGGGGCAAAGGCUAGAACCCUUAAACCCAACCCUUAUAACAGAAUAUUCCGUUAUAAGGGUUGGGUUUGAGGGUUCUAGUCUUUGCCCCAACCCCACCCCUUAAAACUGUCAUUUGACAUAUCACAAUUUUCAUUAGAAAAACGCAAUCAACCUUCAAACAAACACGGAAAUGAAGAUCAUUGAUGCAUGGUUUAAUAGUUUACAUCACACAAUCAUCAUCUUCCCCCUCUCAUCGGCACCAUCACCAAAAAGUUGCACCUGGCGCCAUCUCCUAGACCACUUCCACGUCCAUCAAGCACCUCCAUUGUCGUUGGUGGUGGAGUUCUCCACACCGCCAUCGCCACCACCACUCAUCGGAGUGUCACCUCGAAGAGUAGAGGACGCACCAUGGAAUAUCCUCUUCCUCUCCGCGAUGUCCUGCUUGUACUCCUUCCACCAUAUCAAUUGGUCUUCAUCCGUGUCCUUGGAUAUCAUCAUGUGCGCCUUCUCUUCCACCAUGAGUUCUUUCCAUGCCUUUGCUUCUUUGACCUUGAUCAUCCUCUCCUUCAAGUCGGCCUUGCGCUUGGCAUCUUCAUGCCUUGCUUCAACUUGUGCAAGCUUCACCUCUUUCUUCUUCUCGUUGAUAAGAAGCUUUGUCUCCAAUGUCUUCAUUGUCAAUGCCUCCCUUGACUUCAUCAUGUGCUCUAUUUUCUCCCUUAUGCUUGACGCCUCUCCGUCCAUCUUCUUCCUUAGCUUAUCCUUCUUGUUUCCAGCGGGCUUGUGCUCGUUCCUUGCCUUAUCUUCACUAUCAUCCAUCCUAAGCAUUGCCGACUUCUUGGGUGCGGUCUCUUGAUCCCUUAACUUCCACUUGUCAUAAGUUUGAAGAAUUUUCCAAACAUGUUUAAAUGGGAAUGCUUUGCCCUUGGAAGCGGCCAUCUCCUUGUACCUCAAGUCGGCAAUUUCCUCCUACAAACCCACCAAUAGCAUAGUAAACAUAUAUGUACUCACAUAACAAAAGCAUAAAAAAUCAAAAUAAAUGUGAAAAACAUAUAUGUACUCACAUAUUCACUCUCCACGGUUCCACUAGGCGGUGCAUCCUUCACUUGGUCCAUUGCCGCACUCCAACGAGCACAAUGGGGCUUCAUCAACUCCCACCGGCCUUCGGCUUGAUCUUGCAAUAGACGUCCUCUAUGCGUUGCCAAUAGCGAUUACCGGUUUGAUCGGUACCAGUGCUUGCAUCCAACCCCACAUGUGCCCAAGCACGAACCAAGAGAAUAUCUUCGUCCUCGCUAUAGUUUGCUGAGCGCACGGUGGGUUUUGCAACGGCGGCGAACGCCUCCUCCUCUAUCUCGGUCACCUCCUCCUCAUCACCCUCUUCCUGCAAGUAAUCACUAAACCCAAAGGGUUUGAGAGAAGGAGCCCCGAUGUCCACCUCCGCUUCUUCGAGAAGCCCCAUGAACGAUGUUGGCGGGGCAGGCAUUCCGUCGAGCACCUCGUGCACGAUGGGCGGAGGUGCGGGGGCCGGGGCGGGCGGGGCGGCCGGGGCGGCCGGGGCGGGCGUCAGCUUCUUCCUGGAGGUGGUCUUCUUCGCCUUCGGCGCCGCUGCCCCCUUCGGCCCAAGGGAGGGCUUCUUCCUCACCUUCGGCGCCGUUGCGGCCGGGGCGACGGAGGCGACGGCCGGGGCGGGCUGGGGGAGGACGACGUGCUGGCCAGCACGCCGCCUCUUCGCGCCGACGGCCACCGCCGACGGUACCUCCGGUGCGGACAGAGGGAGCAAGGACGGGGUCGGCGCAGGCAUCGCCGAGGCCGAGGCCGGGGGCGGGGCGACGGGUAGAGGGAGGGAGGACACGGGCGGGGCGGCCGAGGCGAUGGAGGAGUCCGGCGGCGCCUCCAUGGCUCGCCGCGGGGCGGCCGGGGCGACGGAGGAGUCCGGCGGCGUCCGACGGGAGGGACCGCGCGAGGGGAAACUUCCCUCCCACGCAACGACCGGUGAAGUGCGGGUUGGAGGUGGGUUUCCCUCUCCAAUCCUUACUUUUACAGAUUGGGAGGGCAACCCCAGAUCCAAUCCGUAAAAAAAAAUUAAGGGUUUAGGGGUUUAGGGGUUCUAGUAUUUGCUGUUUUUUCGUUUUAACCUGUAAAAAAAUGGUUAUUUCUAUUUAUUUAAGGGUUUAAGGGCUCUACUAGACAUGCUCUUAGCGCCGUCGGAAGGGGAACCAGAGGCUACCGAAGCUACGGGCGCUGGACACCGUCAAGGUAGGUGGGAUGGAGCAGCGGGCGUCCUCAAUCCGACUAGAGGACGGCUGCGGGUUGCCUUCCAUAGUAGGAUUCCCCACCGCCUAUCCUACAAUUCAGAAGGGCAAAACAAUAAAAUGUACUCCCUCUGUAAAGACAUAUAAGAACGUUUAGAUCACUAACGGGAGUGAAUUUUUUUUGCUCGUGUGCAAUAUUAGUGAUUUCUAGCAGUGCCAUGAGCGGCGAGUUAGUGAAACUGAAAGAGUUGCUGACACAUUAUACAGUUCUCAAAAGACAAAGAAAUAGUAAUGCGUGUGAUGUUAAUAUAUUACGGCCUCCCAAGCCUGUUUCUAAUUUCAGUAAGUAUCGAGGGGGAUCUCGUCAUCAGCUCCAAGAAACCAUCCGUGAGCGCGACCUUCUUGAAAUUCCCAUCCGCCACCACGAAGUCGAUGCACUCUGUCUUCAGCUCCGGGCAGCUGUACGUGUCGGCACAGUCCAACACGGCGGCGACCGUGUCCACCGACACGUUGUCCAGCAGCCUCCGGGCGCACAGAAGCUUCAGCCGGUUCAGGGCGUACCGGUCCGCCGCGGCAAGAAGGUACCGGAGCGCCUCGUCCUCGCCGGGGUCGCCUCCAAGACCGGCGGAAAGGUCGUCCGUGUAUAUGAAGCGGAGCAUCGCCAUGAGCGUCUCGGGGUCCAUAUCGCGCACCGUGACGGGCGACGACGGCGAGGUGGCCUCCAGCAUCGAGCUGCUGAACAUCGCCUUGAAGACCCGCGAGCGGGCGGCGAGAACAGAACGGUGGGCGCGCAGCGGCGCCGCCUGGUCGUCGCCCACGACGAACGACACGUCCGUCAGUGCGGCGGAGUCCAGUAGGCCGCCGAGAUGAUCUCCUAUGCCCGAUGGCGGCACGGUGUUGACACCAGAUUUUGGCACGGUCAAUAACUUAUUUAAGAUGGCCUCAAAUGGAGAAGUGAUCUUCAUGAAAGAGUUCCGUAUUGUCGAUAUGAACAUCUUUGAAGUUUAGGUCAUUGCAGUCCGAUUUCAUCUCGAAGGCCGAAACUAUGCUCAAAGUACUAAGAUCUUAUAUUCAGAGUACAGUUUGGCUGAUUAAGCCCCCAAGACGACCUCAAAUGGAAAACUUAUCUACACGGAUUGUCUUCGUCUCGUCGAAGCGACCGAUUUUGAUAUAAAAAUAGUUUCAAUCCGAGUUUGUAUGCAAAAGUUAGAGGCAUCGGAAUACAGUCCUGUCACGAGGCAAAAAUUGGCGCGCCCCACCAGACACCCUGUCUGAUGGGUAGCGCGAGGAAUAGCCUAUUUUGCGCGAUCGAUUUGACCCUCAAGAUGACCUCUGAUCAAAAAAUAUUCAACAAAAAAGUUGUUCGUCUCGUUGAAACGGUCAAGAUUUCUUUUGGGCUUGUUUUCAUCCGAGAUCGUUUACCACCACAAAAAAGACCCGCAAGGUGCAGCCAGUUUAAACCGAACAGUUUUGGAAAGUUCGGACAAAACCAAUCCGAAUUUGACUAGGUUUUGAACGUGAAUCCAAGCAUUUUCCUUGCACGGGAAGUCCAGCCUCCUCUUAUAUACCUAAGGGGUGACGGCCGAUUGAACAACACACAAUCGAUCAAAUCAUAUACCACUUUUUAUCUUUUAUCUUUUCUCCUUAACCCUAGUUCUUCUUCUUCCUCGUUCUUCGUUGUUCUUCUUCAUUGCAGGGCGGCGAACCUCGAGGCCCUAGGGGCGGUCAGGCCGACCUAGGGCAGCCCAUAGCCGCCGCGCGCCUUGACGGGGUCCUUCCCGAGCGUGUGGGGUUUCGGGUCCUCAAAAGCACCCGCCGGAUUGCCUGCGUACCACGCUUCCGGCCGGGUCUCCUUCAACGUGAGCUGCGGUGCAUCACCCUCGGCGUUGAAGGUACACGGUGACGUGUUCGUGUGCGAACACACCUUUUUGACGACUCCGCUGGGGAAGAAGCUUUGAACGGUCUCCGGCCUAUUCUUGCUACGAAAGGAUCGUCAUCUAGGGUUUGCAAUCUACAAAGGUAAUAUGAAUACCCAAUUCCCUACUGUAGAUGCAAAUAAUUCAUAUGGUGUUACUAGAUUGUUCAAUGAGUAUACUCUAUCGGCCAGCCCUAGUUUUUUCGAUAAUGCAUCUAAUUACGUGCAAGGGACGAUUCAAAGUAAUUUGCAUGCUUUAAGUUCUUAUGAUACUAGUAACCUACACCAUAUGUAUCCCAACUCUCAUGCAUUGGCAACCCCACAAAUUGUUAUGCCGAUGAACAACAUGGUGAGUUCAGUUAUUUGAAACACCUCAUGUUAGAAUCUCCAAUGCCAUGCAAGAAAGUGUUUCACCCUUUUAUUCAUCGGCAAGUAAUGUGCAAUAUACUAAUCCAACCAUGCCGAUGAACGAGAGAAUUGGCCAUGCUGCUACUAGUUAUUCGGCCAGUUACUCUCAAACGUCAUAUGCUACACCUCAUGUUAGUAAUUCUUUGGCACCAUACACAACUGUAGAUGCUCAUAAUUCGGCUUCACACCUUCCUGGUUAUAGCCGAAUGAAUGUAAAUUUUACAGGAGUGGUUGUGCCCAAUAUUGUAGAAGAUGAGGUAGUGGUGGCUGCAUUGAAGAGUUUAGCCCAAAAUAAGAGAAUUAGUGCUCUUUGCCUUGAACAACAUGAAAAGGGGGCUAUUUCCUGAUUAUGCCGCAAUAAAAGCUAGAGUUUUGCAAGAAGAUGAAUCUUUGCCAAUUGAUAAAAUUGGCGAGCAAAAGGAUGGUCUUACAACAAUGCAUAUGCCUUCACCUAGUACUACAUCAUAUUAUACACCCCCUACACAAUUGUAAAAUUUCGGCAACACCCGUGUAUCAUUGCCGAAAGAAUCUAAAAGCAUUGUGGGGCAAUCAUAUCCGGAGUGGGCUAAAAUUGAGAAAAAGCUUAAAGCUAAUUUUGCAGCUCGCCGUCAGAAACAAAUAGAAAAAGAAUUGGCUCAGAUAAAAGAAGCAUUGCCAAUUGGUAGUAUCAAUGAAAAGAAGGAUGAUUCAGAACAUGAAAGUGCUUCGGUUGAAAAAGCCGAAUCAAGUAGUAUAUAUUUUGUAUCCAUCAAAUCCAACGAGGCAAGCAUUAUUGAGGAAGGGCAUGGCAAGCAUAGGAAAACAACAGUGCUUGAUUUUUCUAAAGUUAAUGGAACCUACUUCCUGCCCUAUAGUUCCGUGUCGUAGAAAUUGACAAGCUUCAAGGACAAGAACAAGUAUCCGAACAAAGUUCGGCCGACAAAAAUCUUCAGUGUAAUGGUGCAUGGAAUAAAGAAAAAGAUGAUGAAAAGGCGUUGGAGAGUCAUCCAAAGAUGAAGCUAAAUAUUAUUCAAGUCGCACCACCAUCAUGCUCUCCCAACGUAUUUGAAGAGGUAUGCAUAGCGAGUAAUUUACCUAUUUUCAGAUUUGGUCACAACUUUAUUGUUGAUGCAUCUAUUAGAAAAAUCCUCAUAGGUAAUUUUGAAAGACCAAUGAAGAAGGGUAAUUUACUUGUUAGCAAUAAAAUUGUUUUAGAACAUAUCGGUCAACCAAUUGUGCCAUUUAUAAAGAUCAAUAAUGACUUAUUAUUGCAGCCAAAGCUUUCCUCGUUGCUUUAUCUAAAGUUCAUAUCUAUUUGGGUAGCUUUGCUUAUUUCGUACUUGGUUUGCACUUGGUCUCAAUUGAGACAUGUAUGUUCAUAUGUUCUAACUAUUUUUAUUUUAGAAAUUUAAAGCCAAGGUUAAAUCCUGUUGAGAAAACUGAUGAUAGUAUAAUAUCUUACCCAAAGACAUCGGAGAUAGAGUGCAAAACAUAAUGCAUAGCCGAAUGGUGUGAUGCAAAAUCUGAACCAUUCGUUUGCUUAACUCCAAAGCCGUUCUCACAACAAGAUCGGCUAGAGAAUGAAAAGUUUACCUUCAAUUCAAGCAUGUGUGAUCAAAUAUUUGAUUUGUUGUUGCAAAAUAAUUAUAUUAGAAGUCUUGAUCACCAUGUUGAACCAUCUGUCCAAGGACGAAUGUAUUGUAAGUUGCAUGAUUCGUCCAAGCAUAAUUUUGAGGAUUGCAACAAGUUUCGUCAAAUAGUUAAAUCGGCCAUUGAUAAAGGACGAUUGAAAUUUGUUGAGACACCAAGAGAUGACCAGUCUAUUCCGAUUGGUCCCGAUGGCAGAAAGUUUUUGCAUCGGCUGCUUCAAGCCGAUCCAUUUGAAGAGAAGGUAAAAACUACAGGUGAUGGGAUCAAGCUUUCAAGUAAAGAAGUUGUUGAAGAGAAUAAUGAACAUAAUCUUGAGGGAAAGAAUUCCAUCGAAGCUACAAUGGAGACACCAAGGACUGGAGGGCAGCAAGCAAAUCCAAUGAUCGAUGAAAGCAAACCAAAAGAAAACAAAGGCCGAAAUAAGCGCAAGUGUAAAAGAUCAAAAAUCACCUUCGCUGAACUAUUGGAUAAAUAUCAAAAAAAGUGUGAAGAGAAGAAUGCUUAUCGGCCAAAUCAUGCAAAGAAACCAAGGUCACCCCCAAGGUGCAAAUAUGAGGAUCGGUAUUGGCAAAGUGAUAAUUUUAAUGCAACAUAUUCAUAUCCUUAUUUUGGGCCGCCAAUGCCAAUGCCGCGGAUACCUCCCUAUGCUCAUAUAGAUACAUAUUCAUCAUGGGACAGGUAUGAUACAAGGGCACAUUCUCCAUCUUAUUCUAGACCAUCACACCAAUACUAUGCAGCUCCAAGGAGAUCAACAUUUGAACAAUCACGCGUCAAAGACCGUUUCAAUCAUAAGGAAUCGGUCCAGAGCUCAAGAAAGAAGAAAGAGGUGGUAAAGCAAAUUUACUGCGUGAAAAGAGAUGGUCGUAAGUAUGCUGCUUCAGAUUUGAUCUCAAAUAAUAAAGAGCCAAUUAAAGUGUUGACAUUGGCUACAAAAGGCAAAGAAGUGAAGCAAUCAAUUGAUAAAAAUCAGAGUGUCAAAUCUGAAGAAAAGAAGUUGAGGGUGCACUGUUGGGGAACGUUGCAGAAAAUUAAAAAAUUUCCUACGGUUUCACCAAGAUCCAUCUAUGAGUUCAUCUAAGCAACGAGUCAAGGGAGAGAGUUUGCAUCUACAUACCACUUGUAGAUCGCGUGCGGAAGCUUGCAAGGUGAUGAUGUAGUCGUACUCGACUUGAUUCGAAUCACCGAUGACCAAGUGCUGAACGGACAGCACCUCCGCGUUCAACACACGUACGGGACGGGAGACGUCUCCUCCUUCUUGAUCCAGCAAGGGGGAAGGAGAGGUUGAGGAAGACAGCUCCACCGGCAGCACGACGGCGUGGUGAUGGUGGAGAGGCAGUACUCCGACAGGGCUUCGCCAAGCACACAACGAAGGAGGAGAGGUGUUGGGGAGGGGAGGGCUGCGCCUUGGAGGGUGGUGCGGCUGCCCUCCCCUCACCCCUCUAUUUAUAGGGGGAAGGGAGAAGGGGCCGGCCCCCUAGAACCCAUCUAGGGGGGGUGCGGCGGCCUAGGGGAGAGGGGAGAGGGUGGCUUGCCCCCCAAGCCAAGGGGAGCGCCCCCUCUAGGGUUCCCCCUCAACCCUAGGCGCAUGGGCCCAAGGGAGGGGGGUGCGGCCAGCCCACCAGGGGCUGGCUCCCUGCCCCACGCAGCCCAUGUGGCCCCCCGGGAGGGGUGGCCCCUCCCGAUGGACCCCCGGAACCCUUCCGGUGGCCCCGGUACAAUACCGGUAUGACCCCGAAACUUCCCGGUGUCCGUUUGACAACUUCCCAUAUAUAAAUCUUUACCUCCGGACCCUUCCGGAUCUCCUCGUGACAUCCAGGAUCCCAUCCGGGACUCCGAACAACAUUCGGUAGUCACAUACUAGUCUUCCUAAUAACCCUAGCGUCACCGAACCUUAAGUGUGUAGACCCUACGGGUUCGGGAGACAUGCAGACAUGACCGAGACGCUCUCAGUCAAUAACCAACAGCGGGAUCUGGAUACCCAUGAUGGCUCCCACAUGCUCCUCGAUGUUGUCAUCGGAUGAACCACGAUGUCGAGGAUUCGAUCAAACCCUGUAUGCAAUUCCCUUUGUCAAUCGGUACGUUACUUGCCCGAGACUCGAUCGUCGGUAUCCCAAUACCUUGUUCAGUCUCGUUACUGGCAAGUCACUUUACUCGUACCGUAAUGCAUGAUCCCGUGUCCAACACCUUGGUCACAUUGAGCUCAUAAUGAUGAUGCAUUACCGAGUGGGCCCAGAGAUACCUCUCUGUCAUACGGAGUGACAAAUCCCAGUCUCGAUCCGUGUCAACCCAACAGAUACUUUCGGAGAUACCUGUAAUGCACCUUUAUAGUCACCCAGUUACGUUGUGACGUUUGAUACACCCAAGGCACUCUUACGGUAUCCGGGAGUUACACGAUCUCAUGGUCGAAGGAAGAGAUACUUGACACUGGCAAAGCUCUAGCAAAACGAACUACACGAUCUUUUAUGCUAUGCUUAGGAUUGGGUCUUGUCCAUCACAUCAUUCUCCUAAUGAUGUGAUCCCGUUAUCAACGACAUCCAAUGUCCAUAGUCAGGAAACCAUGACUAUCUGUUGAUCACAACGAGCUGGUCAACUAGAGGCUCACCAGGGACAUAUUGUGGUCUAAGUAUUCACACGUGUAUUACGAUUUCCGGAUAAUACAGUUAUAGCAUGAAUAAAAGACAUUUAUCAUGAACAUUGAAAUAUAAUAAUACUUUUAUUAUUGCCUCUAGGGCAUAUUUCCAACAGUCUCCCACUUGCACUAGAGUCACCAAUCUAGUUACAUUGUGAUGAAUCGAACACCCAUAGAGUUCUGGUGUUGAUCAUGUUUUGCACGCGAGAGAGGUUUAGUCAGCGGAUCUGCGACAUUCAGAUCCGUGUGCACUUUGCAAAUCUCUAUGUCUCCAUCUUGAACAUUUUCACGGAUGGAGUUGAAACGACGCUUGAUGUGACUGGUCUUCUUGUGAAACCUGGGCUCCUUGGCGAGGGCAAUAGCUCCAGUGUUGUCACAGAAGAGUUUGAUCGGCCCCGACGCAUUGGGUAUGACUCCUAGGUCGGUGAUGAACUCCUUCACCCAAAUCGCUUCAUGCGCUGCCUCCGAGGCUGCCGUGUACUCCGCUUCACACGUAGAUCCCGCCACGACGCUCUGCUUGCAGCUGCACCAGCUUACUGCUCCACCAUUCCACAUAUAUACGUAUCCGGUUUGUGACUUAGAGUCAUCCAGAUCUGAGUCGAAGCUAGCGUCGACGUAACCCUUUACGACGAGCUCUUCGUCUCUUCCAUAAAUGAGAAACAUGUCCUUCGUCCUUUUCAGGUACUUCAGGAUAUUCUUGACCGCUGUCCAGUGUUCCUUGCCGGGAUUACUUUGGUAUCUUGCUACCAAACUUACGGCAAGGUUUACAUCGGGUCUGGUACACAGCAUGGCAUACAUAAUAGAUCCUAUGGCUGAAGCAUAGGGGAUGACACUCAUCUCUUCUUUAUCUUUUGCCGUGGUCGGUGACUGAGCCGAGCUCAAUCUCACACCUUGUAACAUAGGCAAGAACCCCUUCUUGGACUAAUCCAUUUUGAACCUCUUCAAAAUCUUAUCAAGGUAUGUGCUUUGUGAAAGACCUAUGAGGCGUCUCGAUCUAUCUCUAUAGAUCUUGAUGCCUAAUAUGUAAGCAGCUUCUCCAAGGUCCUUCAUUGAAAAACACUUAUUCAAGUAGGCCUUAAUGCUGUCCAGAAAUUCUAUAUUAUUUCCCAUCAAUAGUAUGUCAUCUACAUAUAAUAUGAGAAAUGCUACAGAGCUCCCACUCACUUUCUUGUAAACGCAGGCUUCUCCAUAAGUCUGCAUAAACCCAAACGCUUUGAUCAUCUCAUCAAAGCGAAUGUUCCAACUCCGAGAUGCUUGCACCAGUCCAUAAAUGGAUCGCUGGAGCUUGCAUACUUUGUUAGCAUUCCGAGGAUCGACAAAACCUUCCGGCUGCAUCAUAUACAGCUCUUCCUUAAGAUGUCCGUUAAGGAAUGCCGUUUUGACGUCCAUCUGCCAUAUCUCAUAAUCAUAGUAUGCGGCAAUUGCUAACAUGAUUCGGACGGACUUCAGCUUCUCUACGGGAGAGAAAGUCUCGUCGUAGUCAAUCCCUUGAACUUGUCGAUAAACCUUAGCGACAAGUCGAGCCUUAUAGAUUGUAAUAUUACCAUCCGCGUCCGUCUUCUUCUUAAAGAUCCAUUUGUUUUCUAUCGCUCACCGAUCAUCGGGCAAGUCUGUCAAAGUCCAUACUUUGUUUUCAUACAUGGAUUCUAUCUCGGAUUUCAUGGCUUCAAGCCAUUUGUUGGAAUCCGGGCCCGCCAUCGCUUCUUCAUAGUUCGAAGGUUCAUUGUUGUCUAACAACAUGAUUUCCAGGACAGGGUUGCUGUACCACUCUGGUGCGGAACGUGUCCUUGUGGACCUACGAAGUUCAGCAGUAACUUGAUCCGAAGUACCUUGAUCAUCAUCAUUGUUUUCCUCUUCAGUUGGUGUGGGCAUCACAGGAACGGUUUCCUGCGCUGCGCCACUUUCCCGCUCAAGAGGUAGUACUUCAUCGAGUUCUACUUUCCUCCCACUUACUUCUUUCGAGAGAAACUCUUUUUCCAGAAAGCAUCCGUUCUUGGCAACAAAGAUCUUGCCUUCGGAUCAUAAGUAGAAGGUAUACCCGACAAUUUCCUUAGGGUAUCCUAUGAAUACGCAUUUUUCCGACUUGGGUUCGAGCUUUUCAGGUUGAAGUUUCUUGACAUAAGCAUCGCAUCCCCAAACUUUUAGAAACGACAGCUUAGGUUUCUUUCCAAACCAUAAUUCAUACGGUGUCGUCUCAACGGAUUUAGACGGUGCCCUAUUUAAAGUGAAUGUAGCUGUCUCUAGAGCGUAUCCCCAAAAUGAUAGCGGUAAAUCGGUAAGAGACAUCAUAGACCGCACCAUAUCCAAUAGGGUGCGAUUACGACGUUCGGACACACCGUUUCGCUGAGGUGUUCCAGGCGGCGUGAGCUGUGAAACGAUUCCACAUUUCCUUAAGUGUGUACCAAAUUCGUGACUUAAGUAUUCUCCUCCACGAUCUGAUCGUAAGAAUUUUAUCUUUCGGUCACGUUGAUUCUCUACCUCAUUCUGAAAUUCCUUGAACUUUUCAAAGGUUUCAGGCUUGUGUUUCAUUAAGUAGACAUACCCAUAUCUACUCAAGUCAUCAGUGAGAGUGAGAACAUAACGAUAUCCUCCGCGAGCCUCAACGCUCAUUGGACCGCACACAUCGGUAUGUAUGAUUUCCAACAAGUUGGUUGCUCGCUCCAUUGUUCCGGAGAACGGAGUCUUGGUCAUUUUGCCCAAGAGGCAUGGUUCGCACGUGUCAAACGAUUCAUAAUCAAGAGACUCUAAAAGUCCAUCGGCAUGGAGCUUCUUCAUGCGCUUGACACCAAUGUGACCAAGGCGGCAGUGCCACAAGUAUGUGGGACUAUCGUUAUCAACUUUAAAUCUUUUGGCAUCUACACUAUGAACAUGUGUAAUAUUACGCUCGAGAUUCAUUAAGAAUAAACCAUUGACCAUUGGAGCAUGACCAUAAAACAUAUCUCUCAUAUAAAUCGAACAACCAUUAUUCUCAGACUUAAAUGAGUAGCCAUCUCGCAUUAAACGAGAUCCAGAUACAAUGUUCAUGCUCAAACUUGGCACUAAAUAACAAUUAUUAAGGUUCAAAACUAAUCCCGUAGGUAAAUGUAGAGGCAGCGUGCCGACGGCGAUCACAUCGACUCUGGAACCAUUCCCGACGCGCAUCGUCACCUCGUCCUUCGCCAGUCUCCGUUUAUUCCGCAGCUCCUGCUGUGAGUUACAAAUAUGAGCAACGGCACCGGUAUCAAAUACCCAGGAGUUACUACGAGUACUGGUAAGGUACACAUCAAUCACAUGUAUAUCAAAUAUACCUUUGGUGUUGCCGGCCUUCUUAUCCGCUAAGUAUUUGGGGCAGUUCCGCUUCCAGUGACCCUUCCCCUUGCAAUAAAAGCACUCAGUCUCAGGCUUAGGUCCAUUCUUUGACUUCUUCCCGGUAACUGGCUUACCAGGCGCGGCAACAUCUUUGCCGUCCUUCUUGAAGUUCUUCUUACCCUUGCCCUUCUUGAACUUAGUGGUCUUAUUGACCAUCAACACUUGAUGUUCUUUCUUGAUUUCAGCCUCUGCUGACUUCAGCAUCGAGAACACUUCAGGAAUGGUCUUUUCCAUCCCCUGCAUGUUGUAGUUCAUAACAAAGCUCUUGUAGCUUGAUGGGAGCGACUGGAGGAUUCUGUCAAUGACCGCCUCAUCUGGGAGGUUAAUGUUCAGCUGGGUCAUACGGUUGUGCAACCCAGACAUCUUCAGGAUGUGCUCACUGACAGAACUAUUUUCCUCCAUCUUACAACUGUAGAACUUGUCGGAGACAUCAUAUCUCUCGACCCGGGCAUGAGCUUGAAAAACUAGUUUCAGCUCUUCGAACAUCUCAUAUGCUCCGUGGUGCUCAAAACGCUUUUGGAGCCCCGGUUCUAAGCUGUAAAGCAUGCCACACUGAACGAGGGAGUAAUCAUCAGCACGAGACUGCCAAGCAUUCAUAAUGUCUUGGUUCUCUGGGACGGGAGCGUCACCUAGUGGUCCUUCUAGGACAUAUUGUUUCCUGGCAGCUAUGAGGAUGAUCCUCAGGUUCCGGACCCAGUCCGUAUAGUUGCUGCCAUCAUCUUUCAGCUUGGUUUUCUCUAGGAACGCGUUGAAGUUCAUGUUGACAUUAGCGUUGGCCAUUGAUCUACAAGACAUAUUUGCAAAGGUUUUAGACUAAGUUCAUGAUAAUAAAGUUCUAAUCAAAUUAUGAACUCCCACUUAGAUUAGACAUCCCUCUAGUCAUCUAAGUGUUACACGAUCCGAGUUGACUAGCCCGUGUCCGAUCAUCACGUGAGACGGACUAGUCAUCAUCGGUGAACAUUCUCAUGUUGAUCGUAUCUUCCAUACGAUUCGUGUUCGACCUUUCGGUCUCCGUGUUCCGAGGCCAUGUCUGCACAUGCUAGGCUCGUCAAGUUAACCCUAAGUGUUUUCGCUGUGUAAAACUGUCUUACACCCGUUGUAUGUGAACGUAAGAAUCCAUCACACCCGAUCAUCACGUGGUGCUUAGAAGCGACGAACUGUAGCAACGGUGCACAGUUAGGGGAGAACACUUCUUGAAAUUUUAUAAGGGAUCAUCUUAUUUACUACUGUCGUCCUAAGUAAACAAGAUGCAUAAACAUAAUAAACAUCACAUGCAAUUAUAUAGUUGUGACAUGAUAUGGCCAAUAUCAUAUAGCUCCAUUGAUCUUCAUCUUCGGGGCUCCAUGAUCAUCUUGUCACCGGCUUGACACCAUGAUCUCCAUCAUCAUGAUCUCCAUCAUCGUGUCUUCAUGAAGUUGUCACGCCAACGACUACUUCUACUUCUAUGACUAACGUUUAGCAAUAAAGUAAAGUAGUUUACAUGACGUUAUUCAAUGACACGCAGGUCAUACAAAAAAUAAAGACAACUCCUAUGGCUCCUGCCGGUUGUCAUACUCAUCGACAUGCAAGUCGUGAAUCCUAUUACAAAGAACAUGAUCUCAUACAUCACAAUUCAUCAUUCAUCACAACUUGUGGCCAUAUCACAUCACAUGAUCAAUCGCUGCAAAAACAAGUUAGACGUCCUCUAAUUUGUUGUUGCAUCUUUUACGUGGCUGCAAUUGGGUUCUAGCAAGAAUGUUUUCUUACCUACGAAUCACCACAACGUGAUUUUGUCAACUUCUAUUUACCCUUCAUAAGGGUCCUGUUCAUCGAUUCCGCUCCAACUAAAGUGGGAGAGACAGACACCCGCCAGCCACCUUAUGCAACUAGUGCAUGUCAGUCGGUGGAACCGGUCUCACGUAAGCGUACGUGUAAGGUUGGUCCGGGCCGCUUCAUCCCACAAUACCGUUGAGCAAGAAAAGACUAGUAGAGGCAAGUAAGAUGACAAAAUCCAUGCCCACAACAAAAUUGUGGUCUACUCGUGCAAAGAGAACUACGCAUAGACCUAGCUCUGAUACCACUGUUGAGGAACGUUGCAGAAAAUUAAAAUUUUUUCUACGGUUUCACCAAGAUCCAUCUAUGAGUUCAUCUAAGCAACGAUUCAAGGGAGAGAGUUUGCAUCUACAUACCACUUGUAGAUCGCGUGCGGAAGCUUGUAAGGUGAUGAUGUAGUCGUACUCGACGUGAUUCGAAUCACCGAUGACCAAGUGCUGAACGGACAGCACCUCCGCGUUCAACACACGUACGGGGCGGGAGACGUCUCCUCCUUCUUGAUCCAGCAAGGGGGAAGGAGAGGUUGAGGAAGACAGCUCCACCGGCAGCACGACGGCGUGGUGAUGGUGGAGAGGCAGUACUCCGACAGGGCUUCGCCAAGCACACAACGGAGGAGGAGAGGUGUUGGGGAGGGGAGGGCUGCGCCUUGGAGGGUGGUGCGGCUGCCCUCCCCUCACCCCUCUAUUUAUAGGGGGAAGGGAGAAGGGGGCCGGCCCCCUAGAACCCAUCUAGGGGGGGUGCGGCGGCCUAGGGGAGAGGGGAGAGGGUGGCUUGCCCCCCAAGCCAAGGGGGGCGCCCCCUCUAGGGUUCCCCCUCAACCCUAGGCGCAUGGGCCCAAGGGAGGGGGGUGCGGCCAGCCCACCAGGGACUGGCUCCCUGCCCCACGCAGCCCAUGUGGCCCCCCGGGAGGGGUGGCCCCUCCCGGUGGACCCCCGGAACCCUUCCGAUGGCCCCGGUACAAUACCGGUAUGACCCCGAAACUUCCCGGUGUCCGUUUGACAACUUCCCAUAUAUAAAUCUUUACCUCCGGACCCUUCCGGAUCUCCUCGUGACGUCCAGGAUCCCAUCCGGGACUCCGAACAACAUUCGGUAGUCACAUACUAGUCUUCCUAAUAACCCUAGCGUCACCGAACCUUAAGUGUGUAGACCCUACGGGUUCGGGAGACAUGCAGACAUGACCGAGACGCUCUCAGUCAAUAACCAACAGCGGGAUCUGGAUACCCAUGAUGGCUCCCACAUGCUCCUCGAUGUUGUCAUCGGAUGAACCACGAUGUCGAGGAUUCGAUCAAACCCUGUAUGCAAUUCCCUUUGUCAAUCGGUACGUUACUUGCCCGAGACUCGAUCGUCGGUAUCCCAAUACCUUGUUCAGUCUCGUUACCGGCAAGUCACUUUACUAGUACCGUAAUGCAUGAUCCCGUGUCCAACACCUUGGUCACAUUGAGCUCAUAAUGAUGAUGCAUUACCGAGUGGGCCCAGAGAUACCUCUCCGUCAUACGGAGUGACAAAUCCCAGUCUCGAUCCGUGUCAACCCAACAGAUACUUUCGGAGAUACCUGUAAUGCACCUUUAUAGUCACCCAGUUACGUUGUGAUGUUUGAUACACCCAAGGCACUCUUACGGUAUCCGGGAGUUACACGAUCUCAUGGUCGAAGGAAGAGAUACUUGACACUGGCAAAGCUCUAGCAAAACGAACUACACGAUCUUUUAUGCUAUGCUUAGGAUUGGGUCUUGUCCAUCAUAUCAUUCUCCUAAUGAUGUGAUCCGGUUAUCAACGACAUCCAAUGUCCAUAGUCAGGAAACCAUGACUAUCUGUUGAUCACAACGAGCUGGUCAACUAGAGGCUCACCAGGGACAUAUUGUGGUCUAAGUAUUCACACGUGUAUUACGAUUUCCGGAUAAUACAGUUAUAGCAUGAAUAAAAGACAUUUAUCAUGAACAUUGAAAUAUAAUAAUACUUUUAUUAUUGCCUCUAGGGAAUAUUUCCAACAUGCACAAGGCCCAAAAAGAGUUGCCAUUGCUUGAAAUAAAAUCACAACCGAGAUGCCCACUCGGUUUAUCAUAUUGGCAAAAGAAGAAAUUACAAAAUCUUAGUGCACAAGAGCUGAAAAAGAAGAACAUGGCAUGGGUUCCCAAGAAGGUCAAUCAACACAAAAAUGGUGUGCAUGCUUCUAUUGCAACAAGUACAAUAAAAGUGAACAAGGCAAAUAAUAAAUGCAACAAACAAUUAAGCCGAAGGUGCGCAUCACAACAUCAAAAUCUUCGGUUAGCACAUCAUCCAUUUUCUUCAACCAUGCUGUUGAUGCCUUUGCCAUGGAAUUCAUCCCUAGGUAUGAUCAAUUACCCUCCAUGGAUUUAUUUUGAUCCAUGGAUGCAACAUAAUUUUCUAUAUCAUGAGAGGGUAUUACCAAAUUACCAUACAUUUGGUUAGUUACAUUGUUGCUAAUACAAAGGGGCCGAAAUAUUAUAUUCCUAUUUUAUUUGUUUAUUUCGGCUAUACAUACUUUGGUGGGUGAAUUCUAGAUGGACCUCAUGUUAAUGGCUAAUAUUUAUCUGUUGCCCUAAGAAUAUGUCAAAGCAUGGCCGGUGUAGUAUCCUAACAUCGUCAUUAGUUCAAUUGAAGAGCAAAACAAGCCUCAUGUCGCUUAAAAUAUUUUUUCACAAUGAUCAAAGCCGAAUAUAAAAUUUUAUUCGGUUUGGAGCUUUUGGUUGCCAUAGGUACUAUACACAUUGAGGCUUUCGGUGAUUCGUUAUUAGUAGUGCAACAAAUAUCCAAGGGUUAUCAAUGUUUUGACGAAUCACUUAUAGUUUAUCUUUUGGUAUGUCUAGAUGCAAGAUUUACCUUGGGUUGCUUUUAAAUUGUUCAUAUGUAUAGGCAUGACAAUUCGAAAGAGUUGGCACAGCAAGCGUCCGGCUACUAUGUUAACCAUGGUGUAUUGCAUUUCUAUCAAUAGCCGAUGCUAGGUCUUGUCAACAUAGGUAAGACUGAAUCGAAGCCCACCGCUUCGGCCACUAAUGAAAAUUUUAUGCAGGUGAAGUAAGGAUUGGAGGAAGUUUAUUCUUGAUUAUCUGCAAAAUCCUAGCGAAAGGGUGAACAAUAUGGUUCGGAGGAUGGUUUUGAUCUAUGGAACCUUAUCACCGGAUUGUUAUAGAAGCUGAGAAGUUUUCACCCAAGUUUGCAUCAAGAGGUUCAAACAAGCAAUGGACGAUAUAUACUUGUCGUCCUAAGAACAUGCAAACUGGCCGAUGGAGUGUUGACAUCGUCCUUAGAACAAGCUAUGCGGAAGUUAUUUUUCGGCACACAAACUUUGCCAAAAAAUAGGGGGGCAUGUGUUGACACCAGAUUUUGGCACGGUCAAUAACUUAUUUAAGAUGGCCUCAAAUGGAGAAGUGAUCUUCAUGAAAUAGUUCCGUAUUGUCGAUAUGAACAUCUUUGAAGUUUGGAUCAUUGCAGUCCGAUUUCAUCUCGAAGGCCGAAACUAUGCUCAAAGUACUAAGAUCUUAUAUUCAGAGUAUAGUUUGGCUGAUUAAGCCCCCAAGACGACCUCAAAUGGAAAACUUAUCUACACGGAUUGUCUUCGUCUCGUCGAAGCGGUAGAUUUUGAUAUAAAAAUCAUUCCAAUCUGAGUUCGUAUGCAAAAGUUAGAUCCAUCGGAAUACAGCCCUGUCACGAGGCAAAAACUGGCGCGCCCCACCAGACACCCUGUCUGAUGGGUAGCGCGAGGGAUAAUCUGUUUUACGUGACCGAUUUGACCCUCAAGAUGACCUCUGAUAAAAAAAUGUUCAACAUAAAAGUUGUUCGUCUCGUCGAAACGGUCAAGAUUUCUUUUGGGCUCGUUUCCAUCCGAGAUCGUUUACCACCACAAAAAAGACCUGCAAGGUGCAGCCAGUUUAAACCGAACAGUUUUGGAAAGUUCGGACAAAACCAAUCCGAAUUUGACUAGGGUUUUGGACGUGAAUCCAAGCAUUUUCCUUGCACGGGAAGUCCAGCCUCCUCUUAUAUACCUAAGGGGUGACGGCCGAUUGAACAACACACAAUCGAUCAAAUCAUAUACCACUUUUUAUCUUUUAUCUUUUCUCCUUAACCCUAGUUCUUCUUCUUCCUCGUUCUUUGUUGUUCUUCUUCAUUGCAGGGCGGCGAACCUCAAGGCCCUAGGGGCGGUCAGGCCGACCUAGGGCAGCCCAUAGCCGCCGCGCGCCUUGACGGGGUCCUUCCCGAGCGUGUGGGGUUUCGGGUCCUCAAAAGCACACGCCGAAUUGACUGCGUACCGCGCUUCCGGCCGAGUCUCCUUCAACGUGAGUUGUGGUGCAUCACCCUCGGCGUUGGAGGUACACGGUGACGUGUUCGUGUGCGAACACACGGCUAUCCCAUGUUUCAUCGGGAGGGGCUUGCCGUCGUCGACAACCAAGACCGAACACCUGACCGUGACGCGCCCAUCGCUCCUCGUGUCAUAGUUGUGGAGAUCUCUCUGGUGGACGAACUGAUCGAACCCCCAGAAGUCAUCAUCCCUAUGGUCGUCCUCAGGUGAGUCACUGAAGCCGAAGACAUGCACGGCCCGCCUGUGCCACAAGAAGCGUGACGCCCCUGCCGCCAGCUGGUCGUUUCCCGUAAUGGCGGCGUCGAAGAUGGCCGUGACGUUCUUGGCUUCGUCCAUGAGCUCGAGGUACACGGACACGAAGCUUCCGACGUCGUUCGGGUAGCAUGCUAUCCGCCAUUCGUACCCUCCGGCAGAGAAGAUGUCGGAGUGGAAAACGUGGUCGAAUGGGAACUGAUCGAUCGACAAGUAGUUGAGCUCGAACUCCGCGGCACCGGUGGAAUCCGACAUUGCCGGACGAUUGAUCGAUUAUACAAUGCUAGCUGCUACUGCUGUUUUGUAGACAGAAAUCGUGGGCUCCGUGCGUUAGGGUUUGGGUGUUAGAAUUAACCACGAUUAUGUUAGCUUGUCCGGCACGACUCUUAAACAUCACCGAUUCGUAGCGGUACUAGUUAGCUUCUGGUAUAUAUACCGAAAAAGUCUUUCGCCCUGCUUUAUAUAUAAAGCAAACCGCCCAAGCCAAACAUCCAACAAAGUUUAACACAAACACACACAUACAUGAAGGUCUCGCAGGCGCACAGAGUAAUCAUAAGGGUUAAUAAUGCUGAGGGCACGGCACAACAAGCCCUGAGAACAAAACACACACUCAACACAGCAACCCGAGCAACAUCUAGUCGGGCUCCGGUGGAGGGGGCGGCAGCACAGCAGGGGCGCCACACGGAAAGCCAUCGAGCGAAGGUCGACGAGGAGGGUGUUGAUGGCGUCCCGGUCCUGAGGGCGGCUAAGCGGCCGCCAAAGCUGCAAGUAGCCACACAUUUUAAAGAUCGCGUCAGUCGCACAUCGGAGAGGCACUUUCUGAAUAACAAGCUUGUUGCGGAUGGUCCAAAGCGUCCAGGCGAGGACCCCAACGCACAGCCAUCUAAUAUGGCGGUAGCGAGGGGAGGAGGCGUGGAUCUCCGCAAGUAAGUCGGGGAAGUCAGUGUUGCACCACUGUCCACCGACCGUCUCGCGGAAGUAGGCCCACAGGAACUGGGCAGUGGAGCACGAGAAGAAGAUGUGGUUAGCAUCCUCCACCGUGCGGCACAUGGGGCACAUCCUAUCUCCUGGCCCAUUACGCUUGAGGACCUCAACCCCAGAGGGGAGACAUCCAUGGAUCGACUGUCACAGGAAGAUACGGAUCUUCAAAGGCAGUCGAAUGUCCCUGAUAAGGCUAAAGGGCUUAGGGGCUGAUGACGGUGCGAUGGCGGCGUACAAGGAUUUAGUGGAGAAGCGGUCAGAAGGCUCCAGACGCCAAGUGAAGGAAUCCGGAGUAUCCUCGACGUCCAUCGGCAUAUAGGCAAUGUCCCGGAGGAGGGAGUCCCAAGCAGCCACCUCAGGGGGGCCAAAGGGCGCCGGAAAGCGAGAUGCCCUAAGUCAAUAAGAGCCAUCUCGAUAGAAACCCGAGGGUCAACCGCAAUGGCAAAUAGUUCCGGGAAUCGAGCAGCCAAGGGGGAAUCCCCUAAUCAACGAUCGAACCAGAACAGUGUCGAGGACCCGGAGCCAAUCGAGAUGGAUGUGCCGAUGCGAAGGACGGGAAGGAGCUGAAUCACAGCCUACCAGAACUGGAAGCCACCAGAGCGCUGGCAGAAAGCUAGAGGUUGACCCCUGAGGUACUUAUUUCGGAUGAUGGUAAGCCAGAGUCCUUCCUUCCUAUUGGCGAUACGCCAAAGCCAUCGGGUCAGAAGAGCAAUGUUCAUGCGCUUUGGUAUAUAUGUAUCCCCUUGUAAUCAUAUUAUUAUACUAGAUCAGAGCAAUAAAAUCUACGGAAAUGCUACAAGUCUCACAUCAAGUUUUUAGACAUGACAAAUCAAAUAUUUUCAUGGCAAUUUAUAUUGACACGAGGAUGACACUUUAGUUUGAGCACCACAAUUUUUUUGACAAAAAAUGAACUCAGGCGGAUUUGCCGUGCUCGCCAACUAAAGUUGUCAUUCUCAACAAACAUAAUUUGCUAUGAAAACAUUCGAUUUGGCAUGCCUAAAAAUUUGGUUCGCUAGACAUUCAGGUCCGGACGCUGAUAAUGCGCGUACGUUCGGCCUGGGGAACCCCCAAACCGAACAAGUCAUUCGGUACGAGGGAUCACCACCAACGAACGCUUUCGUUCAAUGGGAGAACCCCCACGCCCGAACGCAUCCUCUCGCCACGUACAUGCCUUUCCCUGUAAAAAAAGAAAAUUAAAGCCCAAUAGCAAAACAAUAGAAAAUCACAAGUUUUGUUUUUCUGUUGUGAGGAAACUGGACCGUGAAAAUAAUGUAUAAUUGGUCACAUCAAAUUUUUAUGAGAAACAAUGUCAUGGGAAAUAAAAAUUAAAUUUUGUCAUGGUUGAAAAAGCAAUGAAACAUUGCCAUGGUCCAAAAAAUUGAAAUUAUCAUGCUGUAUAAACUACAUUUGCCUUUGUCCAUAAAAAAUGUCGUGCCAAAAAAUAGAUAGAAAAAUUUGCCAUGAGCGUUUAAAAUUAAAUUUGCCUUGUAUGUUGUUGUAAAAUUGCCAUGGCAAUAUAGGAAGGUUGGCAAUUGCAAAAAAAAAAAACAGGUAAAAUUUCCCAUCGAAAAUAAAAAGUAAAUUUUUGCCAUGGUUGAAAACAAAUGAAAUUUGCCAUGGUCCGACCAAAAAAGAAAAUUUCCAUGUUGUAUAAACUACGUUGCAUUGUCCGUAAAAGUAAAUUUUUCCUGGCAAAAAAUAGAAAGUAAAAUAUUGCCAUGAAAGUUUAAAAUUAUUAUCGUGUAUGUUACACUAAGAAUGACAUAGCAAUAUAGGAUGAUUAGAGAUACCAAAAUGAAGAUAAAUUUCCAUGGGAAAUAAUAGGUAACUUUUGACAUGGUUGGGAAACAAAUUAAAAUUUGCCAUAGUCCAAAAACUAAAAAUUGCCAUGUUGUAUAAACAACAUUUGCCUGAUCCAUAAAACUAAAAUUGCCAUGCGUGCAUAGAAAGUAUGCCAUAAGCUAGUUUGCAGUUGUAGCCCUCAGAUUUGGUUACAGUAUAAACAUGGCUAGCCAAAUUAUCCACAAAUUAACGACAACUAACUAAACCAAAUAGAAACCAACCUCGGUUAGUGGUCUCACCAGAAACGAAAGCUAGGCAGCACCAAGCUACACUAGCGUCUGUUUAUUCUUCAGAUCGAAACACAUAAGCACAAUCUUAGGACUUGAACUGUUGGCGGCAAUGGCAGCAGUCGAAAGCAGCAAGACGAUGUCGUCAUCUUGCACCGUCGCACUACCAAAUCUACACCACACAGCACCAACAAAGCUAAUGGCCAAAAUUCAAAGGGUUUGGAACUAAAUUGUAGUACAUCAGAAUAUGCUAAUGCCAAUUCCUGGGUACAGUAUGAGUCCCAUUUAUCUGUCAGUUAGUAUGUGACAGAGGAGUAAAUACGUGCUUAGAUUGAUAAUAUUUGAAAUUUAUUUAUAGCUCACUAGAAAAUAAAAACGUUGUCGCCUGAAAGAACUCAUAGACUAAAACAAAUAUGUUCUUAUUGAGAUGACAAAACUCACAAAGAAAUAAAAUAUUCUGAGUCUACAAAGACUAACCUCAACAUACUAUUCCUAUGCCACUCCAAGAAAAUAAAAAUGAAGGUAAAAUUUGCCAUGGAAAAUAGUAUGAACAUUGCAAACAUAAAUUAUGAACAAAAUAGUGCCAUGGCAGAUUCAUAUUGGAAUUUGCCAUGGUAUGCCCCCAUGGAAAUGACAAGAGAAGAUUGAAAUGGUUGUAAAAGUGAAUUUGCCAUGGUCCAGGGAAAAGGAAUUUUGCCAUUGUUCAAAAGAAUAAAGAAAAAUGCCAUGUUCCGUCAAGUGAAUUUUCCAUGGCAGAUUCAUAUUGGAAUUUGCCAUGGUAUUCCUCCCAUGGAAAUGACAAAAGAAUAUUGCCAUGGUUCGUGAAGUGAAUUUGCCAUGGUCCAGUGAAAAAGAAGUUUGCCACUAUCCAACAAAUAUGAAAAUUGCCAUUGUCCAUUAAGUGAAAAUGUCAUGGUCUAUAAACUGAAUUUGCCAUGGAAAGGAAAUUUGACAAUGCCUUCAUCAAUUAAAAAUUUAAAACAUGGAAAACAUGACAAUGGGGGCAAACAUGCUUUUAGUUGCCAUGGUAAAAAAAUACAUCUAUAAAUUUUACUGAUUUUAGUUGCCAUGGCAAGUUUGCCAUGUUUUUGAACAUAUUAAGGGCCUGUUCAGCAGCUCUCCAACUCCAAUAAAUCCACAAAUCCAGCUUCGUUUUUGGAUCGCCAGCUUCCGGCGCGAGCGCUAGCGCUCAGAAAUUCGUUCGGCCCCUCCGCUCCAGCUUCUCGUACGUGUUAACAGGCCAACCUGGCUAGGUGGGCUGGAGCCCAGCCGGCUCAACAGGUAAGGUGGCCUGAGGCCCAGGCGAACACACGAGAACAGGGGAGAUAAAAGUAGCGAACCGGUAUGUGACCCCCUUGAUUCACUUCGCGGUGGCAGCUGCUCGUAAAUAAAGCCAACUCCAGAUUCCCGAUUUCUGAGAUCACCGAAAUCGUCGCUCCGAUUUUUUUUACGUGCGUGUCGCUCCGCUCCAGGAAGCCAGCUUCAUGGAGCUGGGCCGUUCGGGCUAGCUCCGCUCGCAUAUUUACGGAAGCUGGGAGCCAGCGAGCUACCGAACAGGCCCUAAGAUGCCAUGUUUUUUUAACAUAUUAAGAUGCCAUGUUUUUGAAGAUCUUAAGUUGCCAUGGCAAGUUUAUCAUGUUUUUGAACAUCUUAAUUAGAGAAGUUUGCCAUGUUUUUGAAUAACUUAAGUAAGGAAGUUUGCCAUGUUUUUGAACAUCCUAAGAUCUCCAUGGCAAGUUUGCCAUAUUUUUGAACAUCUUAAGGUUCCAUGGCAAGUUGGCAAGUUUUCCAUGUUUUUGAACAUCUAUAACUUUGCUAUGUUUUUGAACAUCGUAAGUUUCCAUCACUACAAAAGUUACCAUGAAGUUCAAAUAUAUAUGGAUACAACAUGGAAAGAAGAUGGAAAAAAAAUGAAGUUUACACUUCAAAAGUUGCCAUCAUGGCAACAUAUGCAAAAAAGGUAUGGCGAAAAAUGUUUCUCUAGACACAUGAUUUUUUUUGAAAAAUGGAGAAAACAUCUGAAAGUGAUAUGGUACAUGUAAUCGCCACGGCAAAACAAAUUUCGAAGGAUCAAAUACUUUUUUCCAUGGCAAAACAAAUUUGAAAGAUCAGACUUGCCGUGUUACCAAAGUAAUUUGUUAUUGUCAUGGCAACAUUUUUCGGAUGGACAUGGCAAAAGAUAAAAUGAAUCAUGGCAACACAUGUUUUUAGUUGCCAUAGGUAAAAACACAUAUAUAAAUUUACCAAUUUUAGUUAACAUGGCAAGUUCAACAACUUUUGAUAUCUAGGCAAUGGCAAUCGUAUGAAAAACAACAUGGCAAGUUACUGAUUUUUUUCCCCAGAAACGGUCAUGGCAAAAUGUAUCAAAAAGUCAUGUUCCCCCUAAACAUGUCAAGUUGUAAACAAAAAGACAAAAUUGCCAUGGAAACACAACUUUAAAAAGUAGAUUUCUAAACUAAAAGUUGCCAACUAACAACUUAAGUUUAGAAGAUGUAAAAGUUUCAAAGUUUAGAGAUGGCAAAUAUAUGUAAGUUUGCAUCUCGAGCACUAACUAAUGCCGACAACAUGGAUUCAAGGUUAAAACCACAAUCAUGUUCACACCAAGUUGCCAUGAUUUUCAAAAAGUAAAGAAGUACCAUGGCAAAUCACAUGAAUUUCGUCAUAUAUAGCAUUAUACAGUAUAAAAUUGCCAUUGUGUUUGAAUAAGGAUAGAGAUGAAAAUUGACAUGAACUUUGCAAGUACCUACUACAUGAAUUAUCUGCGUUUGAGAGAGAAAACAUGGGGAAAUGGAGGAGAGUAGUACACCUGCAGUCGUCAAUGGGUGCCUGAAUGUAGAUGACGACCAAGAAGCGCCGAAGAGAAGGAAUGAUGUACGAGAUCAGAGAACUGCUCGAUGCCUCCGGCUUGCUCCUCUUGUAAUUUAGGAAAAUGCAAAUUGUUGCACGCCAAAAUUAGCACAUCGUGUGUCUGGAAUCAUGGCAUAAAUUAGCACAUUUUGUGUCCUGAGUUAUGCCAAAAAAUAUUAGAGAAUGUUGAAAAGGUCGCAUGACAAAUGUAGUAAUUUUUAUAUGCUGAAGCAUGGCAAAAUUUGGAAAAACUCAUGUACUUCUUACAUGGCAAAAUUUAGUGUGAGAAUUUGAAUACUGUACAGACAAGAAAGCUGCUAGCUAGUAACGAGUAAGACUACCCACAGUAAAAGUAACAUAGAUGAUAAUAACAUCACACAUCUUUAGGCAAAACAGAUGAUGUGACGAGUAAUUAAUGAGGAAAGAGAAACAUGUGAUAAUAUAGCUAGUUACUGUAACAUCACCCAUACGAAGACAAGAUGAGUCUACAACCUAAUAAAUAAAAUGUUGCAUGACACCACAUAUAUGUUACUUCCACUAUAGAGGUAGUAACAUAGACUAGUAACAUAUGCAUGAUGAAAGAUUAAGUUACUACCCAUUAUGACUAGUCUAGGACUACCAGUGGAGUAGAGUAGUAUUAGUCCAAUGAGAUAGACUGAGACGUAGUACUUACAUGCAUGAUGAAAGAUUAAGGUAACAAUCAAUGAGAUACAGGUGUCACUCUGCCUGCGCCAUCCAGGCCCUGGCGUAGCCAGUGACACAUGCGACCUUCUGGAGCUCCUCGUCGUCCUCGUCCCAGCAGAAAGCACAUGACGUUGCACACGAACUCGGGACACAAAAUGUGCUAAUUUAUGCCAUGAUUCGGGAUACAAGAUGUGCUAAUUUUGCCAUGCAACAAUUUACAUUUCCGUAUGAUCAUUGUACCGAUUUUUAUUACUAGAAUUAGUACUGCAGUACUAACUCGCCAUAUUUAGACAGUACUAACUCAUAUGGUCGCAAUACUGAAAACUGGUAUUUUGCUAGAGGGACAUCAAUUGUCACUAGCUAAAUAGUCUUCUAAAAUUUCAUUGUAAUAAUAAUCGGAGCUAUUACAAUAAAUUGAUCGGAUGUUUCUCUCUGAGUUGAAGACUAAUAAUUCUUUAGAAAACAAGACUUUUAUUGCAAAUAUUAAUUCCAACAGUCAGAUCAGUCGAGAUCGAGGACGAUGAAUUGGCGGAUGCGUGGUAGCUAAGGAUAUUAAUUUUGCACUUUGAUUGCAAACAUUAGCUACAUUUGUCCUUGUGGUCAGAAGCUAGCAUAUCUCUUUUCAAAAUGGAUCAAUGAAGCAGUUGUAGACUAGCGCCACUAUAUAUUGGGAAUUGUCGGGAGCUAGCCAUCAUCAGUGUCUCCCUUGAGCCUUGUUGGUUUGCCACUGCUUGAAACAACACGAAAAUACGUAUACAGUGGAGGAGAAAGAGAUGGUAAGCUAUAAAAGAGGGAAAUAAAAUAAAUAGCUCUUAGAUACUAGUACUGUAGUACAUUCCAGCAACAUUCAAAUGGAGGAGAAAUCAUUUCAAAAAAAAAUGGAGGAGAAAGAUCUAGUGAAGUGUAAUAAUUAACAAAUCUGUUAGCGAGGGAAUAGGAGGCGUUGGGGAAGAAAUAUACGUUUGACUACAAAGUUAGGCAAUAGUAUGUGCCUGAGGUUCAAUCAUAGCUAAGCUUUUUUGAAAUCAAAAUCAUAGCUAAGCUUUAACCUUCCUAUUGGAUGAGAAUCUGAGACACCACCUCUGCUACAUUGGAUGAGAAUCCUCUGAGAUCUGCGACAGCAUGGACGUGUCCUUCCUCCAGAUUCCUAUUCAUGGAGUCAACUGGAGGUAGUUUCCCAGCCGCCACUCCGCCUUUGACCAGGGAAAACAUUGACCAUUUUUUUCUUUUUGAGGCAAGGAAAACAUCAACCAAAUGAGUCAUCCCGUCCCACUUACAAAUAGCCCAGGCCCAUGCCGCCAAUGCUGAUUAAAAAGGCCCAUAAAACGACAAGAUCAACAAGCCCAAUUAACAAAGGGAAGAAUGGGGAAGACCGAGUCGAAACCGAUGCUACAUGAAGGUCGUCAUUCUAACAAUGAUUCUCAUAGCUUAGCAAAGUUUUCCCUUAAUCAAGUUUAGGGGCGUCACAUGUGGCUUCCUCAACCCGAUGAUCCUUUAUGUAUCCCACAAACUGUCGUAUUUAAUGAAUAAAGUUAUGUUCAUCCCUCAAAAAUAAAAAACGGGGGAAGGCCGCCUGAAAUCGCUAUUCAAGCCCGGGGAGCUUAGUGAUUUUAAGUAUUAUACAUAUUUUUCAACCGAUUUUUCAUUCAAUCUAUGCCUUCAGAAAAUUAGAACAGUCGGAACUGUGCUUCAUUAGUUUUUUACAAGGCAUAUUCUUUUGUUAGUUGGUUUUUUUUUCUUGAAUUUGUCCAUCAUUAGCAUAUGCGGCAGCGGCAGUAAAACACACAAAAUUCCCAAAAGAAAAAGUGAAACGCAAAGCUAGUAGGAGAAACCAUUGAUCGUGUUGAUGAUAGUAUUAAAGUAUAAUACACCAUCUUCCUCCUUGAUCAUUAUUAUUAUUACAUCAUAAUAACCCCUCCAUCAUCUUCCUCCUUGCAAAAUAUAAGCGGUACCGUAAUUAUAGAUAAGUGGGCGACGACGACAAAUUGGGUUGAUGGGUGAUUAAAGAGUAGCAGGGAUAAAGGAAGCGCACGCGAUCGAGCUUCGUGCUCGUUGAAUGUAGUUCAGGCGUGGGGGUUCAGCCGCGACUUGCGGGCGGCGACGGGGCUUUCGUUGUCGUCCAUGACGGUCUCGAAGGCGCCGACGAGAGCCUUCACCUUGUUCACCUGCCGCAGCUCCAGCAGCUUGAUCCGCGCCUCCUCGACCGCCUCGUUGCUGCGUGCCGACUCCCGCCGCCGCGGCGUGUCAGCGUCGAACGACCGCUUCCCCGUCGACGUCCUCACCCGGCAGCCCUGGAACCUCCACACCACCUCCGCCUUGAUGUCAUCCUCACGCUGCUGCUUCUUGGCAGCCGCGAUUUUGUCCACUUCGGCAACGGUGUCAUCCGGAGCAGGAGGAGCUUCCUUCUUGGGCACCUCCUCCUCCUCCUCCUUGGGCACCUCCUCCUCCUUCUUGGGCUCCUCCUCCUCCUCCUCCUUCUCUGCGGCGGCGUCCUCCUUCUUCGGCGAGUUAUUGCGCGCCUCUUCCUGUUCCUCCGCCACGGGCGCCAGCUGAUUGAUCACGGGCGACGGCGGGUUCGCCUCGUGUAUGAUCUUCUCCGGCACGAUCUCCUCCUGCUUGGAGGCGGCUCCGGCGUCGACGACGUCGUCGGUGAUCUGAUCGUCCAAGGAAAAGACGCUGCUUUCAGCGUCAGACCCCUUGCUGGCGACCGACCUGGGGCUGUCCACUUCGCCGACGUCCGCCGCCAAGUUCCUCUUGUGCCGGGACGACCUGCCGCGGAAGGCGCGGGAGGCCCGCUGCAUGAGCUUCCUCGGGGAGAACAUCGACGAGUACGACGCGGACUUGGGCUUCUGCUGCUUGGUGCCCCUGGGGGUGGCCGGCGGCGUGUCGGUGGAGGUGGCCGCCAUGCAGUUGAUGGACGGCGCCUUGUGGCGCGCGAAGGCAGGCGCGUUGGCCGUGGACGUCGAGGCGCGCGCCGACUGGUACUGGGAGGAGGAGGAGGAGACGCUGAGCGGCGACGGGGAGGACGCCUGCUUCGCGCUCGCGCUCCGCCGGAGCACUGGCGCGCCGUCUUCCGCCGGUGGAGCCCUACGCUGCUUCGGCAUAUAGAUCGACAAAGGACAACCGUGAGACGUGGCGGUGUUAGGGCAAAUCGAGAACAACCCUAGCUACGAACAAGGCGUCCAAUAAGUACAUCCAACCCUAGUUCCGAAAAUUAUAGUAUAUAUAUAAUUAAUAGGAAAACCAAUUCUAGGAAGAUUGGGAACUAAGUAAUGACUAGGAUAUAAUUUUGAACGUGUAUUUUGGAGUUGUUUGUUCGAACCAUGUCUAAUCAAAAGAACUGAUGCUGAAGAGUAUGAAUUAUUAAUUUUCAACACAUGGAAACUCGAUUUUGUGUUCCAGCCCGGCCCAAUAACCGGCAACAUGUCCAAAGAAGAUAUUGUUACUCCGAACAUCAUAAAGUGUAAGUAAAUUUACCUGAAGACUAUACGACUUCAUUUCUUAGAGGAGAUGGAGAGGGCGACGCGAUGGAUUUUUAGUUAUAAGCGUGGCGCCGCGCUAGGAGGUAGGGAGGAGACAAAGGGCCCCAUAUGAAGGCCCCAAAUGGCCUGAAAAUUGCACGGUGAAGGAUUGGAGGAGAUGACAACGGAGGAGCGUGCGCUAGGAGGAGGGCGAAUGCAACAGUUAAAACCGUCUUGGAAUCUAUUGUUAGAGAGGAAACCGACUAAGUUGGGGAGAAGUUCAUGCGUAACCUCAAGUGCUCAUGCCCAGAAUCGCAUGGCUUGGAGGAAUUUUAGGAGCCGUAUUUUUUGGUUCCUCUCAUACCUACGCAUCUGUAAUACAAUGUGUUUAGGGAAUUAUAUUUUAACUCUGUUUUAGUUAUGAAGGUGAUAUCCUUAUAAUUUUCUUUCAUUCGUCAGGUAGUAAAAUUCGCAAAGUCUUUCAUGGAUUUAUAUCAAAUAAUUAGAGAAGAUAGGUUCCAAGUCGAGGCCGCUAUACAAGUGCCCGGUCAGUUGAACACAGAGGAGUAUCAAAUCAUUCACUAAAUAGUCCUUUUUUUACUCUCUCUCUCUCUCUCUCUCUCUCUCUCAUAAAAUACGCCCAACCUAAGAUUUCCUGGAAAAACACCUAAUAUCUAAACCAGAGGGGUCCUCCUCAAUAGGAAAAACACCCAACCUAAGAUUUCCAGGAAAGAAACACCUAAGAUCUAAACCGGAGGGGUCCUACUCAGUAGGGAAAACACCUAACCUAAGAUCUAAACUGGCGGAUCUCCUUUCAUAAAAAAAAGACCAUAUCUACAGUGUGUGAGCCAUCCAACCAAAUUGCCCACAUCGGUUGUCUGAAAGUUUUCUUUUUGAUUAUUCAAUCUUGGUUUUUUCCUUCAAACCCCACCAUGGUCUUCCUCCAACCCCUCACAUCGUCCUACCCUUAAACCAUCCUAUAUAUGGCACUCCGUCCCUGCUACAGAGAUCCCCAAGGUGAGAUCUAGAUCUUCCCCAAAUGUGCCCGCUAAAUCUUCUCACUCAACAUGCUCUAGCUUCGAGCCGGUGCUCAUCGGCAGGGUUCACCGAGGUCGGCCCCGACCCGGAAUGGGGUUUCCAUCCAAGCCAAUGCAUUCCUCCCUCACGUGGACCAUGCCCCCAUUGCCCUCUUUGAUCAUCCCUCCCAUGCGCACCUCUGAUCCAAAAACAUUGCACGGCCAUCCAAUUCAUGUGGGUAAGCAUAGCAAGUCUUCAGAAGAAUUCAUCCUUGCAUUGAGGUUUCUAGAAUGCACCACGUGUUUUCUAUAGUGUAAUCGUCACCUAUGUAUGCUUUUGGAGCAAUACUCUACUAACUGAUUCACUGUGGAUGAGUUACUCUAGUUUAUACCAAACAAUGUCCAUAAUAACUGGUAAUUUGGUAUAUACAACUACGAAAAAGGUUCUUGAACAUAGCAUAGUAAAAUGAGCGAAAAAAGAGAAAUUAUCUAGUGAGAAUUUGACCCCAAAACUCCUUUAUUAUGGGCAUUGUUUAAUAUAACCUAUAACGGAUCUAGAAAAUAACUCAUCCGCGGUGAAUCGGGUAACAAAAUAUUGAUCCGGAAAGCAUAUACAAUAGGUGACGUUGGCGUUGUAGAAAACAAGGGAUGCAUCCUAGCAACCUCAAUGCGAGAAAUGGAUGAAUUCUUUUGAAGACUCGAGUAACCGCUCUGUUUACCCGCAGGCAAUGGAUGGUCGCACAAAGCUUUUGGAUCGGAGGCUGCAUGGGAGGGAUGAUCGAAGUGAGCGAUGGGGGCACGGACCACAUGGGCGAGGAAGGUCUCGGCUUGGAUGGAAACCCCGUUUGAGGUUGAGGCCGACUUUGGUGGUGCCUGCCGAAGGGCAUCGACUAAACGCUAGACCACGCUGAGGGAGAAGUGAAGGAAAUAUGCCCUAGAGGCAAUAAUAAAGUUGUUAUUUUAUAUUCCCUUAUGUCAAGAUAAAUGUCUAUUAUUCAUGCUAGAAUUGUAUUAACCGGAAACGUGAUACAUGUGUGAAUACAUAGACAAAACACCGUGUCCCUAGUAUGCCUCUACUAGACUAGCUCGUUAAUCAAAGAUGGUUAUAUUUCCUAACCAUGGACAUGUGUUGUCAUUUGAUGAACGGGAUCACAUCAUUAGGAGAAUGAUGUGAUGGACAAGACCCAUCCAUUAGCUUAGCAUAAUGAUCGUUCAGUUUUAUUGCUACUACUUUCUUCAUGUGAAAUACAUAUUCCUCCGACUAUGAGAUUAUGCCGGACACCGGAGGAAUACCUUGUGUGCUAUCAAACGUCACAACGUAACUGGGUGAUUAUAAAGAUUCUCUACAGGUAUCACCGACGGUGUUUGUUGGGUUGGCAUAGAUCGAGAUUAGGAUUUGUCACUCUGAGUAUCGAAGAGGUAUCUCUGGGCCCUAUCGGUAACGCACAUCAUAUGAAGCCUUGCAAUCAAUGUGACUAAUGAGUUAGUUGCGGGAUGACGCAUUAUGGAAUGAGUAAAGAGACUUGCCGGUAAAUAUAUUGAACUAGGUAUGAAGAUACCGACGAUCAAAUCUCGGGCAAGUAACAUACCGAUGACAAAGGGAAUAACAUAUGUUGACAUAGCGGUUCGACCGGUAAAGAUCUUCGUAGAAUAUGUGGGAACCAAUAUGAGCAUCCAGGUUCCGCUAUUGGUUAUUGAUAAGAGAGGUGUCUCGGUCAUGUCUACAUAGUUCUCGUACCCGUAGGGUCCGCACGCUUAACGUUUGAUGACGAUAUGUAUUAUAUGAGUUGUAUGUUUGGUGUCCUGGAUGAGAUCACAGACAGGACGAGGAGUCUCGAAAUGGUCGAGAGGUAAAGACCGAUAUAUUGAAUGGUAGUAUUCGGACACCGGAAGGGUUCCGAAGUGUAUCGGGUACAUACCGGAGUACCGGAGGGGUUACCGGAACCCCCCUCCCCACCCCCCCCCCACCCGGGGGAGGGGAUAUGGGACAUAGGAGGGUGGCUAACUAGCUCACAAGGGGCUGGUGCGCCCCCCACAAGGGAGGAGGCCGAAUUGGACUAGGGAAGGGGGUGCCACCCCCCUUUCCUUCUCCUAGUCCCUCUCAUUCCCCCUUUCCCCCUCAGUUAGAAGGAGGGGGGCGACUAGGACUAGGAGUCCUAGUAGGACUCCCCCCAUGGCGCACGCCCUAGGGCCGGCCUCCUCCCCUCUCCCUCCUUUAUAUACGUGGGCUGGGGGACCUCUAGGACAUCAAUUGUCUUAGCCGUGUGCGGUGCCCCCCUCCACCGUUUACUCCUCCGAUCAUAUUGUCGUAGUGCUUAGACGAAGCCCUGCGCUGAUCACUUCACCAACACCGUCAUCACGCCGUCGUGCUGACGGAACUCAUCGACUCCUUCGUGCCUCUACUAGAUUAAGAGUUCCAGGGACGUCAUCGAGCUGAACAUGUGCAGAACUCGGAGGUGCCGUAUGUUCGGUACUUGAUCGGUUGAUUCAAGAAGACGUUCGACUACAUCAACCGCGUUAAGUUAACGCUUCUGUUUUCGGUCUACGAGGGUACGUGAACACACUUGAUGAUCCACAAGUAUAUGGGUUCAAUUGUAGCCUUUUCGAUAAUUAAGAGUGUCAAACCCAACGAGGAGCAGAAGGAAAUGGCAAGCGGUUUUCAGCUAGGUAUUGUUUGCAAGUGCUAAAAUUGUAAGUUGUGGAUUAGUUUGAUAGCAAGAUAAUUUGUAACAAACAAGUAACGAAAGUAGUAACAAAAGUGCAGCAAGGUAUCCCAAUCCUUUUGAGACAAAGGACAGGCCAAAACGGUUUCUUAUGAUAAGCAAAGUGUUCUUGAGGGUACACGGGAAUUUCAUAUAGUCACUUCCAUCAUGUUUGCUUAAUUUGUUUUCGGUACUUUGACAAUUUGAUAUGUGGGUGGACUGGUGCUUAGGUGUUGUUCUUACUUGAACAAACCUUCUACUUAUAAUUAACCCUCUCGCAAGCAUCCGCAACUACAAGAAAAGUAUUAAGAAUAAAUUCUAACCAUAGCAUUAAACUUUUGGAUCCAAUCGGUCCCUUACGGAAUAGCGCAUAAACUGAGGUAUAAGCUUCUGUCACUCUCGCAACCCACCAUCUAAUAACUACUCCAUAAUACAUUCCCUUAGGCCCAAAUAUUGUUAAGUGUCAUGUAGUCGAUGUUCACAUGACACCACUAAGAUAACGGCAACAUACAUAUCAUCAAAAUAUUGAACACAUAUCAAGUUCACAUGAUUACUUGCAACAUGAUUUCUCCCGUGACCUCAAGAACGAAAGUAACUACUCACAAAUGAUAAACAUGUUCAAGAUCAGAGGGGUAUUAAAUAGCAUAAUGGAUCUGAACAUAUAAUCUUCCACCAAAUAAACCAUAUAAUAAUCAACUACAAGAUGUAAUCAACACUAGUAGUCACCCACAAGCACCAAUCUAUAGUUUUGAUACAAAGAUUGAACACAAGAGAUGAACUAGGGUUUGAGAGGAGUUGGUGCUGUGAAGAUGUUGAUGAAUAUAGCCCUCCCCAAGAUGGGAGAGUUGUUGGUGAUGAUGAUGACGAUGAUUUCCCCCUUCGGGAGGGAAGUUCCCCUGAUGGAAUCACUCCGCCGGAGGGAAAAACUGCUCCUGCCCAAGUUCCGCCUCGAGGAGGCGGCUCUUCGUCCCGAAUGUCCUCCUCUGAUUUUUUUUAUAGGCCAAAAUGACAUAUAUACCAAACGAUGGGCACCGGAGGUGGGCCAAGGAGGGCAGCACCCACCAAGGCGCACCUGGGCCUCCUGGCGCGCCCAGUUGGAUUGGGAACACCCGGUGGCCCCCUAUGGUACUUAUUUGCUCCAAUAUUUGUUAAAUAUUCCUAAAAAAAUCCUCGUGAAGUUUCAGGUCAUUUGGAGUUGUGCAGAAUAUGUAGCUUGACAUAGCUUUUUCAGGUCCAGAUUUCCAGCUGCCGGAAUUCUUCCCCUUGGUGCAUACCUUGCAUAUUAUGAGGGAAAAGGUAUUAGAAUUACUCCAAAAAGCAUUAUUAUACAAUAAAACAACAUAAAUAACAGUAGGAAAACAUGAUGCAACAUGGAUGUAUCAACUCCCCCAAGCAUAGACAUCGCUUGUCCUCAAGCGAAAACCAAAACCGAAAAACAUUCCACAUGCUUAGAGAGAGAGAGGGAGAGAGAGGUGUCGAUAAAAACAAAAAUACGGACAUAGCAGCAUCAUGUGACUUAUUAUAACAGAAACAAACUUUAAUAUAAAACUUUUGUCAUAGAACUUUUAUCAUAGACUUCUCAUGAACAAGUGACCAUCACAACAUAAAAGUAUAAAGCAUAAACUCUGACCAACAAACUAUGUUCUCAGUCAACUUUGCAACUACAAUUCAUCAUUUUUUCAGGAAGGGUCACGUAUCGGAGCCUUUAGGCAAGUCCACAUACUCAACCAUCAUUUAGUCUUCUAUGAUUGCUAACACUCACCGCGUACACAUGAGCAAAACGUUUCAACCAGACACAAAGAAAGAUAGGGGCUUAUAGUUUCGCCUCCCAACACACUCACCUCAAGGGUGAUGUCAACAAUAAUAACUUAAUGCCAUCCAUAUUCAACUAGACAUAUGUGCCUAGAUCUUUCCUCGCCACAUGAUGCUUGCCAAAGGAGAAAAAUAAAAGGAAUAGAGAGAAAAACUUUGACUCUUGCAUGAAAGUAAAAGAUAGGCCCUUCACAGAGGGAAGCAGAGGUUGCCAUGCGCCGCGCUUUUGUUUGUAUGCUCAACCCCUUAGUGCAAGAGAAUGUCAUGUUAUAUUGCCCCUUGUGAUAGCAACCUUUAUUAUGCAGUCUGUUGCUUUUAUUCUUCACCAUCACAAGUUCGUACAACACUCAAUUUUCCCUUACACUAAAUGAUCUCACAUUUUUAUAAGCAAUUUUUUGUUGCCCUUUUUGCACCGAUGACAACUUACUUGAAGGAUCUUACUCAAUCCAUAGGUAGGUAUGGUGGACUCUCAAACAAGAUAGGGUUUAAGGGUUUUGGAUGUACAAGUAGUAUCUCUACUUAGUGCGGAGUUUUUGGCUAGCAAAGAUAGGGGCAAGCACCACAUGUUGAAGGAUCUAUGACAAUAUAACUUCUAUGUGAAUAUGAACAAACAUAAAUCAUUAAGUUGUCUUCAUAGUCCAACGUCAACAAUUUUGGCAUAUAAUAUUUUGAUGGGUGCUUACAAUCAUAAAAGAUUUCCAUGAUAGUAUAUUUAUAUGUGAAUCUUCUCUUCCCUUAUUAAUUCUUUCAUGAGUUGCAUCAUUGACCAAUGCUAUGUUUGUUAAUCUACAAUAAAGCUUUCUGCUUAUACUUUUCCUUGUGUAAUGUCAUCACUUACCAUAAGGUUAGCAUAUGAUCUUUUUAUUUUUAUUGCAACAAGAAAGUAAAGAAGGCAGAACUCAAACUAAACUUUAUUAUAUCUCGCACACGAUUACAAGGAUUGACCACUAAGCAAACUCACAAAAAGAAAGGAUCGAACUAAACUUUUAUUCAUCUAAUAGCAAAAGAUAACCAUGGAUCGAAUUAGGAAAGUAAAGGCAAAAGAUAGUGGAGAUGAUAUGAUACCGGGGCACCUCCCCCAAGCUUGGCGAAAGCCAAGGGGAGUGCCCAUACCCGAUACUCAAUUUUAUUUUGGUGGUGAAGAAGAAGGUGGUGGUGAUGAAGUAGUGGCGAUCAUAUUCUUUUUCUUUAGCUUGUUUCGGAGGCAGAAAUUUUCUAUCCUCAAGUCAUCGUUCUCCUCCUUGAGCUUUAGUAUCCUCUUGCAUAAUGUUUCCUUGCUUUCCUUCAGGAAGCGAGGAGGGACCGAUUCAUCUUCAUCUUCUUCAUCAGAAAACCAUAUGUAGGGAUAGGUGUCCUUGAAGACAUUUUUAACUAAAGGUUGAUAAGAAACUGGGCUCUCCUUCUCGGAAUCUUGAGACGACAUAUUUUCAUAUCUAUCAGAAAGCAGCAAGAAAAGAAAAUAGGAGAUUUCUACGUGAUACGGAGGUUAACAGGUUCAGGAGGUAUAUAUAGAUUUUUUUAUCUUGGGAAACAAGCAGAACGGAAGAAAAAUGGAGUCCAGAAAGUACCCGAGGUGGGCACAACCCACCUGGGCGCGCCAGGCAUGCCUGGCGCGCCCUGGUGUAUCGUGCCCACCAUGGUCACUUUCCUGGAAUUUUCUUAUUUUCCUAAUUUUAUAAAUAUUCCAAAACUAACAAAAAAUAUUUUUGUGGAUUUUUUGAAGUCUGAUUACUUACCAUAUCACGUACCUCCUUUUUUUGCAUUAUUCUAGAGUGUUCCGGAAGGUUUCCUUUAUAUGUUCUUCCGGUGUCAAAUUUUGGGUAACAUUGCUUUCAACAUUAAUGGGCGUACCUGAGAUAUAGUGUUUUAUCCGUUGCCCAUUGAUAACCUUCGGGUUAGUCCCUUCGGCAUUAUUUAUUUAGAUAGCUCCGGAUCGAUAGACCUCCUCUAUGACAUAGGGUCCUUCCCAUUUGGAGAGGAGUUUUCCUGCAAAGAAUCUGAAAUGAGAGAAAGGACAUAUUCUCUGAGUUUGAACUCAUGCUUUUGGAUUCUUUUGUCAUGCCAUCUUUUAAUUUUUUCUUUGAAUAACUUAACAUUUUCAUAAGCCUGGGUUCUCCAUUCAUCUAAUGAGAUAAUAUCAAAUGACCUCUUUUCCGCAAUAAGUUUGAAAUCAUAAUUGAGUUCUUUUAUUGCCCAAAAUGCUUUGUGUUCUAACUCAAGAGGUAAAUGACAAGCUUUUCCACAAGCCAUUUUAUAUGGAGACAUACCCAUAGGAUUUUUAUAAGCCGUUCUAUAAGCCCAAAGUGCAUCAUCUAAUUUCUUAGACCAAUGCUUCCGGGACCAAUCGACGGUCUUUUGUAAGAUUGGAUUUAUUUAUCUAUUGCCGAGUUCAACUUGACCACUAGACUGAGGAUGAUAAGGUGACGCAAUUCUAUGGUUAACAUCAUACUUAGCAAGCAUUUUACAGAAAGCACCAUGAAUAAAGUGUGAACUGAUGGCCCACAAGUAUAGGGGAUCAAUUGUAGCUCUUUUCGAUAAGUAAGAGUGUCCAACCCAACGAGGAGCAGAAGGAAAUGACAAGUAGUUUUUAAGUAAGGCAAUGUCUGCAAGUGCUGAAACUGUAAGUAGCGAGUAUCUCUACUCUUAAUGGAGCAGUUGGUAGUCUCGCUUCCAGGUUUUUUUUCGUCCCACCACUUUCGUCCGGUUUUUUUUGUAGGUUAAUCGUCGUAGAUUUUUUUCGAUACUGGUUUCUUAUUCACCGGUUUAUUUACCCCUCAGUUCUUUCCUUGCAAAUCAGCACUUUCCAAACGUGCACGCAAUCACGGAUCUAAAUUUACUAACUUAUCCAAAUCAACCGAUACCUUCCAUUAUUGCAAAUUUCUUUAGGAAACAAAUAAUAGAUUUUAAGGAAACAAAUAAACCGUGCAAAACCAAAAAAAAAACCGUCUCUCGAUCCACCCGAUGCGGCCGCCCUAUCUCCCUCGUACAUACGGGAAAUCAAUCAAUCAUUUCCAUAUGCAUCAGACAGAGAGAAAAAGGAUGGAAAGUUUCUUUUAAAAUUUAGGGUAUGAUUUUGGCAUGCAAUCAGGAGUUAUGAUUUUCCUAAGAAAGAGAUAAUUGACUUUUGUCCAUGAAAUCAAUCAAUCAUUUCCAUAUGCAUCAGACAGAGAUAAAAAGGAUGGAAAGUUUCUUUUAAAAUUUGGGGUAUGAUUUUGGCAUGCAAUCAGGAGUUAUGAUUUUCCUAAGAAAGAGAUAAUUGACUUUUGUACAUGAAAUCAAUCAAUCAUUUCCAUAUGCAUCAGACAGAGAGAAAAAGGAUGGAAAGUUUCUUCUAAAAUUUGGGGUAUGAUUUUCGCAUGCAAUCAGGAGUUAUGAUUUUCCUAAGAAAGAGAUAAUUGACUUUUGUCCAUGAAAUCAAGCAUUGCCAUAUGCAUCAGCCAAAGGAACGGUGAGAAGGAAAAGAAGAAAAAUAUGCGGUGUUUAUUUCUAUAUUUGGGACAUCCGUGCCAGCAUUUAUCUCUACACCUAAUGUUUGAAAAAAAACACAAUUUGCCGUAGAUCUCAUCCCAAGCCGCUACUCCACGUCUCCGGACGAGACGCAGCCGCAGACGCCGACGCUGAUCCAGGGAGUCAACGCCGCGACGCCGGCGACCGCCGCCGCCAUCGCGGAUCACCAGGACGCCACCGCCGCAGGCACCUCGGAUACAUCACGGAAUACCAGAACGUGGCCGUCGCGGAUCACCAGGACGACACCUCCUUCCCCUCACUCCACCUCACGCCGCCCGCCAGAUUUCGCCGUGCAUUGACAGCCAUCGACGACCCACUCCACCCUACCUGCCCCGGCCCCGACGCCGCACGUACCAAGCGCUGGCACCGCUGCAUCGAUCUAAGGUGCGACGCGUGCCAUCACCACUGAUCUGUGGUUGUGGUUCGAGACGGGUCUGCAGCACCGGCGAGGGGAGGAGCCGCCUGGUUGAGAAGCUCAUCCAUGACUUUUGUGUCAGCCCGUGGUCUUCCGGCGUGUCAAGCCAUCGAUCGGCAGUCCCAGGUCCAUACUCUCUACCAGUACACAUAUCUUUUGACUGCAUUCUCACCAUAGUAGUUCGAUCUAUUCUGUCGAUGAACAUCCACGCGAGGCUGCAAGGCUGGUUGUGAGUUACGGAAACAUGGUCUUUUAAAAAACUCAGUUUAAAAAAAAUAGGUCCUCAUUCUAAUGUCGACGCCGCCGGCACCCUCCUCGCCCCACCGAGCCCAUGGCCCAGGUCGGCCUACGCCCUUCCCCCAUAUACCGCAGCUCCAAUUCAUGUUCCUCUGUUUGUUCCGCUCGAUUCUGCUGGCCGUUCCCAUGGUUGACGGAGGCCUGCAUGUUUUCUAUGCGGUGCACAUGCUGAGACAAUGCAUGGCGUUUGGAUCGACCUGAUCUGUGCUCCCGUAGCCCGUUCCGUUCGUGUAUGUUCGUAGAUUCGGGUUGUGAGAACCUGGGCAGAUUUGUUUCUGCUAUUCAUUUCUGGGUUGUGUGGAUUUGUUUCUCCAUGCAUAACGGAUUACUGAUAAAAAUCUCCCUUUCCUCUGUUAAUUGGGUAUGCAUACGGUGGUUUGAUUAAUAUGGCUUGUGUUCUUAAUGCUAAUUCAGGUGUACAGAACAUUAGGCGAAAAGUAUGGGGUGAAGUACUCGGAGGAUGAGAUCUUGAUGAGGACCUCGAGGCCUCGGAGAGCCCCUCUGAACAAGACGCGCACGGGAGCUCUGCCUUGAUGGGGAAAACAGCGGAGUUGGUGCAGUGGCGAAUGUGGGCGGGGUCGACCGUGGAGGGAGACUUGCUGGUCGGAGCAGAAGGAGCAAGAAGGUUGAGGCGGUUCAGGUUUGUCUCUAUCUUCCUCCCCCUCUCUUUCCCCCCUUGUCUCAUGGAUGAGGUCGCUGGUGCAUGCAAGGAGUGGGUCGAACACGAAUUGUAGCAAGAGCAAGGAGCUGGACGUGGUUCAUGGUUUGCCUUUAGUUCCUCUCUCUCUAGAUCUCUAGACGUGGGUCUUUUUGUCCAUAUACUGAACCAUGAAGUUGUAAGUUCAUGUUCUUUAUAUUUGUACAGCUAUUUAACUGCAUUAGUGAAUGUUCUGGGUCUGAUACAACAGCUAAGCUUAGGUGAUUCCCCAUGUUCUAUGUGGAUCGCAUAGAAAAUAGAAAUCCUAAUUUCUGAAAAUAGACUGAAUCAUGUAUAUAUUUGCAGGGCAAGACAAGAACAUUAGUUGGAUCCAGAGUAUUGAGAUUGCAGAGGACUCAACAAAGGAUCUGCACUUAUUCUAUAAAUUCAGUACCAGGUUAGUGCCUCUGUUUAGUGAUUAUGUAGAACUACCUUUUGAACUUGCAGAAACUGAAUGCAUAUAAGAAUCGAGGACCUUUACAGUGGAUGCAUGAUGAUGAUCAUCCACCGAGCAGCACAUCAUCUUGGAAAAGCAGAUGCGAAUUUCUGCUAGGUUUGCUUCUCCGGUUGUCCCUCCCAUCAACUCUCUCAGUUCCCAAACCAUUAACCCCGUCCUGGUUGUUCCUAUAUUUUCUUUUUGUUUUGUUUUUACCAAUGCACUUUUCUUGGCAUGUUUUAGUGUGUUCCUUCCUACGGCCAGCUCGACCAUUUGCUCCGCAGGGAGUUUUUUAGCUCAGAAGGAGCAAAUAAUUUGAGAAUGCAUUGGUCUUUUCUGCAAUCUGUUAUAUAGGGGGAUCUUUCAUGUUUUUCUGCAGUUCUUUCUUCUCUUUGGCAAUUCAUUUGGAUUGUGUCUCUCUCAAACUUGGGCAUAUUAGUUGUAUGCUUGACUUUUUUUAGUAGCAGGGAGUAACUAAGUAGUUCACAAGCCAAGCAUUUGUAAACUUUGAUCAUUUAUUUGUAGAGAGUAUAUUUCUUUUUUUGUUCACCGUUUAGAUAUACAUUUUUUGCAUGUGUAGAGAGUAUACAUUAUUUGUAGAGCUGAAUUGACUCUCUUCACAAGAUUCACUUUGAUACAGCCAUUUUCUUAAUGACAAUCUUCAUGUGAAGGUUUCAAGUACUACAUAUAGGAGGAGGCACGAGUGGCUGCAAUCUUGCUACGAAAUGACACUUACGGAGCUUCUUUACCUAACAUGGCCAAGAAGUCCGCAAAUUCCAUAGAGCGUAGAGUAUAGCCGGUUGGAUACAUAUCUGCAGAGUGCAUGUAGUGUGUGUGUCAGAUAUACAGUGGGAAAACACCACAAUGCAAGUGUCAGAUCCUGUUCUUGAUGCAAUUUUGUGACUUUAUUCUGGACUGUUAAGCAAUUGGUUGAUGUUAAGCUGAAACUCGGAUCAGUCUUGUGGCUCUUCUAUACCUAUAUGCCUAGAUUAUUUGCUAAUGGUAUAUGAACUAUAUCUUCCUGUAUAGGAUGAUCAAUUGCCAGGAAUAGAAAGACUAUGGUUUUGAUUUUUAUCAUGUUUUUGUGAUAAGCUUCCUGGUAGACUAGACUUCCAGUUAUCUGCUAGACUAAAUAGUUUCUAGCUAUUUUUUAACUAUUGAUUAGUACACACAGAUGAAUUAUGUUGGUCUCAAAAUGCAACACAUUUCUUGGAUGCCUUGACUGUAUGCAUACUUGUGUUAUAUGGAUGCGCUCACGAUAUAUGCUAGAUGGUGUCUUCCUUUUUAUAGCUUGAUUAGAUGCAACUGUAGACGUUUAAUUAUAACUAGACAUUGUGGCGAGCUCCGCUGCGCCUGGCGAAAGAACUGUAGUUUGUGGGAGACUUCAGGUGGCCUGGUCCUUACAGCCUCGUUGGUGGCCUGAUUUUCUGUGUGGCUGGUAGCUUGUCUAUUUUUUCAUGGGACGGUCAAAAUGAGUUGUAUGCUGCUAGCUCUGGACGGGAAAAUACAUGGAUGAACCCAAGUACAUCUGCACCCACUUCGAAAGACACCUUUUCAAGUUUAAAAAAAACUGAAAAUUGUUGCACAUGUACAGCUUCACAUUCUAUGUGUGUGCCAAAAGUUUCGAAGGAUUUUUUUCGUGUGCAAAAAAGACAAAAAAACUGGUGUCGCGCACAUAUUUUUGCAGAGAUGUAGACGAUAAUUUUUUUUGGAAUUAUUUAUAACAUUUAAAAAUGCAUUUAACAUGCAUUUCUACGACCGAUAUAUGCAUAUAUACCUAACAUGCGGUGGUGGAUCGACACGAAUAGGGGCAGGGGGGUUCAGGGCAGAGAGCGUAGUGGUUGGCGGGAUACUCCUCCUUGGCGGUCCAUCGGGAAAUAUGGCGUGAAGGAGAUAGGGUGUCAUGGGGAAGAUGAUAUGGGCAUCGUGUGGUUUUAAAGGAGUGGGUUCUAGCGAGCAAUGUCCCGCUACAGCGGGAUACCGAGCAAGAAGAGGAGGGUCCACUAAAAAAGAGAAGGGCCCAUCGUGGGAUGGGUUUUCUUUUGUGUUGGGCCAGUGUGUUGAAUAUAACAUGGCGGACCACCAUGUUCCUCUCACACAUAUGGUCUGGAUUUGGGGUAGGAUGGACUGUCCAGACGGUUGAAUUUUGAGAAGCCCGCUAGGCCCCCGUUUCAUGUCCGAACAUGGUCGGGCGUACAAGAGAGAAAUGAGCGUCGGACUUGGAGACGACCCUAAUCAUUUGUUCAAUUCAUUUAUAUAUAUCAUAGCCCGUAGCAACGCACGGGCACUCUGCUAGUAGUUUUAUAGCAAGAUAAUUUGUAACGAGCAAGUAACGAUAGUAACAAUAAGUAUGCAGCAAGGUAGCCCAAUCCUUUUUAGACAAAGGACAGGCCAAAACGGUCUCUUAUAACAAGUAAAGCGUUCUUGAGGGUACACGUGAAUUUCAUCUAGUUACUUUUGUCAUGUUGGUUUGAUUUGUGUUCGCUACUUUGAUAAUUUGAUAUGUGGGUGGACCGGUGCUUAGGUGUUGUUAUUACUUGAACAAACCUCCUACUUAUUAUUAACCCUCCCGCAAGCAUAUGCAACUACGAGAAAAGUAUUAAGAAUAAAUUCUAACCAUAGCAUUAAACUCUAGGAUCCAAUAUGUCCCUUAUGAAAUAGUGCAUAAACUGGGGUUUAAGUUUCUGUCACUCUCGCAACCCACCAUCUAUUUACUACUCCACAAUGCAUUUCCUUAGGCCCAAAUAUGGUGAAGUGUCAUGUAGUCGACGUUCACAUGACACCACUAAGGGAAUCACAACAUACAUACUAUCAAAAUAUCGAACACAUAUCAAAUUCACAUGAUUACUUGCAACAUGAUUUCUCCCGUGACCUCAGGAACAAAAGUAACUACUCACAAAUAAUCAACAUGCUCAUGAUCAGAGGGGUAUUAAAUAGCAUAAUGGAUCUGAACAUAUAAUCUUCCACCAAAUAAACCAUAUAGUAAUCAACUACAAGAUGUAAUCAACACUACUAAUCACCCCCUAGCACCAAUUUAUAGUUUCGGUAACAAGAUUGAAUACAAGAGAUGAACUAGGGUUUGAGAUGAGAUGGUGCUGGUGAAGAUGUUGAUGGAUAUUUCCCUCCCCAAGAUAGGAGUGUUGUUGGUGAUGAUGAUGACGAUGAUUUCCCCCUCCGGGAGGGAAGUUCCCCCGGCAGAAUCGCUCCGCUGGAGAGCAAAAGUGCUCCUGCCCAAGUUCCGCCUCGAGGCAGCGGCGCUUCGUCCCGAAUGUCUCUCCCUUUAUUUUUCUAGGUCAAAAUGACUUAUAUACCAGAAGAUGGGCGUGCCUGGGCUCCCUGGCGCGCCCAGGUGGGUUGUGCCCACCUAGUGGGCCCCCUCUAGUAGUUAUUUGCUCCAAUAUUUCUUAAAUAUUCCAUAAAAAAUUGUCCAUGAGGUUUCAGCUUGUUUGGAGUUGUGCAGAAUAGGUAGCCUGACGUAGCUUUUCCAGGUCCAGAUUUCCAGCUCCCAGAAUUCUCCCUCUUGGUGUGUACCUUGCAAAUUAUGAGAGAAAAGGCAUUAGAAUUACUCCAAAAAGCAUUAUUAUGGAUAAAAACAUUAUAAAUAAUAGUAAGAAAACAUGAUGCAAAAUGGACGUAUCAACUCCGCCAAGCUUAGACCUUGCUUGUCCUCAAGCGAAAACCAAAAUCGAAAAACAUGUCCACAUGCUUUGAGAGAGAGGUGUCGAUAAAAACAAAAAUACGGACAUAGAAGCAUCGUGUUAAUUAUUAUAACUGCAACAAAAUUGAACAUAGGACUUUUAUCAUUGAACUUGCAUCAUAUAAUUCCCAUUAAUAAGUAACAGUUCAUCACAUAAUCAAAGUAUAAAGCAAAAACUCUAUUAAAAACCAACAAACUAUGUUCUCAGUCAACUUUGCAACUACAAUUCAUCAUCUUUUCAGGAAGAGUCACGUGUCAUAGCCUUUUAGCAAGUCCACAUACUCAACCAUCAGAUAGUCUUCUAUGAUUGCUAACACUCACCUCAUACCAUGAGCAAAGCGUUUCAACUGGACACCUAGAAAGAUAGGGGCUCAUAGAUUCGCCUCCCAACAUACUCAACUCAAGGGUGAUGUCAACAAUAAUAACUCAUGCUAUCUAUAUUCAAAUGGACAUAUGUGCCUAGAUCUUUCCUCACCACAUGAUGCUUGCCAAAAGAGAAAAAUAAAAAGGAAUAGAAGGAAAACUUUGACUCUUUGCAUACAAGUAAAUACAUAAAUGUAAAAGAUAGGCCCUUCGCAGAGGGAAGCAGAGGUUGCCAUGCGCUUAUUUGUUAGCAUGCUCAAUCCCUUAGUGCAAGAGAACGUCACGUUGUAUUGCCCCUUAAGAUGACAACCUUUAUUAUGCAGUCUGUCGCUUUUAUUCUUUGUCAUCCAAGUUCGUACAACACUCCAUUUUCUCUUACACUAAAUGAUCUCACAUAUUUAGAAGCAAUUUUUAUUGCCUUUUUGUACCGAUGACAACUUACUUGAGGGAUCUUGCUUAAUCCAUAGGUAGGUAUGGUGGAUACUUGAAAAAGAUUUGGGUUUAAGGGUUUUGGCUGCACAAGUAGUAUCUCUACUUGGUGCAGAAUUUUUGGCUAGCAAAGAUAGGGGGCAAGCAUCACAUAUUAAAGGAUCUAUGACAAUAUGACUUCUAUGUGAAUAUAAAUAUACAUAAUUCAUUAAGUUGUCUUCCUUGUCCAACAUCAACAAUUUUGGCAUAUAAUAUUUUGAUGAGGGCUCACAAUCACAAAAGUUUUCUAGGAUAGUAUAUUUAUAUGUGAAUCUUCUCUUCCCUUAUUAAUUCUUUCAUGAGUUGCAUCAUUGACUAAUGCUCUGUUUGUCAAUCUCUAAUAAAAUUUCCUACUUAUACUUUUCCUUAUGUGGUUCCAUCACCUACCAUAGGAUUAGUAUAUGAUCUUAUUGAUUUAUUUCUUUCUUUUAUUUUAUUUUUUUCUUCCUUUCUUAUUUAUUUUCUUUAUUUGCAACAUGAAAGUAAAGAAAGCAAAACUCACACUAACUUUAUUAUAUAACUUGCACACGAUUACGAGGAUAGAUCACUAAGAAGACUCUCAAAUAAGAAAGGAUCGAACUAACUUUAUUUCAUCUAAAGCAAAAAUAUCGAACUAAGACAAGUAAAAGCAAAAAAUAUAGUGGGAUGAUACGAUACCGGGGCACCUCCCCCAAGCUUGGCAGAAGCCACGGGGAGUGCCCAUACCCGGCAAGCAGUGCUUGUGCUGUCACCGAGGAUGGAUUUACGAUAGCUUCCUUGACCUUGCCUCCCUUGACAGCAUCCGUAGGCUCCUCCCUCUUCGUCUCGAUCUUCAUCAGCCAAGCAUCUUCUUCCAUGUUGUUGGAGGAGUAGGAAGAAGUGAUGCCUGGCUUGAUAAAUCUGGCAACAAACAACAAGAAAAGAAAUAGAGGAUUUCUUUGCGAUACGGUGGUUAAUAGGUUCGGGAAGUAUAUAUAAAUUUUUUCUCUUGUAGGACAAGUAUACAGAAGAAAAACAGAAUCCGGAAGGUGCCCCAGGUGGGCACAACCCACUUGGGCACGCCAGGCAUGCCUGGCUCGCCCCGAUGUCUUAUGCCCACCAGGGGACAUCUCCUGGGAAUUUCUUUAUUUCCAAAAUUCUAAAAUAUUCCAAAACUAACAAAAAAUGAUUUUAUGGAUUUUUCUGAGACUGUUUACUUACCGUAUUACGUACCUCCUUAUUUUGACGAUUCUCGGGGGUUCCGAAAGGACUCUUUUAUGUGUUCUUCCGGUGUCAAAGUUUGGAUAAUAUUACUUUCAACAUUGAUAGGCGUACCUGUGAUAUAAUGCUUUAUUCGUUGCCUGCUGACAACCUUCGGAUUAGUGCCUUGGAAAUUAUUUAUUUUGAUGGCUCCAGACCGGUAAACCUCCUCGAUGACAUAUGGGCCUUUCCAUUUUGAGAGGAGCUUUCCUGCAAAAAAAUCUAAAACGAGAGUUGUACAAAAGAACAUAUUCUCCGACUUUGAACUCACGCUUGUGGAUUCUUUUGUCAUGCCAUCUUUUAACUUUAUCUUUGAAUAAUUUUGCAUUUUCAUAAGCCUGGGUUCUCCGUUCAUGUAUAGAGCAAAUAUGAAAUAAACUCUUUUCACCGGCAAGUUUGAAAUCAUAGUUGAGUUCUUUAACUGCCCGAUAUGCUUUAUGUUCUAACUCAAGAGGCAAAUGACAAGCUUUUCCAUAAACCAUUUUAUGAGGAGACAUGCCCAUUGGAUUUUUAUACGCUGUUCUAUAAGCCCAAAGUGCAUCAUCUAAUUUCUUAGACCAAUUCUUCCUGGUGCUAUUGAUAGUCUUUUGCAAAAUUAAUUUUAUUUCCCUAUUGCUAAGUUUAACUUGACCACUAGACUGAGGAUGAUAAGGUGAUGCAAUUCCAUGGUUAACAUCAUACUUGGCAAGCAUUUUACGAAAAGAACCAUGAAUAAAGUGUGAACCACCAUCAGUCAUUAAAUAUCUAGGGACUCCAAACCUUGGGAAAAUAACUUCCUUAAGCAUUUUAAUAGAGGUGUUGUGAUCAGCACUACUUGUUGGAUAGCUUCUACCCAUUUAGUAACAUAAUCAACAGCAACCAAAAUAUGUGUAUACCCAUUAGAGGAAGGAAAAGGUCCCAUGUAAUCAAAUCCCCAAACAUCAAAUGGUUCAACAACAAGUGAAUAAUUCAUAGGCAUUUCUUGACGCUUACCAAUGUUACCUAUUCUUUGGCAUUCAUCAUAAGAUGAGACAAACUUACGGGCAUCCCUGGAGAGAGUAGGCCAAUAAAAUCCAGAUUGCAAUACCUUGUGAGCAGUUCUAUCUCCAGCAUGAUGCCCUCCAUAAGCCUCGGAGUGACAUUUCCGUAGGAUUUGUCCCUGUUCAUACUUGGGUACACAAUGUCUAAUAAUACCAUCUACUCCUUCUUUAUAAAGAUGUGGGUCAUCCCGAAAGUAAUGUCCUAAAUCAUAGAAGAUUUUUUUCUUUUGUUGGUAUUUAAAGCUGGGAGGUAACUAUUUAACAACGAUGUAAUUAGCAUGAUCAGCAUACCAAGGAGUACUAUUAGCAACAUUUAUUGCAGCUAACUGCUCAUCAGGAAAACUAUCAUCAAUAGGUAGUGGGUCAUCAAGCACAUUUUCAAGGCUAGACAAGUUAUCUGCUACGGGGUUCUCAACUCCUUUUCUGUCAAUAAUAUGUAAAUCAAAUUCUUGUAACAAGAGAACCCAACGAAUAAGUCUAGGUUUAGCAUCUUUCAUUUCCAUAAGAUAUUUAAUAGCAGCAUGGUCUGUGUGAACAGUUACUUUGGAAUCAACAAUAUAAGGUCUAAAUUUAUCACAAGCAAACACCACUGCUAAUUUUUUCAGUAGUAGCAUAAUUUCUUUGAGCAUUGUCUAGAGUUUUACUAUCAUAAUGAAUAACAUUCAAUUUCUUAUCAACUCUUUGUCCUAGAACAGCACCCACAGCAUAAUCACUAGCAUCACACAUAAUUUCAAAAGGCAAGUUCCAAUCCGAUGGUUGAACAAUAGGUGCAGAAAUUAAGGCUUUCUUGAGUGUUUCAAAUGCUUCUAAACAAUCAUCAUCAAAAACAAAAGGAACAUCCUUUUGCAAAAGAAUAGUGAGAGGCCUAGAAAUUUUAGAGAAGUCUUUAAUAAAUCUCCUAUAGAAACCAGCAUGACCUAGGAAACUGCGAAUACCUUUGAUGUCCUUAGGACAUAGCAUUUUCUCAAUUGCAUCAACCUUAGCUUGGUCCACUUCAAUAUCUCUUUCAGAAAUUUUAUGACCCAAGACAAUGCCCUCAUUAACCAUAAAGUGGCACUUCUCCCAAUUCGAGACAAGAUUUGUUUGUUCACAUCUCUGCAAAACUCGCUCAAGAUUGCUUAAAUAAUCAUCAAACGGCUUCCCAUAAACAGAAAAGUCAUCCAUGAAAACCUCAACAAUCUUUUCACAAAAGUCAGAGAAUAUAGCAGUCAUACAUCUUUGCAAGGUAGCGGGUGCAUUACAUAAACCGAAAGGCAUACGUCUAUAAGAAAAAGUUCCAGAAGGACAAGUAAUUGUGGUAUUUUCUUGAUCAGAUUGUAAAACAUGUAUUUGUGAAAAGCCAGAGUAUCCAUCAGGGAAGCAAAAAUGUGUGCCCAUCCAUAUCUUCUUCCAAGAGAUCUUUAACCAUAGCAAUGCUAGGUUCUACUUUAAUUUGUUCAUCGGGUUUAGGUGUUCCAACAUAGCUUUUGUUAACCACGGUUGAAACUUUAGCAUGUUCUUUUAUCCUAACAGGGAAAGGUGGUUUCUCAAUGUAAGCAGAAGGAACAAAUGGAUCAACAUUAUAAAGUAUAGUUUCUUCUUUAACUGGUACUGGCUCUUUAAUUUCAUCUUUAAUAGGUGGGUGAUAUUUAACCCACUUCUCUUUAGAAAGUUCAACAUGAGUAGCAAAUGAUUCACAAAAGGAGGCUACUAUUUCAGACUGUCCAUAUUUAGUGCUAAACUUUUGAAAAGCAUCGGUAUCCAUAAAAGAUUUAACACAAUCAUACUUAACCUUUAUAACCGACUCCUUAACUUCGUCAAGUUCCCAACCUUCAGAGUUGCGUUUAAUUCUUUCCAAAAGAUCCCACCGGAAUUCAAUAGUUUUCUUCGUAAAAGAACCAACACAAGAAGUAUCCAGCAUGGUUUGAUCAUUACGAGAAAGCCAAGCAUAAAAAUUCUGAAUAAUAAUUUCCCUUGAGAGCUCAUGAUUGGGGCAUGAAUAUAACAUCAACUUAAGCCUCCCCCAUGCUAGAGCGAUACUUUCUCCUUCACGAGGAGAAAAAUUAUAAAUAUAAUUUCGAUCACAAUGAACUAGAUGCAUAGGAUAAAUUUUUUGAUGGAACUCCAAUUUCAGACGAUUCUAAUUCCAUGAUCCAAUAUCAUCACAUAGCCUAUACCAUGCCAAUGCUUUUCCCUUCAAAGAUAAAGGGAAAACCUUUUUCACCACUUAAUCCCUGGGUAAACCUGCAAGCUUAAACAAUCCACAAAUUUGUUCCACAUGUAUCAAGUGCAUAUCAGGAUGUUCAGUUCCAUCUCCUGCAUAAGGAUUAGCUAGCAGUUGUUCUAUCAUACUUGAAGGGAUUUCAUAUUCAAUAUUUUCAGUAGGUGCAGUAGGUUGAGGGUUAACUAAUUGUGGUUCUGGACGAGGUGAAGAUACCCCGAACAAACCCCUCAAAGGAUUGUUUUCCAUAGUAACAAGUGACAAUAAAUUUCAGCACACUAUAUAAAUGUUUGCUUACCGAAUUCCACUUACCAAAGGCGCUUCAUUCCCCGGCAACGGCGCCAGAAAAUAGCCUUGAUGACCCACAAGUAUAGGGGAUCAAUUGUAGCUCUUUUCGAUAAGUAAGAUUGUCGAACCCAACAAGGACUAGAAGGAAAUGACAAGUAGUUUUCAGUAAGGUAAUGUGUGCAAGUGCUGAAACUGUAAGUAGCGAGUAGUUUGAUAGCAAGAUAAUUUGUAAUGAGCAAGUAACGAUAGUAACAAUAAGUAUAUAGCAAGGUAGCCCAAUCCUUUUUAGAUAAAGGACAGGCCAAAACAGUCUCUUAUAACAAGCAAAGCGUUCUUGAGGGUACACGUGAAUUUCAUCUAGUUACUUUCGUCAUGUUGGUUUGAUUUGUGUUCGCUACUUUGAUAAUUUGAUAUGUGGGUUGACCGGUGCUUAGGUGCUGUUCUUACUUGAACAAACCUCCUACUUAUUAUUAACCCUCCCGCAAGCAUCAGCGACUACGAUAAAAGUAUUAAGAAUAAAUUAUAACCAUAGCAUUAAACUCUAGGAUCCAAUCGGUCCCUUCCGGAAUAGUGCAUAAACUGGGGUUUAAGUUUCUGUCAAUCUCGCAACCCACCAUCUAUUUACUACUCCACAAUGCAUUCCCUUAGGCCCAAAUAUGGUGAAGUGUCAUGUAGUCGACAUUCACAUAACACCACUAAGGGAAUCUCAACAUACAUACUAUCAAAAUAUCGAACACAUAUCAAAUUCACAUGAUUACUUGCAACAUGGUUUCUCCCGUGACCUCAAGAACAAAAGUAACUACUCACAGAUAAUAAACAUGCUCAUGAUCAUAGGGGUAUUAAAUAUCAUAAUGGAUCUGAACAUAUAAUCUUCCAUCAAAUAAACCAUAUAGUAAUCAACUAUAAGAUGUAAUCAACACUACUAGUCACCCCCUAGCACCAAUAUAUAGUUUCGGUAACAAGACUGAAUACAAUAGAUGAACUAGGGUUUGAGAUGAGAUGGUGUUGGUGAAGUUGUUGAUGGAGAUUGGCCUCCCCAAGAUGGGAGAGUUGUUGGUGAUGAUGAUGACGAUGAUUUCCCCCUCCGGGAGGGAAGUUCCCCGGCAGAAUCGCUCCGCCGGAGAGCAAAAGUGCUCCUGUCCAAGUUUCGCCUCGAGGCGGUGGCGCUUCAUCCCAAAUGUUUCUUCCUUUAUUUUUCUAGGUCAAAAUGACUUAUAUACCAGAAGAUGGGCACCGAAGGUGGGCCGAGGAGGGCACAACCCACCAGGGCACGCCUGGGCUCCCUGGCGCAUCCAGGUGGGUUGUGCCCACCUGGUGGGCCCCCUCUGGUAGUUAUUUGCUCCAAUAUUUUUUAAAUAUUCCAUAAAAAAUUCUCCGUGAGGCUUCAGCUUGUUUGGAGUUGUGCAGAAUAGGUAGCCUGACAUAGCUUUUUCAGGUCUAGAUUUUCCAGCUGCCACAAUUCUCCCUCUUGGUGUGUACCUUGCACAUUAUGAGAGAAAAGGCAUUAGAAUUACUCCAAAAAGCAUUAUUAUGGAUAAAAAUAUUAUAAAUAACAGUAAGAAAACGUGAUGCAAAAUGGACGUAUCAUGAACCACCAUCAGUCAUUAAAUAUCUAGGGACUCAAAACCUUGGGAAAAUAACUCCCUUAAGCAUUUUAGUAGACGUGUUGUGAUUAGCACUACUUGUUGGAAUAGCUUCUACCCAUUUAGUAACAUAAUCAACAACAACCAAAAUAUGUGUAUACCCAUUAGAGGAAGGAAAAAGUCCCAUGAAGUCAAAUCCCCAAACAUCAAAUGGUUCAAUAGCAAGUGAAUAAUUCAUAAGCAUUUCUUGACGCUUAUCGAUAUUACCUAUUCUUUGGCAUUCAUCACACGAUGAGACAAACUUACGGGCAUCCUUGAAGAGAGUAGGCCAAUAAAAACCAAAUUGCAAUACCUUUUCAGUGGUUCUGUCUCCCGCGUGAUGUCCUGCAUAAGCUUCAGAGUGACAUUUCCAUAGAAUUUGUUCCUGUUCAUGCUCAGGUACACAACGUCUAAUAAUACCAUCUACUCCUUUAUAAAGAUGUGGGUCAUCCCAAAAUUAAUAUCUUAAAUCAUAGAAGAUUUUUUUCUUUUGUUGGUAUGUGAAGCUAGGUGGUAUGUAUUUAUCAACAAUAUAAUUAGCAUAGUCAGCAUACCAAGGUGUACUAUGAGAAACAUUUGUUGCAGCUAGUUGUUUAUCAGGGAAGCUAUCAUUAAUAGGUUGUGGGUCAUCAAGAAUAUUUUCAAGCCUAGACAAGUUAUUAGCUACGGGGUUCUCUGCUCCUUUUCUAUGAGUGACAUGCAAAUCGAAUUCUUGUAGCAGAAGAACCCACCUAAUGAGUCUAGGUUUAGUAUCUUUCUUUUCCAUAAGAUAUUUUAUAGCACCAUGAUCGGUGUGAAUAAUUACUUUAGAAUCAACUAUGUAAGAUCUGAAUUUAUCACAAGCAAACACCACUGCUAAGAAUUCUUUUUCAGUAGUAUCAUAGUUUUGUUGAGCACUGUCUAGAGUUUUACUAGCAUAAUGAAUAACAUUUAGUUUCUUAUCAACUCUUUGUCCUAGAACAGCACCAACAGCAUAACCACUACCAUCACACAUAAUCUCAAAAGGCAAGUUCCAAUUAGGUGGUUGAACAACAGGUGCAGUAAUUAAGGCUUUCUUUAGUGUUUCAAAGGCUUCCAUACAAUCAUCAUCAAACACAAAGGGAAUAUCCUUUUGCAAAAGAUUAGUAAGAGGCCUAGAAAUUUUAGAAAAGUCUUUGAUAAACCUCCUAUAGAAACCAGCAUCACCAAGGAAACUACGAAUACCUUUGAUAUCUUUAGGACAUGGCAUUUUCUCAAUUGCAUCAACCUUGGCUUUGUCCACCUCAAUGCCUCUUUCAGAAAUUUUAUGGCCCAAGACAAUACCUUCAUUAACCAUAAAGUGGCCCUUCUCCCAAUUCAAGACGAGAUUUGUUUGUUCACGUCUCUGCAAGACUCGAUCAAGAUUGUUUAAAAAAUCAUCAAAAGACUUCCCAUAAACAGAAAAGUCAUCCAUGAAAACCUCAAUAAUCUUUUCACAAAAAUCAGAGAAUAUAGCAGUCAUACAUCUUUGAAAGGUAGCAGGUGCAUUACAUAAACCGAAAGGCAUACGUCUAUAAGCAAAUGUUCCAAAAGGACAAGUAAAAGUGGUCUUUUCUUGAUCAAAUUGUAAAACAGAUAUUUGUGAAAAGCAAUAGUUUCCAUCAAGGAAGCAAAAAUGUGUGUGCUUGGAUAAUAUUUCUAACAAUUGAUGGAUAAAAGGUAGAGGGAAAUGAUCUUCUCUAGUAGCUUUAUUGAAUUUUCUAUAAUCAAUUACCAUUCUGUAGCCCGUGACAAUUCUUUGUGGAAUAAGUUCAUUCUUAUCAUUAGGAACAAUAGUAAUACCUCCUUUCUUAAGGACACAAUGAACAGGACUUACCCAUCUACUAUCAGCUAUAGGAUAGAUUAUACCUUCUUCCAGAAGUUUCAAUAUUUCCGUUCUUACCACUUCUUUCAUUUUCAGAUUUAACCGAUGUUGGUGAUCAACAACUGGUUUAGCAUCAGGUUCCAUAUUAAUCUUGUGCUGACAUAGAGUGGUACCAAUGCCCUUAAGAUCAUCAAGAGUAUAUCCAAUAGCAGCCUUGUGCUUCCUUAGAACUUUCAAUAAUCUUUCUUCUUCAUGUUCUGAAAGGUUAGCACUAAUAAUAAUAGGAUAUAUCUUCUUUUCAUCAAGAUAAGCAUAUUUCAAAGUGUCUGGCAAUUGUUUUAAUUCAUACACGGGAUCACCUUUAGGUGGAGGAGGACCUCCUAGAGUUUCAAUAGGCAAAUUGUGUUUAAGCAGAGGUUGUUGUUCGAAAAAGAUUCUAUCUAUUUCAUUUCUUUCAAGCAUAUGCAAAUCAUUUUCAUGGUCUAGCAAAUAUUGUUCUAGAGGAUCAGUAGGAGGUAUAGCAAUAGAAGCAAGACCAAUAAUCUCAUCCUUAUUAGGAAAAUCUUUCUUAUGAGGUUGUUUACUAAACUUCGAAAAAUUAAAUUCAUGAGAUUCAUCACCAAAGCUAACACUGAUAGUUUGUUUCUCACAAUCUAUUUUGGCACUGACGGUGUUCAAGAAAGGCUUACUAAAAAUAAUGGGACAAAAGUCAGUAGGGUAUUUUAUUUUCCCACACAAGACUUCAACAUCUCUAACAAUCCCAAUUGGUUAUAUAGUAUCUCUAUUAGCAAGUUUAAUAGUGACAUCUAUGUCUUCUAUUUCAACAGGUGCUAUUUCAUCUUUGAUUUCUUGAUAUAAUGAGAAAGGAAUAGCACUCACACUAGCACCUAGGUCACAUAACCCAUGAUAACAAUGAUCUCCUAUCUUAACUGAGACAACAUGCAUGCCAACAACUGGUCUAUGUUUAUCUUUUCCUUCAGGUUUGGCAAUUCUAGAAGCUUCACCAUAGAAGUAAAUAACAUGCCCAUCAAUAUUAUCAACUAAGAGAUCUUUAACUAUAGCAACACUAGGUUCAACUCUGAUUUUUUUCAGGUGGUUUUGUUAUUCUAACAUAACUUUUGUUAACCAUAGUUGAAGCUUUAGCAUGUUCCUUCACCCUAACAGGAAAAGGUUUUUUUUUAUUAUAAGUAGUGGGAACAACUGGAUCAACAUUGUAAAUAACGGUUUCUUCUUUAGCUUUUACCAGUUCUUUAAUUUCUUCUUUAAUUUGUGGGUGAUAUUUAAACCACUUCUCCUUAGGUAGAUCAACAUGAGUAGCAAAAGAUUCACAAAAGGAAGCUACUAUCUCAGAGUCAAGUCCAUAUUUAGUGCUAAACUUUUGAAAAGCUUCAGUAUUCAUAAAAGAUUUAACACAAUCAAACUUAGGUUCAAUACCUGACUCUUUGCCUUCGUCGAGUUCCCAAUCUUCAGAGUUGUGUUUAAUUCUUUCUAAAAGAUCCCAUCGAAAUUCAAUAGUUUUCUUCAUAAAAGAACCAGUACAAGAAGUAUCGAGCAUGGAUUGAUCAUUACGAGAAAGCCGAGCAUAAAAAUUCCGAAUAAUAAUUUCUCUCGAGAGCUCAUGAUUGGGGCAUGAAUAUAACAUUGACUUAAGCCUCCCCCAAGCUAGAGCGAUAUUUUCUCCUUCACGAGGCCAAAAGUUAUAUAUAUAAUUCCGAUCACGAUGAACUAGAUGCAUAGGAUAAAAUUUCUGAUGAAAUUCCAAUUUCAAAUGGUUCCAGUUCCAAGAUCAAAUAUCAUCGCAUAGCCUAUACCAUGUCAAUGCUUUUCCCUUCAAAUAUAAAGGGAAAACCUUCUUCUUAGCUUCAUCUCCGGGCAGACCUGCAAGCUUAAACAAUCCGCAAAUUUCAUCCACAUAUAUCAAGUGCAUAUCAGGAUGUCGGUUCCAUCUCCUGCAUAAGGAUUAGCUAGCAGUUGCUAUAACAUACCUGAAGGAAUUUCAUAUUCAAUAUUUUCAGUAGGUGCAGUAGGUUGAGGGCCAACUAAUUGUCGUUCCGGUCGAGGUGAAGAUACCCUGAACAAACCCCUCAAAGUUUUGUUUUCCAUAGUAGCAAGUGACAAUAAAUUUUAGCACGUCGUAAUAAUGUUUCCUUACCAAUUUCCACUUACCAAGAGCGCUUCACUCCCCGGCAACGGCACCAGAAAAUAGACUUGAUGACCCACAAGUAUAUGAGGUCAAUUGCAGCCUUUUCGAUAAGUAAGAGUGUCGAACCCAACAAGGAGCAGAAGGAAAUGACAAAGUGGUUUUCAGCAAGGUAUUGUCUGCAAGUGCUAAAAUUGUUAGUAGCGGAGUAGUUUGAUAGCAAGAUAAUUUGUAACGAACAAGUAACAAAAGUAGUAACAAAUGUGCAGAAAGGUAACCCAAUUCUUUUGAGGCAAAUGACAGGCCAAAACAGUUUCUGAUGAUAAGCAAAGUGUUCUUGAGGGUACACGGGAAUUUCAUCUAGUCACUUCCAUCAUGUUGGCUUAAUUCGUGUUCUGUACUUUGAUAAUUUGAUAUGUGGGUGGACCGGUGCUUAGGUGUUGUUCUUACUUGAACAAACCUCCUACUUAUGAUUAACCCUCUCGCAAGCAUCCGCAACUACGAGAAAAGUAUUAAGAAUAAAUUCUAACCAUAGCAUUAAACUUUUGGACCCAAUCGGUCCCUUACGGAAUAGCGCAUAAACUGGGGUUUAAGCUUCUGUCACUCUUGCAACCCACCAUCUAAUGACUACUCUACAAUGCAUUCCCUUAGGCCCAAAUAUGGUGAAGUGUCAUGUAGUCUACGUUCACAUGGCACCACUAAGAGAAUGGAAACAUACAUAUCAUCAAAAUAUUGAACACAUAUCAAGUUCACAUGAUUACUUGCAACAUGAUUGCUCCCGUGACCUCAAGAACGAAAGUAACUACUCGCAAAUGAUAAACAUGCUCAAGAUCAGAGGGGUAUUAAAUAGCAUAAUGGAUCUGAACAUAUAAUCUUCCAUCAAAUAAACCAUAUAGUAAUCAACUACAAGAUGUAAUCAACACUACUAGUCACCCACAAGCACCAAUCUAUAGUUUUGAUACAAAGAUUGAACACAAGAGAUGAACUAGGGUUUGAGAGGAGUUGGUGUUGUGAAGAUGUUGAUGAAGAUAGCCCUCCCCAAGAUGGGAGAGUUGUUGGUGAUGAUGAUGACGAUGAUUUCCCCCUCCAGGAGGGAAGUUCCCUCGGUGGAACCGCUCCGCCGGAGGGCAAAAGUGAUCCUGCCCAAGUUCUGCCUCGAGGCGGUGGUGCUUCAUCUCGAAUGUCCUCCUCUAAUUUUUUUCUCUAGGUCAAAAUGACUUAUAUACCAGAACAUGGGCACCGGAGGUGGGCCGAGGAGGGCAGUACCCACCAGGGCACGCAUGGGGGUCCUGGCGCGCCGAGGUGGGUUGUGCCCACAUGGUGGACCCCUCUGGUACUUAUUUUCUCCAAUAUUUAUUAAAUAUUCCAUAAAAAACCUCAGGAAAUUUCAGCUCAUUUGGAGUUGUGCAGAAUAGGUAGCUUGACGUAGCUUUUUCAGGUCCAGAUUUCUAGCUGCCGGAAUUCUCCCCCUUGGUGCAUACCUUGCAUAUUAUGAGGGAAAAGGCAUUAGAAUUACUCCAAAAAGCAUUAUUAUACAAUAAAACAACAUAAAUAACAAUAGGAAAACAUGAUGCAAAAUGGAUGUAUCAACACUCUCCCCUCUCGUUGCUAUGCAUUUCCUAGAUAGAUCUUGUGUGAGCGUAGGAAACUUUUUGAAAUUGCAUGCUACUUUUCCCAACAGUGGCAUUAGAGCCAGGUCUAUGCGUAGAUGAUAUGCAAGAGUAGAACACAAAGAGUUGUGGGCGGUGAUCGUCAUACUGCUUACGACCAAUGUCUUAUUUUGAUUAGGCGGUAUUGUUGGAUGAAGCGGCCUGGACCAGCCUUACAUGACCGCGUUCAUGAGACCGGUUCCACCGACAGACAUGCAACUAGUUUUGCAUAAAGGUGGCUGGUGGGUAUAUGUUUCUCCAACUUUAGUUGAAUCGAAUUUGACUAUGGUCAGUCCUUGUGAAGGUUAAAACAGCAAACUUGAUAAAUUACCAUUGUGAUUUUUGUGUCGUAGGUAUGUACGGUUCAUGCUAGAAGCUCGUUGCAGCCACGUAAAACUUGCAACAACAAAGUAGAGGACGUCUAACUUGUUUUUGCAGGGCAUGUUGUGAUGUGAUAUCGUCAAGGCAUGAUGUGAUAUAAGUUGUUGUAUGAGAUGAUCAUGUUUUGUAAAAGUUAUCAGCAACUGGCAGGAGCCAUAUGGUUGUCGCUUUAUUGUAUGAAAUACAAACGCCAUGUAAUUGCUUUACUUUAUCACUAAGCGCUAGCGAUAGUUGUAGAAGCAAUAGUUGGCGAGACAACCACGACGCUAUGAUGGAGAUCAAGGUGUCAAGUUGGUGAUGAUGGAGAUCAUGACGUUGCUUUGGUGAUGGAGAUCAAAAGCACAAGAUGAUGAUGGCCAUAUCAUGUCACAUUUUUUGAUUGCAUGUUAUGUUUAUCUUUAUGCAUUUUAUUUUGCUUAGUAUGGCGGUAGCAUUAUAAAGUGAUCCCUUACUAAAAUUUAAGGUAUAAGUGUUCUCCCCGAGUAUGCACCGUUGUGAAAGUUCUUCGUGCUGAGACACCACGUGAUGAUCGGGUGUGAUAAGCUCUACGUUCAAAUACAAUGGGUGCAAGCCAGUUUUGCACAUGGGGAAUACUCAGGUUAAACUUGACGAGCCUGCUACCUCUUGAGCACUGCGUUGGUUUUCCUUGAAGAGGAAAGGGUGAUGCAGCAAAGUAGCGUAAGUAUUUCCCUUAGUUCUUGAGAACCAAGGUAUCAAUCCAGUAGGAGGCUCCUCAAAAGUCCCACGCACCUACACAAACAAACAAGAACCUCGCAACCAACGCAAUAAAUGGGUUGUCAAUCCCUUCAUGGUAACUUGCAAAAGUGAGAUCUGAUAGAGAUAAUAAGGUAAGAUAAAUAUUUUUAGUAUUUUUAUGAUAUAUAUUGGAAAGUAAAAUAUGCAAAUAAAAGUAGAUGUAAAACUUGUAUGAUAAAAGAUAGACCCAGGGGCCAUAGGUUUCACUAGUGGCUUCUCUCAAGAUAGCAUAAGUAUUACGGUGGGUGAACAAAUUACUGUCGAGCAAUUGAUAGAAAAGUGCAUAGUUAUGAGAAUAUCUAGGCAUGAUCAUGUAUAUAGGCAUCACGUCCGUGUCAAGUAGAUCGAAAUGAUUCUGCAUCUACUACUAUUACUCCACACAUCGACCGACUCUUGCCUGCAUCUAGAGUAUUAAGUUCAUGAAGAACAGAGUAACGCAUUAAGAAAGAUGACAUGAUGUAGAGGGAUAAACUCAUGCAAUAUGAUAUAAACCCCAUCUUUUUAUCCUCGAUGGCAACAAUACAAUACAUGCCUUGCUGCCCCUACUGUCACUGGGAAAGGACACCGCAAGAUUGAACCCAAAGCUAAGCACUUCUCCCAUUGCAAGAAAGAUCAAUCUAGUAGGCCAAACAAAACUGAUAAUUCGAAGAGACUUGCAAAGAUAACAAAUCAUACAUAAAAUAAUUCAGAGGAGAUUCAAAUACUUCUCAUAGAUAAACUUGAUCAUAAACCCACAAUUCAUCGGAUCUCGACAAACACACCGCAAAAAGAGUUACAUCGAAUAGAUCUCCAAGAAGAUUGAGGAGAACUUUGUAUUGAGAUUCAAAGAGAGAGAAGAAGCCAUCUAGCUAAUAACUAUGGACCCGAAGGUCUGUGGUAAACUACUCACAACUCAUCGGAGAGGCCUUGGAGAUGAUGUAGAGGCCCUCUGUGGUCGAUUCCCCCUCCUGUGGAGCGUCGGCGAAGGCUCAAAGAUGGGAUCUCGUGGAUACAGAAGAUUGCGGCGGUGGAAUAAGGUUUUCAUGGUGCAUUUCAAUGUUUUCAGGGUACGGGAGUAUGUAUAGGAGGAACAAGUAGGUUGGUUGACGCUCAAGGGGCCCACGAGGGUGGGGGGUGCGCCCACCCCCAGGGGCACACCGGGCACCCUCGUGGCCGCCUCGUUUGUUGCUUGACGUCUACUCCAAGUCUCCAGGUUUGCAUUUGUUCUGAAAAGAUCGCUCCCGAAGGUUUCAUUCUGUUUGGACUCCGUUUGAUAUUCCUUUUCUUCGAAACAUUGAAAUAGGCCAAAAAAAGCAAUUCGGGCUAGGCCUCCGGUUAGUAGGUUAGUCCCAAAAAUGAUAUAAAAGUGUAAAGUAAAGCCCAUAAACAUCCAAACGGGUAAUAUAAUAGCAUGGAACAAUCAAAAAUUAUAGAUGCGUUGGACACUUAUCAAGCAUCCCCAAGCUUAAUUCCUGCUUGUCCUCGAGUAGGUAAAUGAUAAAAACAGAAUUUUUGAUGUGGAAUGCUACCUAGAAUAAUUCUCAAUGUAAUUCUCUUUAAUGUGGCAUGAAUGUUCAGAUCCAAAUGAUUCAAAAUAAAAGUUCAUAUUGACAUAAGAAAUAGUAAUACUUCAAGCAUACUAACAAAGCAAUCAUGUCUUCUCAAAAUAACAUGGCUAAAGAAAGUUCAUCCCCACAAAAUCAUAUGGUUUGGUCAUGCUCCAUUUUCGUCACACAAGAAUGCUCUCAUCUUGCACACCCCCGAUGACAAGCCAAGCAAUUGUUUCAUACUUUAGCAAUCUCAAAAUUUUUUCAACUUUCACGCAAUACAUGAGCGUGAGCCAUGGAAAUAGCACUAUGGGUGGAAUAGAAUAUGAUGAUGGAGGUUGUGUGGAGAAGACAAAAAAGGAGAAAGUCUCAUAUUGACGAGGAUAAUCAACGGGCUAUGAAGAUGCCCAUCAAUUGAUGUCAACAUAUGAGGAGUAGGGAUUGCCAUGCAACGGAUGCACUAGAGCUAUAAAUGUAUGAAAGCUCAACAAAAGAAACUAGUGGGUGUGCAUCCAACUUGCUUGCUCAUGAAGACCUAUGGCAUUUUGAGGAAGCCCAUCGUUGGAAUAUACAAGCCAAGUUCUAUAAUAAAAAAUUCCCACUAGUAUAUGAAAGUGACAACAAAUGAGACUCUCUGUAUGAAGAACAUGGUGCUACUUUGAAGCACCAGUGUGGAAAAAGAUAGUAACAUUGUCCCCCUUUUUAUUUUAUUUUCUUUAUUUUCUUUUUUUCUUUUUUUGGGCCUUUUUUUAUUUGGCCUUUCCUUUUUUUUUCUUUGGCCUUUUUUUGGCCUUUCUUUUUUAUAAGGGACAAUGCUCUAAUAAUGAUGAUCAUCACACUUCUAUUUAUUUACAUCUCAUGAAUUACAACUCAAAACUAGAACAAGAUAUGACUCUAUAUGAAUGCCUCCGGCGGUGUACGGGGAUGGGCAAUGAAUCAAGAGUGACAUGUAUGAAAAAUUAUGAAGGUGGCUUUGCCACAAUACGAUGUCAACUACAUGAUCAUGCAAGGCAAUAUGACAAUGAUGAUGCGUGUCAUGAUAAACGGAACGGUGGAAAGUUGCAUGGCAAUAUAUCUUGAAAUGGCUAUGGAAAUGCAUAAUAGGUAGGUAUGGUGGCUGUUUUGAGGAAGAUAUAAGGAGGUUUAUGUGUGAUAGAGCGUAUCGUAUCAAGGGGUUUGGAUGCACCGGCAAAGUUUGCACCAACUCUGAAGGUGAGAAAGGGCAAUGCACGGUACCGAAGAGGCUAGCAAUGAUGGAAAGGUAAGAGUGCGUAUAAUCCAUGGACUCAACAUUAGUCAUAAAGAACUCAUAUACUUAUUGAAAAAUUCUACAAGUCAUCAAAAACCAAGAACUACGCGCAUGCUCCUAUGGGGAUAGAUUGGUAGGAAAAUACCAUCACUCGUCCCCGACCGCCACUCAUAAGGAUGACAAUCUAAGAACACCUCAUGUUUCAAAUUUGUUACACAACGGUUACCAUAUGUGCAUGCUACGGGACUUGCCAACUUCAACACAAGUAUUCUUUAAAUUCACAAUUACCCAACUAGCAUGACUCUAAUAUCACCACCUCCAUAUCUUAAAACAAUUAUCAAGUAUCAAAUUGAUCAUAGCAUCCAAUUCACUUCCUAUGAUAGUUUUUAUUAUACCCGACUUGGAUGCCCAUCAUUCUAGGACCAAUUUUACAACCAUAGAAAAUACCAUGCUGUUCUAAAAGACUCUCAAAAUAAUAUAAGUGAAUCAUGAGAGAUCAAAAAUUGCUACAAAAUUAAACCACCGCCGUUCUCUAAAAGAUAUAAGUGAAGCACUAGAGCAAAACUAUCUAGCUCAAAAGGUAUAAGUGAAGCAUAUAGAGUAUUUUAAUAAAUUCCAAAUCAUGUGGGCUUCUCCCAAAAGGUGUGUACAGCAAAGAUUAUUGUGGAAAUGUAAAAAUGAAAUACUAAUAUCAUACAAGACGCUCCAAGAAAAACACAUAUCAUGUGGCGAAUAAAAAUAUAGCUCCAAGUAAAGUUACCGAUAGACGAAGACGAAAGAGGGGAUUCCUUCCGGGGCAUCCCCAAGCUUAGGCUUUUGGUUAUCAUUGAAUAUCUUGUGGUGCCAUGGGCAUCCCCAAGCUUAGGAUAUGGGCACUCCUUAUUCCAUAGUCCAUCAAAUCUUUACCCAAAACUUGAAAACUUCACAACACAAAACUCAACAGGAAAGCUCAUAAGCUCCGUUAGUGCAAGAAAGAGAAACCACCACAUAAGGUACUGUAAUGAACUCAUUCUUUAUUUAUAUUGGUGUUAAACCUACUGUAUUCCAACUUCUCUAUGGUUCAUACCCCCCGAUACUAGCCAUAGAUGCAUCAAAAUAAGCAAACAACACACGAAAAACAGAAUCUGCCAAAAACAGAACAGCCUGUAGCAAUCUGUAACUUUCGAAUACGUAUGGAACUCUAAAACUGCGACAAAAAUAGGAAGUCCUGGGCAAUUUGUGUAUUGAUAUACAUCAAAAAGAAUAAACGCAAUAUCACCUUCCUGUGAUUUAUUAAAAUUAUUCUCGUGCGCGCAAAAGUUUCUGUUUUUCAGCAGAAUCAAAUUAACUAUCACCGUAGGUUAUCCUAUAGGUUCUACUUGGCACAAACACUAAUUAAAACAUAAAACCACAUCUAAAAAGAGGCUAUAUGAAAUAUUUAUUACUAAAUAGAAGCAAAAAAGCAAGUAACAAAAAUAAAAUUGGGUUGCCUCCCAGCAAGCGCUAUCGUUUAAUGCCCCUAGCUAGGCAUUGAUAAUUUUAAUGAUGCUCACAUGAAAGACAAGAAUUGAAGCGCAAAGAGAGCAUCAUGAAACACGUGACAAACACAUCUAAGUCUAACAUACUUCUUAUGCAUAGGUAUAUUAUAAGCAAACAAUUUUACAAUAGCAAUCUCAACAUGACGAGAGGUAAUUUAGUAAGAUAAAAAUUUAUACGACCAUAUUUUCCUCUCUCAUAAUAAUUACAUGUAGGAUCUUAGGCAAAUUCAACAAAAUAUCUAUCACAUAACAUAUUCUCAACACGAUCCACAUGCAGGUGAAGUUGACACUCUUCCAAAAUAUUGGGAUUAUCAUUAACUAAAGUCAUGACCUCUCCAAACCCACUUUUAUAAAAAAAUCAUAAGAUUGAACAUUCUCCAAAUAUGUGGGAUCUAAAGUUAACACUCUUCCAAACCCACUUCCAAUAUUAUUGCAAACACUAUUAUCAAUCUCAUAUUCAUCAUGGGGCUUAAAUAAAUCUUCAAGAUCAUAGGAAGAAUCAGCCCAAUCAUGAUCAUUGCAAGAAGUAGUAGACAUAGGAAAACUAGCAUGCCCAAGCUUAGGGUUUUGCAUAUUAUUAGCACAAUUGACAUCAAGAGAAUUAUAGUAACAUAAUUGCAAUCAUGCUUUUCUUUGAAGGAACUACCAAGUAUGGGUGCAAUAGCAACGAUCUCAUGUUUAACAUAAGGAACUAUAGCAAAUUCAUCUUCAUAAAUAUCGGCAUCAUGGCCACAAGAAUAGCAAGCAUCAUGUUCAUCAAAGGAUAUUUCAAUCAAAUCAUCAGAAUCAAAAUUAUUUAUAGAUUCAUGCAUAUCAUUAUUUUCUUCCAAAGCAAUGGUCAUUCUUUCAAUAAAUUCUUUGACAUAGACAUUAUGAGCCUAGUUUUCAUAGCAAUAUUUAAGCAUGUCAAAAUUUUCAGAUUCUUAGAGAGUAAUAUCAUACUUUUCAGUCAAAGAAGCAACUUCAUAAGCACCCUUAAAAGCAACAAAUUUUUCAAUUUGCUCGAUAUCAUAGUAACUAUAAACACCCUUUGCAUAAGAAGAUAAGAUUUCAUUAUCAUUAAACCCACAUAGGUAGGGAAGGUAUUUUUUAGGGUUCUUAGAGCAACAAGUAAAAUCAUAAGUUUCACAAAGAUUCCAAGCAUAACUCAACAAUCUAUUUAUUUGAUCCCAUAAGAGUCUCCCCUUUUUCAGACAACUGGUGACGCACAAAAUGAGCAUGCUCAUCUAAAGAUUUCCCAUCAACUAGGCUAGUUGGGGUUUUAGCACGAGCGCAUAUAGAUCGAAGAUGAUCCAAGUAGAAUACUUUAAGUGGAUCCAUAACAAUAGAUUUUUUGGCAAGCAAACAUGCAAGCAUAUAGAAGGCACAUGGAGACACAAGCAAACAAGAUCGAAUGGAAGAAGGGUGAAUAAAACGGCAAGGGUGAGGUGGGGGAGAGGAAAACGAGAGGCAAAUGGCAAAUAAUGUAAUGCGAGGGAGAUGAGUUUGUGAUGGGUACUUGGUAUGUCUUGACUUGAGCAAAGACCUCCCCGGCAACGGUGCUAGAAAUCCUUCUUGCUACCUCUGGAGCACUGCGUUGGUUUUCCUUGAAGAGGAAAGGGUGAUGCAGCAAAGUAGCGUAAGUAUUUCCCUCAGUUUUUGAGAACCAAGGUAUCAAUCCAGUAGGAGGCUCCUCAAAAGUCCCACGCACCUACACAAACAAACAAGAACCUCGACACCAACGCAAUAAAGGGGUUGACAAUCCCUUCAAGGUAACUUGCAAAAGUGAGAUCUGAUAGAGAUAAUAAGAUAAGAUAAAUAUUUAUGGUAUUUUUAUGAUAUAGAUUGGAAAGUAAAAGAUGCAAAUAAAAGUAGAUGUAAAACUUAUAUGAUAAAAGAUAGACCCGGGGGCCAUAGGUUUCACUAGUGGCUUCUCCCAAGAUAGCAUAAGUAUUACGGUGGGUGAACAAAUUACUGUCAAGCAAUUGAUAGAAAAGUGCAUAGUUAUGAUAAUAUGUAGGUAUGAUCAUGUAUAUAGGCAUCACGUCCGUGUCAAGUAGAUUGAAACGAUUCUGCAUCUACUACUAUUACUCCAUGAUAACCCACAAGUGUAGGGGAUCGCAACAGCUUUCGAGGGUAAAGUAUUCAACCCAAAUUUAUUGAUUCGACACAAGGGGAGCCAAAGAAUAUUCUUGAGUAUUAGCAGUUGAGUUUUCAAUUCAACCACACCUGGAUAACUUAGUAUCUGCAGCAAAGUGUUUAGUAGCAAAAGUGGUAUGAUAAUAAUGGUAACAGUGGCAAAGGUAAAGAUAAAUGUUUUUGGGUUUUUGUAGUAGUUGUAACAGUAGCAACGGAAAAGUAAAUAAGCGGAGAACAAUAUGUGAAAAGCUCGUAGGCAAUGGAUCAGUGAUAGAUAAUUAUGUCGGAUGCGUUUCUCAUGCAAUAGUUAUAACAUAGAGUGACACAGAACUAGCUCCAGUUCAUCAAUGUAAUGUAGGCAUGUAUUCCGUAAAUAGUCAUACGUGCUUAUGGAAAAGAACUUGUAUGACAUCUUUUGUCCUACCCUCCCAUGGCAGCAGGGUCCUAGCGGAAACUAAGGGAUAUUAAGGCCUCCUUUUAAUAGAGAACCGGAACAAAGCAUUAGCACAUAGUGAAUACAUGAACUCCUCAAACUACGAUCAUCACCGAGAAGUAUUCCCAUUAUUUUCACUUCGGGGUUGUUGGAUCAUAACACAUAAUAGGUGAUUAUAGACUUGCAAGAUAGGAUCAAGAACACACAUAUAUUCAUGCAAACAUAAUAGGUUCAGAUCUGAAAUCAUGGCACUCGGGCCCUAGUGACAAGCAUUAAGCAUAGAAAAGUCAUAGCAAUAUCAAACUCAGAACAUAGUUGAUACUAGGGAUUAAACCCUAACAAAACUAACUUGAUUACAUGGUAAAUCUCAUCCAACCCAUCACCGUCCAGCAAGCCUACGAUGGAAUUACUCAUGCACGAUGGUGAGCAUCAUGAAAUAGGUGAUGAAGGAUGGUUGAUGAUGGCGACGGCGACGAAUCCCCCUCUCUGGAGCCCCGAACGGACUCCAGAUCAGCCCUCACAAUAGAGAUUAGGGCUUGGCGGCGGCUCCAUGUCGUGAAACGCGAUGAAACUUUCUCUCUUAUGUUUUUCUCCUCGAGACGGAAUAUAUGGAGUUGGAAUUGAGGUCGGUGGAGGUCCAGGGGGCCCACGAGAUAGGAGGCCGCGCCCUAGGGGGGCACCCCCUGUCUCGUGGACAGGCUGUGAGCCCCCGGGCAUUAAUUCUUUCGCCAAAAAUUCUUAUUAAUUCCAAAAGGUGCCUUCGUGGAUUUCCAGGACAUUCGAGAACUUUUCUUUUCUACACAUAAAACAACAUCAUGGUAGUUCUGCUGAAAACAGCGUCAGUCUGGGUUAGUUUCAUUCAAAUCAUGCAAGUUAGAGUCCAAAACAAGGGCAAAAGUGUUUGGAAAAGUAGAUACGUUGGAGACGUAUCAACUCCCCCAAGCUUAAACCUUUGCUUGUCCUCGGGCAAUUCAGUUGAUAAACUGAAAGUGAUAAAGAAAAACUUUUACAAACUCGGUUUGCUCUUGUUUUUGUAAACAUGAAGAGCCAGCAUUCAAGUUUCGGCAAACAUUAUGAACUAACCAUACUCUCAAUAACACAUAGCUCUCACAAUCACUCAUAUCAAUAGCAUAACCAGCUAGCGAGCUAUAAUAAUAAAACUCGGGUGACAACACUUUCUCAAAAUAAUUAUAACAUGAUAUAACAAAAUGGUAUCUCGCUAGCCCUUUCUGAGACCGCAAAACAUAAAUGCAGAGCACCUUUAAAGACCAAGGACUGCCUAGACAUUGUAAUUCAUGGUAAAGGAGAUCUAGUCAAGUCAUACCCAAUAUAAACCAAUAGUAAUGAAUGCAAAUGACAGUGUGCUCUCCAGCGGGUACUUUUAAUAAGAAGGGUGAUGACUUAACAUAAAAGUAAAUAGAUAGGCCCUUCGCAGAGGGAAUCAGGGAUUUGUAGAGGUGCCAGAGCUCAAUUUUAAAAUAGAGAUUGAAUAACAUUUUGAGCGGCAUACUUUCAUUGUCAAUGCAACAUCUAUGAGAUGGCUAUAUCUUCCAUACUACAUCCAUUAUAGGCAGUUCCCAAACAAAAUGGUAAAGGUUUAUACUCCCCCAACCACCAACAAGCAUCAAUACAUGGCUUGCUCGAAACAACGAGUGCCUCCAACAUACAACAGCCCUGGGGGAGUUUUGUUUAAUUAUUUUGAUUUGUUUCGAUCUUUUUGGAUCAUGGGUCUGGGCAUCCCGGUUACCGGCCCUUUCUCGUGAAUGAGGAGCAGAGUACACUCCUCUUGAGAAUAACCCACCUAGCAUGGAAGAUAUAGGUAGCCCUAGUUGUAACAUGAGCUGCUCGAGCAUACAAAACAGAAUUUCAUUUGAAGGUUUGGAGUUUGGCACAUACAAAUUUACUUGGAACGGCAGGUAGAUACCGCAUAUAGGUAGGUAUAGUGGACUCAUAAAGAACAACUUUGGGGUUUAAGGAGUUUGGAUGCACAAGCAGUAUUCCCGCUUAGUACAGGUGAAGGCCAACAAAAGACUGGGAAGCGACCAACUGAGAGAGCGACAACAGUCGUAAACAUGCAUUAAAAAUAAUUCACACCGAGUACAAGCAUGAGUAGGAUAUAAUCCACCAUGAACAUAAAUAUCAUGAAGGCUAUGUUGAUUUGAUUCAACUACAUGCGUGAACAUGUGCCAAGUUGAGUCACUUAAUACAUUCAAAGGAGGAUACCAUCCCAUCAUAUCACAUCAUAAUCAUUCUAAUAGCAUGUUGGCACGCAAGGUAAACCAUUAUAACUCAUAGCUAAUCAAGCAUGGCACAAGCAACUAUAAUCUCUAAAUGUCAUUGCAAAUAAGUUUACUUCAUAAUAGCUGACUCAGGAACGAUGAACUCAUCAUAUUUACAAAAACAAGAGAGGUCGAGUUCAUACCAGCUUUUCUCAUCCCAAUAAGUCCAUCAUAUAUCGCCAUUAUUGCCUUUCACUUGCAUGACCGAAUGAUGUGUAUAAUAAUAAGAGUGCACGUGCAUUGGACUAAGCUGGAAUCUGCAAGCAUUCAACUCAAGAGAGAAGACAAGUAAUAUGGGCUCUAAGUUAAAUAAACAAUCACGCAUAUAAGAGCCACUAAGCAUUUUCAAUAUGGUCUUCUCGACCCCCAAAAGAAAGAAAAGAAAAGAAAACUAUUUACACGGGAAAGCUCCCAACAACUAAAAGAAGAACGAGAAAUCUUUUUGGGUUUUCAUUUUAAUUCCUACUACAGGCAAGGAAAUUAAACUAACUAAUUUUUUUGGUUUUUCUUAAGGUUUAUCAAACACACAAGAAGAAAACUAGAAAAAGAAAUUUAAACUAGCAUGGAUAAUACAAUGAAAGAGUAUGAGCACUGACAACUAGUGUGUGCACAUGAAUGUAAAGUCGGUGAGAAAUACGUACUCCCCCAAGCUUAGGCUUUUGGCCUAAGUUGGUCUAAUACCAAUGACCGCCUGGCUGAUAUCCAUAAGUGAAACUGGGGUAGUACUGACAUGCAGAGGCAACUGCCUCCUGAGCAGCAGCGUGUUGGCGAGCUACCUCCAUUCCCCUCUCAUAUUCAGUUGCUUCUUCCCUAGUGACAACAUAUCUUCCUUUUGCCUAAUAAUCAAAAAGGUAGGGAGCAGGAAGAGUAACAGGGACGACGUUGCAUCUGUCAUAGAUUAGUCAAUAAUGGAGGAAUUGUUCAUUCCUCUCAAGAAAAUGAUGAUCAAACAUAGCUUCUUUAUCCAAAUAAACAGGGGGUACAAUCAUAUCCCCCUCUCGUGGAGCUAUAUUAACAAAAUUAGCCACACGGGUUGCAUAAAUUCCUCCAAAGAAAUCUCCCCUUCUACUAUUAUUCUGCAACCUACGUGCAACUAUUGCCCCCAAGUUAUAACCUUUAUAACCUGACACAGCACUCUUGAGGACACAAAGAUCAGGGGCACACAUGUGACAUACCUCGUCCUUACCGUUAAUGCAUCUACCAAUAAGGAGAGCAAAGUAAUGUAUAGCAGGAAAAUGAAUGCUCCCUAUGGUAGCUUGUGCUAUGUACCUAGAUUCUCCCACAGUAAUAUUAGCAACAAAAUCUCUAAAUUCAGAUUUGGGAGGAUCAUUAAUAUUACCCCACUGCGGGAGUUUGCAAGCAGUUGUGAAAUCCUCUAAAUCCAAGGUAUAAGAUGUAUCAUAAAUAUCAAACAUGACACUAGGAGAAUUACGCGCAGAAAUAUAUUCGAACCUCCGCACAAAGGAAUCGGUCAAUUGAUAAUAUUGAGGACACUUAUCUUGUAAGAAGUCCUCCAGCUCGGCAUUACGCACAUACGCGUCAAAUUCUUCCUUGAAGCCUGCUUCCAUCGGAUGGCCACUCGCAAGCCCGUACAUUUGCGUCCCUUGGAAAAUUAACAUCUUGUUCACGUAUAGCAAUUCUUGGCCCUUUCUUUGCUGAGGAACCUCCUUGGUACAUUCUUCUAAGCAUAUUUCUUUUUCUGAAAAUUUCUGAAAUUUUAGUAACUUCAAAAUAAAAGUGAAUAAAACUAAACAAGAUUGAUAGCAACUACUCCUACAAGUGUCUAGAGCCUAUAUCAUGCAUUGGAAUUGCUUGGGACCUCAAAAUUUUAACAUGCAAGCACAAGAACAUGGUCACCUAAGCAGCAAAAAUUUGCAAUGAAUAAAGCACUAGAACAAAAACUAAUUGGACCAAUGGAGGAGUCACAUACCAAGCAACAAUCUCCCAAAGCAGUUUUGUGAAUGGAGCUUUGAGCUAAGAGAUCGAAAAUCGUAGCAAAAUGAGCUAGAACUCGUGCUUGAGCUGGAUGGGGAUUUUUCUGGGUAGAAGAUGAAGUGUGUGGGUGCUGGCAUAAGUGGAGGGGAGCCACCAGGGGCCCACGAGAUAGGGGUGCUCCCUACAGGGGGGGCGCCCUCCUCUCUCGUUGCCUGGUGCUUGCCCCUCCUGCAGUAUUUUUAGUGCCUAAAAUCCUCAAAUAUUCCAGAAAAAAUCAUACUAAAUUUGCAGGGCAUUUGGAGCACUUUUAUUUUUGGACUAUUUUUUAUUGCACGGAUAAUUCAGGAAACAGACGGAUAAUAUUGUUUUUGCUUUAUUUAUUCUAAAUAACAGAAAGUAAAAGGAGGGUACAGAAGGUUGUGCCUUCUAGUUUCAUCCAUCUCGUGAUCAUCAAAAUGAACCCGCUAACAAGGUUGAUCAAGUCUUGUUAACAAACUCAUUCCGAAUACCACGGAACCGGAGAAAUUUCGAAUAACACUAAGUUACCUCAACGGGGAUAUGAAAAUCCCCAACAAUAAGAAUAUCAUACUUUUUCUUGACAGUAGGGAGAGGAAAUUCAAAAUCUCCAAAAAUGAUAGUUGGAACUUUUUCAAUAGAAUUGAUGCUAUGAACUUGAGAUUGUUUCCUCGGAAAGUUUACCGUAUGCUCAUUACCAUUAAUAUGAAAAGUGACAUUGCCUUUGUUGCAAUCAAUAACAGCCCCUGCAGUAUUAAGAAAAGGUCUACCAAGGAUAAUAGACAUACUAUCGUCCUCGGGAAUAUCAAGAAUAACAAAGUCCGUUAAGAUAGUGACAUUUGCAACCACAACAGGCACAUCCUCACAAACACCGACAGGUAUAGCAGUUGAUUUAUCAGCCAUUUGCAAAGAUAUUUUAGUAGGUGUCAACUUAUUCAAUUCAAGUCUAUGAUAUAAAGAGAGAGGCAUAACACUAACACCGGCUCCAAGAUCACAUAAUGCAGUUCUGACAUAAUUUCUUUUAAUGGAGCAUGCUAUAGUUGAAACACCCGGAUCUCCAAGUUUCUUUGGUAUUCCACCUUUAAAGUGUAAUUAGCAAGCAUGGUGGAAAUUUCAGCAUCCGGUAUCUUUCUUUUAUUUGUGAUGAUAUCCUUCAUAUACUUAGCAUAAGGAUUUACUUUAAGCAUAUCAGUUAAGCGCAUACGUAAGAAAAUAGGUCUAAUCAUUUCAGCAAAGUGCUCAAAAUCCUCAUCAUCCUUUGACUUGGAUGGUUUAGGAGGAAAGGGCAUGGGUUUCUGAACCCAUGGUUCUCUUUCUUUACCGUGCUUCCUAGCAACAAAAUCUCUCUUAUCAUAACGUUGAUUCUUUGAUUGUGGGUUAUCAAGAUCAACAGCAGGUUCAAUCUCUACAUCAUUAUCUUUGCUAGGUUGAGCAUCAAUAUGAACAUUAUCAUUAAUAUUAUCACUAGGUUCUGUUCAUCACCUGAUUGUGUUUCAGCAUCAGAAAUAGAAAUAUCGUUGGGAUUUUCAGGUGUGUCUAUAGUAUGUUCACUAGAAGCAUGCAAGGUCCUAUCAUUUUUCUUUUUCUUCUUUUUAGAAGAACUAGGUGCCUCUAAAUUAUUUCUCUCAGAAUCUUGCUCGAUUCUCUUAGGGUGACCUUCAGGAUACAAAGGUUCCUGAGUCAUUCUACCAGUUCUAGUAGCCACUCUAAUGGCAAAGUCAUUUUUAUUAUUCAAUUCAUCAAGCAAAUCAUUUUGAGCUUUGAGUACUUGCUCAUCUUGAGUAGCAACCAUAGAAGCAUAUUUGCUAACGCGGUGAAGUUCAUCUUUAACUCUAGCCAGAUUAUCACCUACGCGUCCUAUCUCGAAAGCAUUAUUCUUUAACUCUCUACCAACAUAAGCAUUAAAACUUUCUUCACUAGCCAUGUCGGGGAAACUGAUCCACGAACACCUAUGGGGCCGGCGGACCGGGCCCCUUUCGGUUCAGCGGGGGGCGGAGAUUGCACGAAGAGCAGAUCGAGGCGAAGCACACGAGCAGUUUACCCAGCUUCGGAGCUCUCCGGAGAGAUAACACUCCUACUGCUGCUUGUCUGGUUCUAUUAUGUUCUUGCUCGCGAGAGCUAAGUGUUUUCUGGCUCACGAAUGAAUCGAACCUCCUCUACGUUGCGCAUGGGCCUCCUUUUAUAUGCUCAAGGGGUCACCAACAGGUGGCAACGCAGAGAAGGGUACAAAUAUAAAAGGUGGGGUCGUUGGUACAGCUACUUGUACAGUGCACCCUACCUAACCCUGACGGCAGGGGACAAGGGCAUUAAAUGCCCGUCUGAGUCGCCCAAACAGUGCAGAAAAGGACCGUUAGGGGCGCCACCGUUCGCCACGAUGGCGAUCUUGUCAGCUUCGCAUGCCACUGCGCACCGCUGGCUGCACAGCCUCCCGCAACGCGCGCCUGGAGAGGCCCCCAGAGCGACACGUUGGUGGAUGCGCUGGAGCGUGGGCACAGAGUGGCCGCCUGCCGUGGCAAGUGCCUUGCCGCUGCUGUUAUCUUGUUGGGUCCGGAGGCUUGUCGCUCACCGGGCCUCGAGGUACCUUGGUUGGUCUUCCCGGCAAGCUCCUCUUGCCGGGGCCUUGUUGCCUUGCCGGAGCGCGUGGCGCGUCGCGGCAAGUUCCUUGGAGUGCCUCGGUUGGCCUUCCCGGCAAGCUCCUCUUGCCGGGGCCUUGUCUCCUAAGCUUAAAUACUUUGUUCUUGAAUGGCUCCAAGGGAACCACGGAGGAUCUUGGUGUUAGCCCGGCAAGCCUUGUCGCGGGGUGCUGCAACUACCCAUGCACAAGUUCGGGGUACUAGGGUACCCCUAUUCUAGUACACCGACAGGAGCCCCCGGGCCUGGUCCAGACACGGUGCCGAGCGCUGUUGGGCCAUGCCCAAGACAGGGCACGGGCACAUGUGGACUGGGCCACGCCGAAUCUCGCUCCGUAUCCACCGCGCUCUCCCCUAACGGCACGCGUUGAAUGCGGCAUCGUGGGAGAGAUCGUGGGUGGUUCUUUAUUCGGAAGGGCGAAACGUCCGCCCCGUCCCUCUUUAUAAGUAGAGGAAACAGGGGCAGUUCAUUCCCCCUCGCUGGUUGCUACUACUCCAUCUUCACGAACCUCCGCCGCCCCCCCUUCUUCUCGAAGCUGAGAGAGCAGCGCUCUGCCCCCCCAUUGCCACCAGCAUCACCAACGCCGUCGACCUCCCCCACCACCUCCGCCGUGGCUCCGAAAGCCGACAAGGGAAAGGGCGUGAAGUCGGCCGAGGCGCAGCGGCUCGCGGCGCUGCGGAAGGAGCGGGCGAUCUUCUCCCCCCAGCUCGGCGUGAAGGAGCUGAGGGAGUACUUCUACCUCUUUUGGGCGACGGAGACGCGGGCGCAUCCACGCACGAGGGUACUCCCGGCCGCUGCUUCGGAACUGGCUCCAAACGGGUACCCAUUCUUCACGCUGUUCUUCUAUUGCAGGCUCUACCCGCCCUUCUCGGAGUUCUUCUGCGAUAUCAUGAACACCUACGGCUUCCGCCUCCUUGACUUCACCCCCAACGCCGUUCUGACCAUGGCAGUUUUCGCACAUUUGUGCGAAAACUUUGUCGGAGUCCACCCCAAUGUUUCCCUUUUCCGCCACUUCUUCAUACCUCGGGUAGAGAGAGGAGAGCCGCUUGCCGGAGGGAUCGCCUGGAUCUCGAGAGUCGGCAAGAAGGAGGCGUACUUGGAGGGUGAGCUCCGCAGCAAGUGGGAGGAGUGGAGAGCGGAGUGGUGCUGGAUCGUCAAGGAGAAUCCGCAGCCCUUCACUGCCGUGCGCCAAGCUCCAAUAGUGCGCGGCAAUGACUGGAGCAAUGUGGCCCCGGAAGACGAGAGGCUGAAGAUCGCCAUUACUAGGAUCCUUCGCCUCAGGCUUGCUGGGCUCACUGUAGGCGCUGUAGGCGCAGAUUUCCUCCGCCGCCGCAUCGCCCCCCUGCAGGAGAGGGGGAGGCCCGCCUGGGAAUUCAAGAACUCGGCGGACAUCAUGAGGCUGCGGCCGGGCCUCAACUACAACUUCACCAUCUUGGAGCUGGAGGCAAUGCUACUGGAGUUGUUCAAACGCGACCCCCAGCACCCAUUCACGCUGCCGAGGGGCGUCGUUCCAUUGUGCAACAAUUCUUCGCUUGACCGGAUCCGCGCCAUGAUGCCGUUGUGCGAUUCACACGGAAUCAUUCCAACUUGGCAAGAGCCUGCGGAUGACGUCAUGCAAGCGUUCUUCGACAACUUGGAAGAAGUGCCGGUCCACGCUGAUGAGCAGAAGAGCCUCACCCGUGACACCACCGACGAGGAGCUGCAGUGCAUCGCCACUAGGGCGGAAGAGGUUGCGGCCGCAGCUGCCGUGGGCGCGUUCGGGUUCACUAUGGAGGAAGCGGAGGCUGCAGAGGCGGCAAACCUCGCCAAGCGCGCGGAGUUCAUUGGUGAGGAAGAGCCUACCGGUUCUGAAGCUGAGCCGAGCGAGGCCGGCGAGGAAGAGCCCGAGCCUUCAGAAGGCUUGCCGCAGGCGGAGCCCUCGGCCCCGCCAAGAAGGCGUCUUCGCAGGGCCGCGGAUGUAGCGAGGCGGCAGCCGGGUCAAUAGCCGCCAAGCCGUGCGACACGCUCUACCGCGGCAAGCAAUGUUGCUGCGGGAGCGCCCCACGCAGCAGCGGCAACUGGAGCGGGAUCUUCCCGGGCCACCGCCACCGCCCCCGCCAAGUGGGCAAGGGAUCCUACUCCUCCGCCUCGCCGCACCGGAAGGGAGCCAGACUUUGAUCUUUCCGCGCUCAGCUCCGACGAGGAGGAAGAAGAGUAAGUUUCUUUGGUGCUCUUGUAGUUCUUCAAUUUUGCUGUUUUUAUCUUGUAUCUGACUUGCUUCAAUCUGGACUCCUUUCUUUUCAGGACGCUGGCCCAGAGAGCGGCGAAGAGGGCCAAGGCCACGGUGAUUGUCAUCGAAGAUGACCCCACCGUGUGAGCAGGGGGUGAGUCCGAGACCACCUUGACGGACCCGGCAACCACUCCUCAAAACAGCCCCCAGCGCAGUCCCCAGCGUAAGUUCAUAGUUAGCUUUCUGUUGUCAGGCGCGCAUGAGUGCUUUUUCCUUUGUUGAUAUCUUUCUUGUUGACUUGUGUAGGAGCAGAGCAGCCACAUCAGGAGCGCCCGGAAGCUGGUCCCGAAGUGCCAUCUGCUUCGACUACGCCGCCAAGGGAGGGGUUCCCGGUAAGGGAGCGCUCUCCGGCAAGGGGCAGCACCGUCGAUCCUGCGGCGGCCGAGACUGCAACUGCAGAUCUUGGCACAGGUAAUUCACUUGUCCAAAAACUUUCCCUUGGGUUCUUCUUCUUCUGAUUUUCUUCUCUUGGAUUUUUGAUUGAUUUUUCUCCCUUCUUCGUUCUUCAGACCCAUCUGCGGCUGAGCCAAUGGAGACAGAGGGUGUCGGCGAGGAAGGGACCGGUGCUGAUGAGGCCGCCGACGAGGAGGCCGCCAAGGCUGCCGCCGCAGAAGCCGGCGAGGGGUCGGGCGAUCGCACUGACGACCCUGAGGCCGCAGGAGCGCCAGGCGCUGCGCCGACCGCCGAUCCCUCUGCCGCUUCUGCGGAGCCGGGCUCCGAGGAGCCCCAGCCCGGCGCCUACUUGAAGGCCGGUGACGAUAUCUUCAUCAAGCUACCCUGGGCAUCGAGCUCCAGGGCGCCGGUCGAGGGGGAAACUUUUGAUGAGGAGGUGCUCGCCUCUGCUGGACUAUCGUUGGUCGACGCACCCAGCAGCAGCAGUGGCGAGCCUGAGGAGGAGCAGCUGCUGCAGAAGCUGCUGUCACUCUACCGCGCACGGCAAGCCAAGCUGGCUUCCCGGGAAGCGCUUGUCGCGAAGGCGGGAGUUGACAUGGAGAAGCGCAAGGAGGAGCUCCGGGGCCACAAUCAAGAAGCUCUCCGGUCCCUGGCACAGGAGCGGGAGCAACUCGACGAGGAGCGCACGGCCUUCCUUCUCGAGAAGGCCGAAGCUGAGGAGGAACAAAGGCUGGCCGCCGAGAAGCAGUCCGUGCGAGAAGGCGAAUUGGUGCAGUGGAAGGCCAACCUCGACAGCUAUGAGGAGGAGCUUGCCGAGCGCGGGCAAGCACUUGGCGGGGCGCUCAAGGAGGCAAAGGACGCUGCCGCAAUCGCAGAGGCUGCCAAGAAAGAGCUGGAGGAGAAGGUGGUGCAGCUGGAGGCCAACAUCGGGAAGAGCGGCGAGGAGCUUGCCGUGCUCAAGCGUGAGCGUGAGAAGGAUGUUGCCGCCCACGGUGAGCUGCAAGGUCUUCUCGCUGAGAGGGGCAAGGAGCUCAGCGCCGCCAAGGAUUCCAAUGCGGUCCUGGAGUUGAAGCUGGCCGCGCUGAUGCAGACGCUGGAGGCCGCCAAGGAGCGGGAGAAGACCUUGUCGGAGAAGGUCAAAGCUGACAAGGCGUUGCUGGAGAGCAUCGCAGUUACCCAGAACUCGUUCAGAGAUACUGUGGAGCACUGGACCGAGGGUCUGGUGAAUAUUGCCGCAGUCAUCGACGAGGAGCUGGCGCAGCUGGGGAUGGAGGACUUUGGGAAUCCCUCUGACGAGAAUCUCCAACCCAGCACCAAGCUCAGCCUGUUCUUCAAGGGCGUGGCGACGGCACUCCAGCGGCUCCGGGAGAGGAUCUCAAGGCAGCUGGCCGACGAGUCGCGCAAAAUCUACGUCGGGGUUCUCCAGAAGGUGCUGAUGAAGGUGGCCUUCCGCAAUCCGGGCCUCAGCUUCACCAACGUCCUCAAGUCCUUGCCACCAGACGCCGAUCGGGAUGCACUCAAGGCCCUUGUCGCACCCAUUGUGGACAAGGUGAGCGAGAUCAAGAGGGUUGAGGGCGAUCGCGUAGACUAGGCCGCCCAUUCCUUCUUUUCCCUUGUCGCUGCUAAUCAUGUUAUGAAAACAGUCUGUUAGAGCUGCGACAGGUUAUCUUGUAAUAUAACUUUAUUUCUGUUAUCAAUUGCUAUGUUAUUUCCUCUACUAUAUUCCUUCCUUUGUAUGUUUUUACCCUACGCUUCUAGGGAACUUGUCGGUGCAGGCACCCGAGCCGCGAGCGCUGAGUGCGGAACAUCAGCAGCCUGCUGGCGGCGCUGCUUCCGACAAGAAACCUUGUCGCGACUAGAUGCAGCACACUUAAGUUGUUGAGCGGACUCGAAACAAAGUAAGGGCGCAACUAGCCACGAGUUGGUUCCUCCGCGCACAGGUUUUCCAUACAAAGCAGGGUCGUUCGAGGAAGAUAACUCAAAAAUUUAAAAACUGAUUGCUCAAACUUUGGCAACUUAGCUUUUCUGUCGUUUGCUUCCCGGCAAGGCAAAACUUUGCUUGAACGACGCCUGGUCUAUACCACAAUCUUCUCCUUCCCCCCCGGCAAACUUGUGUGCGAGGGAACCUUCUUUUCCUUUGUUGAAAAGAAGAAAGAAGAGAAAAUAAUAAUAUGGAGUCCUUCGGCUCGUUAUUGCUUACUGGAUGUAGGUGCUACACAAAGUGUCAGAUAACACAUGCAAGAAAGAAACUAAUGCAUGAAAUGGACAAGUUGUGUGGAGCACAUGGGGUUCUAUUUAUGCACGGGAUCUGCACCCGGCUUUGUACAAAGGACUACAUGCAACAGCGGCAAGACUUGUACAAAAGGUGGUUGCCGGAACGGGGUUCCGGCAACCGCGCCCUACAGGAAAAACUUACGAAGAUGUGCUAUGUUCCAGGAGUUGCUCACCGGAAUGCCAUCUUCGGUCUCAAGGCGGACAGCGCCAGGCCUUGUGACUCGUCUCACCCGAUAAGGGCCUUCCCACUUCAGCGUCAACUUGUUGGAAUUCUUGGCGGACUGAACGCGCCAAAGAACAAGGUCGCCUUCCUCAAAGCUUCUGGCCUUAACUUUGCGGCUAUGGUAGCGGCGCAAAGCUUGCUGGUAUCGAGCAGCUCGUACAGCAGCCUGAAGACGAUCUUCCUCAAGGAGCAGCGCGUCGUCUUGUCGCAGCUGUUCUUGCUCAAGCUCAUCAUAAGCGAGCACUCGAGGCGAUCCGUAUACGAGUUCCGUGGGGAGAACUGCCUCUGCUCCAUAGACUAGAGCGAAAGGUGUCUGGCCAGUGGCUCGAUUUGGCGUCAUUCUGAUCGACCAAAGAACCACAGGCAGCUCCUCGAUCCAGUUUCUUCCGCACUUGUGCAGCCUGUCGAAAGUUCUGGUCUUGAGCCCGCGCAGCACUUUAGCAUUUGCCCUAUCUGCUUGACCGUUGCUUCUCGGAUGAGCAACAGAAGCGAAGCAGACCUUGGCGCCAAGGUCUUGGACGUACUGCAUGAAGGUGCGGCUCGUGAAUUGCGUGCCGUUGUCGGUGAUGAUCCUGUUAGGGAUCCCGAAACGUCAAACAAUUGACCUGAAGAACUUGACUGCUGACUGUGCUGUCACCUUCCUCACUGGCUGCACUUCCGGCCACUUUGUGAACUUGUCGAUUGCGACGUACAAGUACUCAAAGCCCCCGACAGCUCGGGGGAAAGGGCCGAGGAUAUCGAGCCCCCAGACUGAAAAUGGCCAGGAUAAAGGGAUCGUCUGGAGAGCUUGAGCUGGCUGGUGUAUCUGUUUGGAGUGGAACUGGCACGCUUCACACUUGGUUACUUGUGCAGUUGCAUCCUGGAGGGCUGUCGGCCAAAAGAAACCUUGCCGGAAAGCUUUGCCGGCAAGUGCUCUUGCGCUAAUGUGGUGGCCACAUAUGCCUCCAUGUAUCUCUGCCAACAACUUUUGUCCAUCUUCCCGGCAAAUACACUUCAAUUUCACACCGUUGAGUCUUCUUCUGUACAGUAUGCUAUUGACAAACUAGUACAUACUUGACUGUCGGGUUACUUUUUCCGCUUAUUCUUGCUCUUCGGGAAGUUCUCCUGUCUGAAGGAAAUGGACAAUCUGCUGUGCCCAUGCUGGAGCUUGUGGCUCGACAACAAGGACUAAAGGCACACCUGCUGCUGCGGGAACAUCCGCUUCCACGGCAAGGACUUGCGGCCCUGCUGGAGCUUGAUGUUCCCCGGCAAGCUUGCCGGAGCAAAACUUGUCAGGAGCGUCUGCUUCAACAGAACAAACCAUAAGGCUUGCCGAAGCAGACUGCCCCUCAACAACCUUGGUGUUGAUCUUGGGGACUUUCUUGGCGGCGGCUUCGGGGAGCUCUGCCGGAAAGUAGUCACCAGAAAUCAACUUCCUCUUCUUGCUUUGUCCAGUUGAUGGUGUUACGGAUGGUUGAGUCAACUUGAGCACAAAGAUCCCUGGUUCCAUAGGUAACUUUAGUGCGGCGCACUUUGACAGGCCAUCAGCAAUGUCAUUCUGAGCUCUUGGGAUAUGCUCCAUCUGUAGGUCGUCAAAGUACUCUUCUAGCUUCCUCACUUCAUCAACAUAUGCUUCCAUCAAUGGACUCUGGUAGUUCUUGUUCACUUGGCGGACGACAAGCUGUGAGUCACCCCUGACAAUGAGCUUCUUGAUCCCAAGGUCUGCUGCAAUUCUGAGACCGGCAAGCAAUCCUUCAUACUCUGCAGUAUUGUUGGUUGCUUGCUCCUUGGGAAAGUGCAUCUGGACUACGUACUUGAGGUGCUCUCCGGUGGGCGCGACAAGCAGCACGCCCGCACCGGCGCCUUGCAGCGAGAAGGCACCAUCAAAGUACAUCAGCCACUCUUUGCUUGCCUCUUUGACGGGGAUGCUCAUCUCUGGAAUUUCUUCAUCUGGUGUUGGCGUCCAUUCUGCUAUGAACUCUGCCAAUGCCCUGCUUUGGAUAGUUGAAGUGCUCUCAAACUUGAGGCCAAAGCUUGACAGUUCCAGCGCCCACUCGACAGUCCUGCCUGUUGCUUCUGGAUUUUGCAGUAUCCUCUUUAGCGGAAAGCGAGUGACGACUGUGAUCUCAUGUGCUUGGAAGUAAUGGCGCAGCUUUCUCGAGGCCAUGAGGAGGCCGAAAAGCAACUUCUGCACACCAGAGUACCUUGAUCUAGCCCCCUGUAGAAGGGAACUGACAAAGUAAACUAGACGCUGCAUCAUUCUCUUCUGCAUCUUAUCAUGCUCCUGCGCAGAUCCAUCUUUGUCGGGACCAGAGCUUGUCGGCGAAGCCCCCCGCUUGUCGCUGGAUGCAUCUGCCGUGGUUGCUGGCUCAUCAUCUGCCUCCCUCUCCGCCACUAACGCAGCACUAACCACUUGAUUGGUUGCCUCUAUAUACAGCAGCAACUUCUCUUGCGGCUUAGGUGUGACAAGUGUUGGAGUGGAGGACAGGUAUCUCUUCAAGUCCUGCAGCGCAGCCUCCGCCUCUGGAGUCCAUUUUAUUGGACCUGCCUUUUUCAAAAUUUUGAAAAAUAGCAGGGCGCGCUCAGCAGAUCUAGAGAUAAACCUGCUGAGAGCAGCCAUGCAACCGGCAAGCCUUCGUACAUCCUUGACGCACUUUGGUGCUUCGAUCUGCUCAAUGGCCUUGAUCUUGUCGGGAUUGGCUUCAAUUCCCCGCUGAGACACGAAGAACCCGAGAAGCUUGCCGGAAGGAACUCCAAACACGCACUUCUCGGGGUUAAGCUUGAGGUUGAUCUUGCGCAGAUUUGCAAAUGUCUCGUCUAAAUCUUGAAUCAGGGUCGCCCUGUUCUUGCUCUUGACCACUAUGUCAUCCAUGUAGGCUUCCACAUUUCUGUGCAUCUGCGGCUCAAAAGCGUGGUGGACUACCCUUGCGAAUGUUGAACCAGCAUUCUUCAAACCGAAAGGCAUCCGUACGAAGCAGUACGUGCCACACGGGGUGAUAAAUGCGGUUUUCUCUUCAUCCUCUUCUGCCAUGAAGAUCUGAUGGUAUCCUGAGUAUGCAUCAAGAAAUGAAAGCAAAUCACAUCCGGCUGUGGAGUCAACAAUCUGGUCAAUGCGCAGCAAGGGAAAUGGGUCUUUGGGACAAGCUUUAUUAACAUCAGUGAAGUCAAUACAAAGCCUCUAUUUCCCGUUAGCCUUGCGCACGACAACAGGAUUGGCCAACCACAUGGGAUGGAGCACUCCUCUGACAAGGAUUGUUGCUUCCAACUUCUUGAUUUCUUCUGCGAUGAAUUCUUGGUGCUCCACUGCCUGUUUCCUGACUUUCUGCUUGACGGGCCGCGCAUGAGGACAGACGGCAAGGUGGUGCUCAAUUACUUUCCUGGGAACACCGGGGAUAACAGACGGUUGCCACGCAAACACGUCGACAUUCGCCCGCAGGAAAGCAACGAGCGCGCUUUCCUAUUUGGGGUCAAGAGUGGCGCUGAUGGUGAAGGUACCACCAGUGCCGUCCUCCUUGGCGGACACCUUCUUGGUCUCAGGUGGAGCUGUCAUUGCCUUCUUACACUUGCCGGUGGAGCUCGAUGGUGCGUCCUCGACGGUAGCGCAGCACUCCGAAGAGGUGCGCUUGCCGGAGUGGGCAUCAGAGCUCUUGCCGGACUUGGUCUUCUUCUUCCCCCCGGGAGCUUCAGCGGCAAGUGUCUUGCGUUCUGCUGCGGCUGCUGCUUCCCGGUAGAUCUUGUCGGCACAGAUAAGAGCAUCCUUCUUGUCGCCAGGGACAGAGAUGACACUUAUCGGGCCUGGCAUUUUCAGUACGUUGUACGCAUAGUGAGAGGCUGCCAUGAACUUGGUGAGUGCCGGACGGCCAAGGAUUCCAUUGUAAGGUAAUGGAAAGUCAGCAACGUCAAACGUGACCCUCUCAGUCCUGAAGUUCAGCUCGCUGCCAAAUGUUACCGGCAACGUGAUCUUUCCCUUCGGCUUGCUCCUUCCCGGGUUGAUUCCUUGAAAGGUACCGGUCUCUUCAAGCUCGCUGUCAGGGAUCUGGAGUUUCUGGAGCACCGCGGAGGAGAUUAGGUUCAAGCCGGCCCCGCCGUCAACUAGCAUCUUAGUGACCUUGAGGUUGUGGAUUGUUGGUGAAACCAACAUCGGCAAGCACCCGACCGCAGUUAUGCGAUCAGGGUGGUCCUCAAUAUCAAAGAUGAUAGGCGUGCUGGACCAUUUCAGAGGCUUGCGUGACUCGACGGGUGGUUCUGCUGCAUUAACUUCCCGCACCCACUGCUUGAGCUGACGGUGCGAGGUUUGCAGAGAAGCACCACCAUCAACGCACAGGACCUCUGUGGCCUUCUGGAACUCCUGCUCAUCAGUCUCCUCAUCAUCCAUGUCUUCAUCGUCGUCGUCAUCUUCAUCCUUGUCGCGGCCGCGAGGAGGUCUGUCUCCUUGCCACUGCUUGGCCUUGCCGCGGCGUCCUCCUCGGCCGGGACGUCUCUUGCCGGAUCCCCCAGCACCUUCCUGGGCCUUCUCCUUGUCGCGCCGCUCGUAUUCAGCUUUCUGUUGCUCAACAAGCUGCUCGACUUUCCUGCAGCUCUGGAGAUCAUGGCCCUUGGUGCGGUGGAUCUUGCAAUACUGCUUGUUGGUGCCGUCCUGCUUGUCGGCGACCGCCACCUCUGCGGCAACCUCCUUGCCGGAGUCACCAGCUUUGGCUUCCUUGGCGCCACCACCGUUGCCGAACUACUCAACAACUAGCACCUCUUUGCCUUUCCUCUUCCUAUUGUUCCGCCGCCGGUUUUUCCUUGCCGGGGCAGCAUCUUCACUGUCAGAUCCUCCCGCUCCUACAUUCUCUCCGGGGAGUCUCCUCCCUUCCUCAGCACGUGCACACUUGUCGGCCAGUGCAUAUAACUCACUGACGUCCCUGAUCUUGCACAUCGCCAUUUCCUCCCGCAUCCUGCGGUUUCGCACAUUCUGAUGGAAUGCACUGAUCACCACGGCAGGGUGGACGUCUGGGAUGUUGUGCAGCACACUGCUGAAUCUCUGAAUGUACUUGCACAGGGGCUCUCCUUCCUUCUGGGCGAGCAGAUGAAGAUCACUCUCCUGGCCAUGAGGCUUGUGUCCGCCUGUGAAGGCGCCGACAAACUGAUGGCACAGAUCAGCCCAAGAGGAUAUGGAGUUGUCUGGCAAGUGCAUGAGCCAGGACCUGACAUUGGGCUUGAGCACCAGCGGGAAGUAGUUGGCAAGGAUCUUGUCAUCCCGUCCCCCAGCAGCCUGCACCGCAAUGGUGUAAAUGCUGAGGAACUCCGACGGAUGCGUCUUGCCGUCGUACUUCUCCGGUACGUCUGGCUUGAAGUUCUUCGUGCUGGGCCACUGGACUUGCUGCAGCUCACGAGUGAACGCAGGGCAACCUACCACAUACGGCAGAUCGCCUGGUUCCCCUGGCGCAUGCAUGUCAACAGAGGGCCCAGCGCGCUUGUCGGAUUGACGUCGCACUUCUCUUCGGCGCUCGAUGCGAGUUCGAGCGUCUUCUUGUUGUCGAUCAUGAAGAACUUGGCACUGAUCGCGACCAGCUCGUGGAUCCGAAGAUGUGGUGGAGUCGCUGUCGAGGUGGAUCCGGCGAGUCGGCGAUCUUGGCCUUCGGGGUGGUGAUUUCAUGGUAGUUGCACCUCCACCCGUUUCGUCGCCACCGGCUCGCGCCCGGCAACCCUGCCGCGGCGGCGACGCGCUCGGCCGCCAUGGAGUGUCGCCGUUGGCGUAGCCGAUGAGACUCUGAAUGGUGGCCCUCCAUUCGUCGAUCUUGUCCGACGUCGGAGGGUAAUCUAGGAGAAGUUGAGCUCGCGCCAAAGCUUCUGCUGGAGUGGUGGGUGGCAGUGGCGGACGGAGCGAGGAGCGGGACGUGCUCGGACUUCUAACUAUGUCAGAAGGAGCAGUAUCCCGUCCAGGCGACCGUGCCCCGCUUGUGCCAGCACGCUGGCGUGCAUGCUGGUCUUGAGCGCCCCGAGAUCCACCAGCUUGGUCUUGGCCUAUCAUGCGUAUGGCACUGCAAGUGCCAUGACGCUGUUGGUCUUGCACCUCCUGAGAGUGGCGUGGGACAUGUACAGUCGCCGAGGUUUGUGCAGCCUUGUUCUUGGACCUGGCAGCAUCAUGAGCUUCCUCGUCGACGUCCAUACUUCCGUCGGCGUCCAUUCCACCACCCGUUUGCUCCAACGGUGGCGGAAGUGACGUGGAUGGAGCGGCUGCCGCCGAAGUCUUCUUCUUCGGUGGCAUGUUGAUGAAGGGAAUGAAGAUCUAGCUCGUGUGAACGUCGGAUCAGGUUCACACAAUCUCGACGCCCCCUACCUGGCGCGCCAUAGAUGUCGGGGAAACUAAUCCACGAACACCUAUGGGGCCGGCGGACCGGGCCCCUUUCGGUUCGGCGGGGGGCGGAGAUCGCACGAAGAGCAGAUCGAGGCGAAGCACACUAGCAGUUUACCCAGCUUCGGAGCUCUCUGGAGAGAUAACACUCCUACUGCUACUUGUCUGGUUCUAUUAUGUUCUUGCUCACGAGAGCUAAGUGUUUUCUGGCUCACGAAUGAAUCGAACCUCCUCUACGUUGCGCAUGGGCCUCCUUUUAUAUGCUCAAGGGGUCACCGACAGGUGGCAACGCAGAGAAGGGUACAAAUGUAAAAAGUGGGGUGGUUGGUACAGUUACUUGUAUAGUGCACCCUACCUAACCCUGACGGCAGGGGACAAGGGCAUUAAAUGCCCGUCUGAGUCACCCAAACAGUGCAGAAAAGGACCGUUAGGGGCGCCACCGUUCGCCACGAUGGCGAUCUUGUCAGCUUCGCAUGCCACUGCGCACCGCUGGCUGCACAGCCUCCCGCCACGCGCGCCUGGAGAGGCCCCCAGAGCGACACGUUGGUGGAUGCGCUGGAGCGUGGGCACAGAGUGGCCGCCUGCCGCGGCAAGUGCCUUGCCGCUGCUGUUAUCUUGUCGGGUCCGGAGGCUUGUCGCUCACCGGGCCUCGAGGUACCUUGGUUGGUCUUCCCGGCAAGCUCCUCUUGCCGGGGCCUUGUUGCCUUGCCGGAGCACAUGGCGCAUCGCGGCAAGUUCCUUGGAGUGCCUCGGUUGGCCUUCCCGGCAAGCUCCUCUUGCCGGGGCCUUGUCUCCUGAGCUUAAAUACUUUGUUCUUGAAUGGCUCCAAGGGAACCACGGAGGAUCUUGGUGUUAGCCCGGCAAGCCUUGCCGCGGGGUGCUGCAACUGUCCGUGCACAAGUUCGGGGUACUAGGGUACCCCUAUUCUAGUACACCGACAAGCCAUAAAGUCAUCAAAUUCAUCUAAGCAAGGGCUAUGAAAUUUAGUAGAGGGUAUUUCAACUUUAUCAUAUCUAUAGAGAGAAUUAACCUUUACUACCUGUGUCGGGUUAUCAAGAUAAUGUGGUUCCUCAGGUGGUAAAUUAAGACCAUGUAUUUCUUCAAUAGGUGGUAAAUUCUUAACAUCUUCAGCUUUAAUACGUUUUUCUUUCAUUGAUUUCUUUGCCUCUUGCAUAUCUUUAGGACUGAGAAAUAAAACACCUCUCUUCUUCGGAGUGGGUUUAGGAAUAGGCUCAGGAGUUGGCUCAAUUGGUUCAGGAAUUACUUCGGGAACUAGCUCAGGAAGAGUCCAAUUAUUUUCAUUAGUCAACAUAUUAUUCAAUAAUAAUUCAGCUUUGUCGGCUGUUCUUUCCUUGAAAACACAACCAGCACAACUAUCCAAGUAGUCCUUGGAAGCAUUGGUUAGUCCAUUAUAAAAGAUAUCAAGUAUUUCAUUUUUCUUAAGAGGAUGAUCGGGCAAAGCAUUAAGUAACCGGAGAAGCCUCCCCCAAGCUUGUGGGAGACUCUCUUCUUUAAUUUGCACAAAAUUAUAUAUUUCCCGCAAGGCAGCUUGUUUCUUAUGAGCAGGGAAAUAUUUAGGAGAGAAGUAAUAAAUCAUAUCCUGGGGACUAUGCACAUAACCAGGAGCAAGAGAAUUGUACCAAGUCUUAGCAUCACCCUUUAAUGAGAACGGAAAUAUCUUAAGGAUAUAUAAAUAGCGAGACUUCUCACCAUGAGUAAACAGGGUGGCUAUAUCAUUCAACUUGGUAAGAUGUGCCACAACAGUUUCAGAUUCAAGGCCAUAAAAAGGAUCAGAUUCAACUAAAGUAAUAAUCUCAGGAUCAAUAGAGAAUUCAUAAUCCUUAUCAGUAACACAGAUAGGUGAAGUAGCAAAAGCAGGAUCAGGUUUCAUUCUAGCAUUAAGAGACUGCUGCUUCCAUUUAGCUAAUAAUUUCUUAAGAUCAGAUCUAUCAUUGCAAGCAAGAAUUUCCAUAGCAGUUGCUUCAUUCAUAACAUAACCCUUAGGAACAACAGGCAAUACAUAAUCAUUGGGAGAACGUUCAUCAUCACUAUCAUCAAUAGCAUCUUCAAUAUUUUCAUUCCCCCUAACUCUAGCAAGUUGUUCAUCUAGAAAUUCACCUAAUGGCAAAGUAGUAUCACGCACAGAAGUAGUUCCAUCAUGCAUAGCAGAAGUGGCAUCAUCAAUAACAUGUGACAUAUCAGAAUUCAUAGCAGUAGCAAGUUUAGGUGUCGCAAGCUUACUAAUAACGGAAGGAGAAUCUAUUGCAGAGCUAGAUGGCAGUUCCUUACCUCCCCUCGUAGUUGAGGGCAAAAUCUUGGUCUUAGCGUCUUUCAAGUUCUUCAUAGUGAUCAACAAAUAUAAAUCCCAAGUGACUCAGAGAAUAGAGCUAUGCUCCCCGGCAACGGCGCCAGAAAUUAGUCUUGAUAACCCACAAGUGUAGGGGAUCGCAACAGCUUUCAAGGGUAAAGUAUUCAACCCAAAUUUAUUGAGUCGACACAAGGGGAGCCAAAGAAUAUUCUUGAGUAUUAGCAGUUGAGUUGUCAAUUCAACCACACGUGGAUAACUUAGUAUCUGCAGCAAAGUGUUUAGUAGCAAAAGUGGUAUGAUAAUAAUGGUAAUAGUGGCAAAGGUAAAGAUAAAUGUUUUUUGGGGUUUUGUAGUAGUUGUAACAGUAGCAACGGAAAAGUAAAUAAGCGGAGAAUAAUAUGUGAAAAGAUCGUAGGCAAUGGAUCAGUGAUGGAUAAUUAUGUCGGAUGCGAAUCCUCAUGCAAUAGUUAUAACAUAGGGUGACACAGAACUAGCUCCAGUUCAUCAAUGUAAUAUAGGCAUGUAUUCCGUAAAUAGUCAUACGUGCUUAUGGAAAAGAACUUGUAUGACAUCUUUUGUCCUACCCUCCUGUGGCAGCGGGGUCCUAGCGGAAACUAAGGGAUAUUAAGGCCUCCUUUUAAUAGAGAACCGAAACAAAGCAUUGGCACAUAGUGAAUACAUGAACUCCUCAAACUAUGGUCAUCACCGAGAAGUAUCCCGAUUAUUGUCACUUCGGGGUUGUCGGAUCAUAACACAUAAUAGGUGACUAUAGACUUGCAAGAUAGGAUCAAGAACACACAUAUAUUCAUGAAAACAUAAUAGGUUCAGAUCUGAAAUCAUGGCACUCGGGCCCUAGUGACAAGCAUUAAGCAUAGCAAAGUCAUAGCAACAUCAAUCUCAUAACAUAGUGGAUACUAGGGAUCAAACCCUAACAAAACGAACUUGAUUAGAUGGUAAAUCUCAUCCAACCCAUCACCGUCUAGCAAGCCUAUGAUGGAAUUACUCACGCAUGGCACUGAGCAUCAUUAAUUUGGUGAUGAAGGAUGGUUGAUGAUGACGACGGCGAUGAAUCCCCCUCUCCGGAGCCCCGAACAGACUCUAGAUCAGCCCUCCCGAGAGAGAUUAGGGCUUGGCGGCAGCUCCGUGUCGUGAAACGUGAUAAAACUUUCUAUCUUAUUUUUUUCUCCCCGAGAUAGAAUAUAUGGAGUUGGAGUUGAGGUCGGUGGAGGUCCAGGGGGCCCACGAGAUAGGAGGUCGCGCCCUAGGGGGGGCGCCCCCCGUAUCAUGGACAGGCUGUGGGCCCCCUGGCAUUAAUUCUUUCGCCAAAAAUUCUUAUUAAUUCCAAAAAGUGCCUCCAUGGAUUUCCAGGACAUUCCGAGAACUUUUCUUUUCUACACAUAAAACAACACCAUGGUAGUUCUGCUAAAAACAGCGUCAGUCCGGGUUAGUUUCAUUCAAAUCAUGCAAGUUAGAGUCCACAACAAGGGCAAAAGUGUUUGGAAAAGUAGAUACGUUGGAGACGUAUCACUCCACACAUCGACCAACUCCUGCCUGCAUCUAGAGUAUUAAGUUCAUGAAGAACAGAGUAACGCAUUAAGAAAGAUGACAUGAUGUAGAGGGAUAAACUCAUGCAAUAUGAUAUAAACCCCACCUUUUUAUCCUCGAUGGCAACAAUACAAUAUGUGCCUUGCUGCCCCUGCUGUCACUGGGAAAGGACACCGCAAGAUUGAACCCAAAGCUAAGCACUUCUCCCAUUGCAAGAAAGAUCAAUCUAGUAGGCCAAACCAAACUGAUAAUUCGAAGAUACUUGCAAAGAUAACAAAUCAUACAUAAAAGAAUUCAGAGGAGAUUCGAAUACUUCUCAUAGAUAAACUUGAUCAUGAACCCACUCAUCAUCGGAUCUCUACAAACACACCGCAAAAAGAGUUACAUCAAAUAGAUCUCCAGGAAGAUCGAGGAGAACUUUCUAUUGAGAUUCAAAGAGAGAGAACAAGCCAUCUAGAUAAUAACUAUGGACCCGAAGGUCUGUCGUAAACUACUCACAACUCAUCGGAGAGGCCUUGGAGAUGAUGUAGAGGCCCUCCGUGGUUGAUUCCCCCUCCGGUGGAGCACCAGCGAAGGCUCCAAGACGGGAUCUUGCGGAUACAGAAGAUUGCGGUGGUGGAAUUAGGUUUUCGUGGUGCGCUUCAAUGUUUUCAGGGUACGGGAGUAUAUAUAGGAGGAAGAAGUAGGUCGGUUGAUGCUCGAGGGGCCCACGAGGGUGGGGGUGCGCCCACCCCCAGGGGCACACCGGGCACCCUCGUGCCCGCCUCGUUUGUUGCUUGACGUCCACUCCAAGUCUCCCGGUUUGCAUUUGUUCCGAAAAGAUUGCUCCCGAAGGUUUCAUUCCGUUUGGACUCCGUUUGGUAUUCCUUUUCUUCGAAACACUGAAAUAGGCAAAAAAACAGCAAUUCGGCUAGGCUUCGGUUAGUAGGUUAGUCCCAAAAAUGAUAUAAAAGUGCAAAGCCCAUAAACAUCCAAAACGGGUAAUAUAAUAGCAUGGAACAAUUAAAAAUUAUAGAUACGUUGGAGACAUAUCAGAGCCUUGCAUAUACAGAUAUGGCCUCGGAACACUGGAGACCGAAAGGUCGAACGUGAAUCAUAUAGUGGAUAUGAUCAACAUGGAAAUGUGCACCAUUGAUGACUACUCCAUCUGACAUGAUGAUCGGACAUGGUAUAGUUGAUUUGGAUCAUGUAUCAUUUAGUUGACUUGAGGGAUGUCUCUCUAAGCGGGAGUUCUUAAGUAAUAUGAUUAAUUGAACUUUAAUUUAUCAUGAACUUAGUCCUGAUAGUAUUUGCAAAUUAUGUUGUAGAUCAAUAGCUCACGUUGUAGGUCCCCUAUGUUUUUGAUAUGUUCCUAGAGAAAACUAAGUUGAAAGAUGAUAGUAGCAAUGAUGCGGAUUGGAUCCGUUCUGAGGUUUAUCCUCAUUACUGUAAGAAGAAUUAUGUCCUUAAUGCACUACUAGGUGACAGACCUAUUGCAGGAGUAGAUGCUGGCGUUAUGAAUGUUUGGCUAGCUCAAUAUGAUGACUACUUAAUAGUUUAGUGCACCAUGCUUAACAGCUCAGAACCAGAACUUCAAAAAUGUUUUGAAUGCCACGGAGCAUAUGAGAUGUUCCAAUAGCUGAAAUUCGUAUUUCAGACUCAUGCCCGUGUCGAGAGGUUUGAGACCUCUGACAGGUACUUUGCCUAAAAUAUGGAGGAGAAUAGCUUAGCUAGUGAGCAUGUGCUCAGAUGUCUGGGUACUACAAUCGCUUGAAUCAAGUGGGAGUUAAUCUUCCAGAUAAGAUAGUGAUUGACAGAGUUCUCUAGACAUCAUCACCAAGUUACUGGAACUUCGUGAUGAACCAUAAUAUGCAAGGGAUGACGAAAGCUUCCCGAUCUCUUCGUGUUGGGGAUAUAACUAUUGGUAUGACCCGCCUAGGAGGGACCAGGUUAUACUUACAAAUAUUCUUGACGCCCAAGACCUAGGAUAGAGAUGGCGGUUCAAUUAAGGGCCCAAAGCCCAGAGGCGACUUAAGGCCCGUAGUGAUAAACCGCCAUGUAUGCAUGACUUGUAUUGUAAGGCUAGAAUAGUUAAGAGACCGAGCCGGACACUGUUUAUGAGCCAGACGGGACUCUGUAGAGCCACUGGGCGUUGACCUCUAUAUAUAAAGGGACGACCCAGCGGCGGUCCAGGGCAAGUAACAUCAACUCGAGAGCUAGGUCAAGCGAUUCGCUCCCUAUUUAUCGAGACAUAAGCAAUCCCACUCAAAACUGGAUCGUAGGCUUUUACCUUCAUCGUAAGGGGCCGAACCAGUAUAAACCUCGUGUCCUUUGUCCCGAUUAACCCCUUUAAGCUUCCUAGUUGUGAUGGCUCCACGACUAAGUCCUUUCACUAGGACAUCUGCCGUGACAAUUGCACGACAGUUGGCGCCCACCAUGGGGCCAGCAUACGGUGGAUUUGAGUUCUUGAAGGGAAGCUUCGAAGGGCUCAAGGGAUACGCUGUGGGUUGGAUGACCAAGAGUCGUCGCGGCAAGCUCUACAUCGACGACGCAAACUGGGGUCCCGAUGCCGGCUCAAUUGAGUACGGGUACCGGGUCCCCUUCGGCGGAAUUCAUGUCUUCAUCGGCAAGAUCGAUGAGCCGGGCCCUGAGACAGACAUCUGCACUGACCUUGUCGAGACAGCUCAACGUGCGAGACCCGCCCGGGCUCCGCCUGCUGUGAAGCGUGCCUUCGUGGGAUGCAUCCAUAGAGGGCUCUCUGAAGGAUCUUCAUCUGGCGGUGAGACGGCCAUCUACUCUGAUGGUGAGUCAUCCACAGGUGAGACAGAUUCGUUGUAUCAACUGCAAGACCGCAGGCUUGGGGGCUGUUCCGAUGGCAGCAGUAUUCCGGAUUUCCUCCAGCCGCCGAGCAGGGUUGGAAUCUUCAUGGCUGGCACACAAGCUAUCCAAGACUCCACAACUGUGGCGGCUAUAACCUCCGGGUCAGCAGCAGCCGGGGCAGGAGGCCCUGUGCGCUCGUUGGCUCAGGUGUUGAUGGAUCUCAUGGAUAAGAUGACCAUGAUGUUAACCGCUGUGGUCAACCCAGCGGAUCAAGCUAGAGAUGAUGCAGAAGUGGCGCAGUUAAAGCUGGACAUUGUGCAGGCUAAGGAGGACCUAGCAGCAGAGGAUGUCAGGAUAACCGCAGAGCAGGUGGCUCUGGACGCUCAGGCUCAGCGGAUUCAGGCACAGACCUUCCAGCUCACGCAGGAUCAGAACGCGUCUAAUGAGGUCAUGAGGAGAAGAUAUUAGAAGACUCAGUCUCGACUCCCUUCGGUUUAUGAUCCUCGAAACCUCUUUCACACACCUGGAGUAGGACCCAGUAACCCGUCGUGGCUCUCCCUGCGUACUGAGGCAGACCAGGUUGCAACACCCGGGCUCGUGGCGCCGGUUCAGCCAUAGGUGAUGGGCCUCCCCGCAUGAAUACUGCUCCACCUCAGUAUGUACCUACACCUCCAGGUCACUAUUCUAACCCGUUGGAGAACAUGAUCAUGGCGGCGGCACGGCUGGCGGCUCUCCCAAUUGAUGGUGAUUCUCCAGCAACGGUUGAAACCUGCUGGGUCAGGGAACUUCUUUAGACAGCUUUAGCAUAACAGGAGGCGUACUCGUACAGUCGGGACAGGAUUCAUUCAACCCCUCGUCCAAACCGAAGCCCAAGUUAUAGCAGGCACAUGGAUUCAGCGGCCGUUUCAAGCAACGUCUGGCGCUGUAACCAGCUAGGUGUGCAUGACCCGGCAUGCCAUGGAGCCUUUAACUUGGUAGAUCAAGACAGAAUACGUCAAGAGACUCAGUAGGCGGCUCAGUAGGCGUCUCAACUGAUGGCUUACCAGCCGCAUCCGGUUUAUCCGACGACUUCUAUCGAGGCAGGUGUGGCCACCAGGAACGGAGGUGUCCCCUGUCUAGUGCCAGCUCUACAUAACAAGAGUUUGCCCAAGGAUUUUAAGGGCCCUAGGAAGGUGCCGAACUACACGGCCGACUUACAACCCGGGCAUGGAUUAAAAGUUACGAGAUGGCUAUGGAGUUAUUGGAGGUCAGUGAUGCUGCGAUGGCUAAGUACUUUACCAUGAUGUUGGAUGGGACCGCCCGCACUUGGUUUAAAGGCCUACCACCUAAUUCAAUCAGUUCAUGGGCGGAGCUAAAAUCCUGGUUCGUCCAGAAUUUCAGGGAUACAUGCAAGCAGCCCAUGUCAAUUGUGGAUUUGAUGAAUUGCAAGCAGGAGGAGGGCGAGUCUACAACCCAUUGGGUGCGCCGGGUUAAGGCCAUAAUACAUUCGUCUGAUAAGAUGGAUGUCGGCUCUAUAGUCUUAAUGUUGGAGAAAAAUUGUCGUUUUUUGCCUCUGAAACAAAAGCUGGGGCGGCUCAAGCGCGAUUGUAAUGAUAUGGGUACACUGAUGGCGGCUCUGGUCAAGUAUGCCAAUUCUGAUAGUACCAAGGAUCCCGAGUCUGAUGAUGAAAAGACAUGGAAGGGAAAGAAGAACGGCAACGGCAAGGGCCCUCACCAUAACCCGGCAAAUCAAGGAGGUAAUAAACAUAAGGCUGAUGGUAGUUUGGAGUUUGUGGCUAACACUAAUGCGCAGGGUAACAACCAACAGCGCAAGGGGAGACCACCUCCCCAGUCUGGCGGGUCAGGCCCCACACUUGAGCAGUUACUGAAUGAGCCCUGUCCAAGGCACGACACUCAGCAGAAACCGGCUACUCAUCUAUGGAAGGACUGUACGAUCAUGAAGGCUUUCAAAAAUUCCAACAUGUUCGAUGGUAACAAUGGACAGGGCGGCGGCUCAGGUGGCGGCGGUUUUCAUGGCCCGGGCGGCGGUUCAAAUCCCAACUUUCAAAAUUCUCAAGGCAAUCAAGGUGGAUAUAACCAACAAUCUGGCCAGGGUGGUCAGCAACAGCAGGAACAGUAGCAAGGUGGAUACCAGAGCCAUCCAAAGCAGCCGAAUAGUGGGCAAUAUCAUGUGUUUACCACCAGUUUGUGCAAAUGAGACCAGAAGCUUCAUAAGAGGGUUGUGAAUGCUGUUGAGCCGGCAGUUCCUCGUUAUUUGAGAUGGUCUGAGCAGCCUAUUCUAUGGAGUAGGGAAGAUCACCCUCCCCGGGUUGAUAAUCCGGGUCACUUAGCCUUGGUGGUGGCCCCUCAGGUUGGUGGAUAUAAAUUCACCAAGGUACUCAUGGAUGGAGGCAGCAACAUCAACAUCCUCUAUUAUGAGACCUUCCGCCACAUGGGGUUAACUAAUAAAAGCCUUAAGCAGUCCAACACUGUUUUCCAUGGCGUCGUGUUCGAUAAGUCGGCGUAUCCAAUCGGUAAGAUCGAAUUGGAGGUAGCCUUUGGGGAUGAAUAUGACUCUAGGGCCGAGAAACUAACGUUUGAUGUAGUCAAGAUCAAGAGCCCAUAUCAUGCUUUGUUUGGGCGACCGGCUUAUGCCAAGUUCAUGGCACGAUCGUGUUAUGUGUAUUUGCAGCUCAAGAUGCCGGGUCAUAAGGGAACCAUCAUGGUGCAUGGAAGCCGGAAGGUAUCCUUGGAAUGUGAAGAAGGUGACGCGGCUUAUGCUGAGUCGGUCUGUGCAACAGAAGAGUUGAAGUUCUACAAGGACAAUGUUGAUCCGGCAGAUAUGACGUCUUUGAAAAAGCCAACCACAGAGCAUGAGUCGGUUAUGAAGUUUAAGUCGGUCGAUGAUACUAAGCUUGUUGACUUUGUUCCAGGCGACUCAUCCAAACAGUUCAGUAUCAGUGCUAAUUUGGAUCCCAAAUAGGAAAGCGCGCUCAUCGAGUUCAUCCAUGAGAACCGGGACAUCUUUGCAUGGAAACCUUCUGACAUGUCAGGUGUACCGAGAGAACUCGCUGAGCACACUCUUAAUAUUGAUCCAAAGUUUAAACCGGUCAAGCAAUUUCUUCGGCGGUUCAAUGAGGAGAGGCGUAAGAGGUAGCACGACUCUUAGCAGCUGGGUUCAUCAUUGAAGUUUAUUCAUCCAGAGUGGUUGGCUAACCCAGUGCUUGUGCUUAAGAAAAACAGCACUUGGCGUAUGUGUGUGGAUUACACGAAUUUAAACAAGGCUCGUCCAUCUGAUCCCUUUGCUCUCCCUCGUAUUGAUCAAAUCAUUGAUGCUACGGUGGGUUGCGAGCGUUUGAGCUUUUUGGAUGCUUACUCUGGUUAUCAUCAGAUCAAGAUGGCAGUUAAGGACCAGGAGAAGACGGCGUUCGUUACUCCGUUUGGAGCCUUCUGCUACGUAUCUAUGCCUUUCGGGCUUAAGAGUGCCCAGGCGACUUACCAGCAGUGUGUGCAGAAUUGUCUUCACAGUCAAAUUGGGUGCAAUGUUCAUGCUUAUGUGGAUGACAUUGUGGUAAAAUCCACAGAGAAGGAGACCGUGAUAGAUGAUCUGAAGGAAACCUUUGACAAUCUUUGGGUCUAGAAGAUGAUGCUUAACCCGGCCAAGUGUGUUUUUGGUGUGUCUGCAGGCAAGCUUUUGGGUUUUCUGGUUUCGAACAGGGGCAUCGAGGCUAACCCGGAGAAGAUCAAGGCCAUCACCUCUCUGGCUAAGCCGGCGUGUAUCAAUGAUGUUCAGCGUUUGGCGGGUCGUAUCACUGCUUUAAGCCGGUUCAUAAGCCGGUUAGGCGAGAAGGCCAUACCUCUAUAUCAAAUGAUGAAGAAGACAAACAACUUUGUCUGGAGUGACGCUGCCAACACUGCUUUUGAAGAUUUGACGAGACAGCUGGCUGAGCCGCCGGUUCUUGCUGCUCCAAUUGAUAAGGAGACCUUAUUGUUAUAUGUGGCUGCUAAUACACGCGCUGUUAGCAUGGCUAUCAUGGUGGAGCGCAAGGAGGCUGGCAAGGAGCAUCCGGUUCAGCGGCCGGUUUACUACAUCAGUGAGGUACUUCUUGAGUCCAAGCAACAGUAUCCACACUGGUAGAAGCUCGUUCAUGGGGUGUUCAUGGCAAGCCGGAAGCUUAAGCAAUAUUUACUGGGCCACCUCAUCACUGUGGUUAGUUCUGCUCCUUUAGGAGAUAUAAUUCAGAAUAGAGAAGCAACAGGACAAGUAGCCAAGUGGGCCAUAGAACUUGGGCCUCAUGGUUUAAAGUAUGUGCCACGCACUGCUAUCAAAUCUCAAGCACUAGUGGAUUUCAUCAAUGAUUGGAUAGAGCUGCAGAUGCCUGAAGAAAAGCCGAACAACACAUAUUGGACUAUUCAUUUUGACGGGUCCAGGAAAUUGGAGGGCUCACUGAAGUUGUUUUAGCUUCCCCUCGAGGUGACAAAUUUUGUUAUUGAUGUUUCCCCGUACUAACAAUGCAGCUGAGUACGAAGCCUUACUCCAUGGUCUUCGGAUGGCUAAGGAGAUGAGUUUAAGCCGGGUAAGGUGUUUUGGCGACUCAGAUUUGGUGGCUCAACAGGUAUCAGGCAAGUGGGAUUCUAAGGAUCCUCUCAUGGUGGCUUAUCACCGUGAAGUUGACGCCAUUGCUGGACACUUCAAGAGUUACCAAGUGGAGCACAAUGACCGCAGAAAGAACGAGGCGGCUGAUGCCUUAAGCCGGCUGGGCUCUCAGCGUAAGCUGGUGCCGCCUAAUACUUUCUUGCAUAUUCUGCAUAGCCCUUCUGUCAAGUUACCUACAGAGGAAGACUUGGUUGUUCCUGACCCGGAAGCACAAUUGGUGGCAGCUCUUCAUGUCAUCCUAGAUUGGACAGUGUCAUAUUUGGCUUACAUGACCCGGGGCGAGUUGCCUGAGGAUGAAACCUUGGCCGGGCAGAUAUCCCGGCGGUCUAAGUCUAUGACGAUUGUCAGUGGUGAGUUGCAUCAUCGCAGUGUUACAAGGGCAUUUCAGCGUUGCGUCUCUCCUGAAGAAGGCCAAGAAAUUCUGCAUGAGAUUCAUGAAGGGGAUUGCGGUCAUUACGCUGGGUCAAAAUCCCUUGUGACUAAGGCUUUCCGUCAUGGAUUCUAUUGGCUAAUGAUGUCUACUACACAACCUUCUUCUUGUAAACGUUGUUGGGCCUGCAAGUGCACAGGUUUGUAGGACAGUAGCAAAUUUCCCUCAAGUGGAUGACCUAAGGUUUAUCAAUCCGUAGGAGGCGUAGGAUGAAGAUGGUCUCUCUCAAACAACCCUGCAACCAAAUAACAAAGAGUCUCUUGUGUCCCCAACACACCCAAUACAAUGGCAAAUUGUAUAGGUGCACUAGUUCGGCGAAGAGAUGGUGAUACAAGUGCAAAAUAGAUAGUAGAUAAAGGUAAUUGUAAUCUGAAAUUAUAAAAACAGCAAGGUAGCAAGUGAUAAAAGUGAGCGUAAACGGUAUUGCAAUGAUAGGAAAGAAGGCCUAGGGUUCAUACUUUCACUAGUGCAAGUUCUCUCAACAAUAAUAACAUAGAUAGAUCAUAUAACAAUCCCUCAACAUGCAACAAAGAGUCACUCCAAAGCCACUAAUAGCGGAGAACAAACAUAGAGAUUAUGGUAGGGUAUGAAACCACCUCAAAGUUAUUCUUUCGGAUCGAUCUAUUAAAGAGUUCGUACUAGAAUAACACCUUAAGACACAAAUCAACCAAAACCCUAAUGUCACCUAGAUACUCCAUUGUCACCUCAAGUAUCUGUGGGCAUGAUUAUACGAUAUGCAUCACACAAUCUCAGAUUCAUCCAACCAAAACAAAGUACUUCAAAGAGUGCCCCACAGUUUCUACCGGAGAGUCAAGAACGUGUGCCAACCCCUAUGCAUAGGUUCAUGGGCAGAACCCGCAAGUUGGUCACCAAAACAUACAUCAAGUGGCACAUGAUAUCCCAUUGUCACCACAGAUAAGCAUGGCAAGACAUACAUCAAGUGUUCUCAUAAAAGACUCAAUCCGAUAAGAUAACUUCAAAGGGGAAACUCAAUUCAUCACAAGAGAGUAGAGGGGGAGAAACAUCAUAAGAUCUAACUACAAUAGCAAAGCUCGGGAUACAUCAAGAUCGUGCCAUAGAGGGAACACGAGAGAGAACACGAGAGAGAGAGAUCAAACACAUAGCUACUGGUACAUACCCUCAGCCCCAAGGGUGAACUACUCCCUCCUUGUCAUGGAGAGCACCGAGAUGAUGAAGAUGGCCACCGGUGAUGGGUUCCCCCUCCGGCAGGGUGCCGGAACGGGCUCCCGACAGGUUUUUGGUGGCUACAGAGGCUUGCGGCGGCGGAACUCUCGAUCUAUCUUGAUAUUCGAUAGUUUUAGGGUACGUACAAUUAUAUAGGUGAAAGAAGUCGGUCGGGGGGUGCUUGAGAGGUCCACAAGAUAGGGGGUCGCGCCCUAUAGGGGGGGGGCGCCCCCUAUCUCCUGGGCUCCUCGAGGGUCUUCUGACUUGAUCUCCAAGCCUCCAGGAUGAUAUUCUUCCAAAAAAUCAUCAUGUCGAAGGUUUCAUUCCGUUUGGACUCCAUUUGAUAUUCCUUUUCUUCGAAAUACUGAAACAGGCAAUAAAACAGCAAUAUGGGCUGGGCCUCCGGUGAAUAGGUUAGUCCCAAAAGUAAUAUAAAAGUGUAUAAUAAAGCCCAUAAUCAUUCAAAACACAUAGUAAUAUAGCAUGAAUGCUUCAUAAAUUAUAGAUACGUUGGAGACGUAUCAGCAUCCCCAAGAUUAAUUCCUACUCGUCCUCGAGUAGGUAAAUGAUAAAAGAAAGAAUUUAUGAAGUGUGAAUGCUAUAAGGUGCACAAGUUUGAUCAACAAUAAUUUCAAUUACCUUUUCUAGCAUGAUAAUAUGUCAUAACAGAAGUUCAUCUCAUAAAACUUUUCACGAUAAAGUAACAAGCAAUACACAUGUCAAAGCAUAGACCAUAAACUUUCUUGAAAGCUAGAAAACUUCAUUCUUAGUCAUCAAAUCAAUUGCAAUUCAUCCUAUUUUCAGGAAGGGUCUAUGUCAGAGCUUUAAUUUAGCAAACUUCACAUACUCAACUAUCAUAUAGUCUUCUACAAUUGCUAACACUCACGCAAUACUUGUGGUUAUGAAGUUUUAAUCGGACACAGAGAAAGAUUGGGGCUUAUAAUGUUGCCUCCAAACAUAUUCACCUUUGGGUGAUGUCAACAAUAAUAGUUCAUGCUAACGUACAUCCAAUUGGAUAUAUAUAUAUAUCAGGAUCACCCCAACACAAAGUGCUUGCCAAAGGAUAAAAUGAAAAAGGGAAAGGUGAAGAUCACCUUGACUCUUGCAUAAAGUAAAUGACAUAAAGUAAAAGAUAGGCCCUUCGCUGAGGGAAGCAGAGGUUGUCAUGCGCUUUUAGGGUUGGAUACACAAAAUCUUAAUGCGAAAGAACAUCACUUUAUAUUGCCCCUUGUAUAUGGACCUUUAUUAUGCAGUCCGUCGCUUUUAUUGCUUCCAUAACAAGUUCGUACAAAGCUUAUUUUCUCUGCACUAAUAAGUCAUGCAUAUUUAGAGAGCAAUUUUUAUUGCUUGCACCGAUGACAACUUACUUGAAGGAUCUUACUCAAUCCAUAGGUAGGUAUGGUGGACUCUCAUGGCAAAAACUGGGUUUAAGGAUAUUUGGAAGCACAAGUAGUAUCUCUACUUGGUGCUAGGAAUUUUGGCUAGCAUGAGGGGGAAAGGCAAGCUCAACAUGUUUGAAUGAUCCAUGACAAUAUACUUUAACUGAGAUGCAAGAAAACAUAACUCAUUAGGUUGUCUUCCUUGUCCAACAUCAACUCUUUAGCAUGUCAUACUUAAUGAGUGCUCACAAUUAUAAAAGAUGUCUAUGAUAAUAUAUUUAUAUGUGAAAUCUCUCUUCCUUCAAUAUUCUUUCAUGAAUUGUUCAAAUGACUAAUACAAUGCUUGCUAACCGUCAAUAAAUUUACAACCUCUACUUCUUAGAUGUGAAGUCAUUACUCCCCAUGGGAUAAGCAAAUGAAACAUAUAUAAAUUCAGAUUUAUGACAUUCAACUCAUUCAACAAUUUACUCAUAAGAUAUAAGUGAAGCACACGAGUAAAUGACAAACUACUCCAAAAAGAUAUAAGUGAAGAUUAAUGAGUAGCUAAAUAAUUAUUUAACUAUGUGAAGACUCUCUCUCAUAAAAGAAUUCAGAUCUUGGUAUCUUAUUCAAACAGCAAGCAAAACAAAAUAAAUGGCAUUGCAAGGAUAGCACGACUCAUGUGAAGAAGCAAAAACUUAGGCUCAACCGAUACUAACCGAUGAUUGUUGAAGAAAGGUGGGAUGCCUAAUCGGGCAUCCCCAAGCUUAGAUGCUUGAGACUUCUUGAAAUAUUAUAUUGGGGUGCCUUGGGCAUCCCCAAGCUUGAGCUUUUAUGUCUCCUUAAUUCCUCUCAUAUCAUGGUUUCUCUUUUUAUCAAAAGCUUCAUUCACAACAAACUCAACAAGAACUCGUGAGAUAGGUUAGUAUAAACCAAUGCAAAACCUUAUCAUUUCCUACUGUAACAAAUCACUAAAAUUAUUAUUAAACAUUGCAUAAUAAAUGUCUCUGCAUAUUUAAUACUCAUAUCCUUAAAUAGAAUCAUUAAACAAGCAAACAUAUGCAAACAAUGCAAACAUAACAGCAAUCUGCCAAAACAGUAUAGACUGUAAAGAAUGCAAGAGUAUCAAUACUUCCCUGAUUCCAAAAAUUAUGAUCUAAAAUUUCCACUGUAAUAAAUUUAUCAGAGAUUAAUAUGCAAAAAGGUUCAACGUUAUACCAUUCUCUGACUUUUCUAGGAAAUUUUUGCAACAGCGAUAAACUUUCUAUUUUCAAACAGCAACAUAUAUACUUGCAAAAAAAGCAUGGCAAAGGCUAUCCUUGACAUUUUUAUUGAAACUAAAGAUGCAAAACAUUAUUAUAACUAACAGAAAGCAAAAAAUAACAAAAGAAAAUGACGCUCCAAGCAAAACACAUAUCAUGUGGCGAAUAAAAAUAUAGCUCCAAGUAAGGUUACCGAUGAACGAAGACGAAAGAGGGGAUGCCUUCCGGGGCAUCCCCAAGCUUAGGCUCAUGGUUGUCCUUGAAUAUUACCUUGUGGUGCCUUGGUCAUCCCCAAGCUUAGGCUCUUGCCACUCCUUAUUCCACAGUCCAUCGAAUCUUUACCCAAAACUUGAAAACGUCAACCACACAAAACUCAACACAAAACUCGUAAACUCCGUUAGUAUAAGAAAAUAAAUCACCACUUAGGUACUGUAAUUAACUCAUUAUAAAUUCAUAUUGGUCUAAACUCUACUGUAUUCCAACUUCUCUAUGGUUCAUACCACUUAAUACUAGCCAUAGAUUCAUCAAAAUAAGCAAACAACACAAUGAAAACAGAAUCUGUCAAAAACAGAACAGUCUGUAGUAAUCUGUAUCAAACGUAUACCUCUGCAACCAAAAAAAUUCUGAAAUAAAUUUCUGGACCUGAGGAAUUUUUCUAUUAAUCAUCUGAAAAAAGAAUCAACCUAAAAUCACUCUUCAGUAAACAAUGGCAGCUAUUCUCGUGAGCGCUAAAGUUUCUCUUGUUUACAGCAAGAUCACAUAAACUUCACCCAAGUCUUCCCAAAGGUUCUACUUGGCACUUUAUUGAAACAAAAGCUAUAAAACAUGAUUACUACAGUAGCAUAAUCAUGUGGACACACAAAAACAGUAAGGGUAAAUAUUGGGUUGUCUCCCAACAAGCACUUUUCUUUAAUGCCUUUCUAGCUAGGCAUGAUGAUGGCAAUGAGGCUCACAUAAAAGAUAAGAAUUGAAACAUAAAGAGAGCAUCAUGAAGAAUAUGACUAGCACAUUUAAGUCUAACCCACUUCCUAUGCAUAGGGAUUUUGUGAGCAAAUAACUUAUGGGAACAAUAAUCAACAAGCAUAGGAGGUAAAACAAGCAUAGCUUCAAGAUUUUCAACACAUAAAGAGGAAACUUGGUAUUAUUGCAAUUCCUACAAGCAUAUGUUCCUCCCUCAUAAUAAUUUUCAGUAGCAUCAUGAAUAAAUUCAACAAUAUAACCAGCACCUAAAGCAUUCUUUUCAUGAUCUACAAGCAUAGAAAAUUUACUACUCUCCACAUAAGCAAAAUUCUUCUCAUUCAGAAUAGUGACAGUAUCAUAAAAGACUUGAACACUAAAAAUUGUUUCCACAUUAAAAGAGUAAUGUUCAGAAAAAGGGUAAUCAUAAUCAUGACAAGGUUUGUAAAUAUAAUAAUCACUACUUUUUAUAGCAUAAGUUUCAUCACAAUAAUCAUCAUAAGUAGCAACUUCAUUCUCAUCAUAAUCGAUUGAAACCUCUCCCAAGAUAGUGGAAUCACUAAAUAAAGUUGACACUCUUCCAAAUCCACUUUCAUAUUCAUCACAAUAAGAUUCAACAUCUUCCAAAAUAGUGGGAUCACUAAUUCCUAAAGUUGACACUCUUCCAAACCCACUUUCAUCAAUAUAAUCAUCAUAGGUAGGAGGCAUGCUAUCAUCAUAACAACUUUGCAUAUCAAAACUUGGGAUGCUAAAAAUAUCAUCUUCACUAAACGUAGCAUCCCCAAGCUUGGGACAAACAUUAAUUUCAGCAAAUAUAUUCUCAAAUAUUUCAUCCUCAUCAAACAUAGCUUCCCCAAGCUUGUGGCUUUGCAUAUCAUUAGCAUCAUGGAUAUUCAAGGAAUUCAUACUAACAACAUUGCAAUCAUGCUCAUCAUACAAAGAUUUAGUAUCAAACAUUCUAUAGAUUUCUUCUUCUAGCACUUGAGCACAAUUUUCCUUUUCAUCAUACUCAUGAAAGAUAUUAAAAAGACGAAGCAUAUGAGACAAACUUAACUCCAUUUUUUUGAAGUUUUCUUUUAUAAACUAAACUAGUGAUAAAACAAGAAACAAAAAGAUUCGAUUGCAAGAUCUAAAGAUAUACCUUCAAGCACUCACCUCCCCGGCAACGGCGCCAGAAAAGAGCUUGAUAUCUACUACACAACCUUCUUCUUGUAGACGUUGUUGGGCCUGUAAGUGCACAGGUUUGUAGGACAGUAGCAAAUUUCCCUCAAGUGGAUGACCUAAAGUUUAUCAAUCCGUAGGAGGCGUAGGAUGAAGAUGGUCUCUCUCAAACAACCCUGCAACCAAAUAACAAAGAGUCUCUUGUGUCCCCAACACACCCAAUACAAUGGCAAAUUGUAUAGGUGCACUAGUUCGGCGAAGAGAUGGUGAUACAAGUGCAAAAUAGAUAGUAGAUAAAGGUAAUUGUAAUCUGAAAUUAUAAAAACAGCAAGGUAACAAGUGAUAAAAGUGAGCGUAAACGGUAUUGCAAUGAUAGGAAACAAGGCCUAGGGUUCAUACUUUCACUAGUGCAAGUUCUCUCAACAAUAAUAACAUAGAUAGAUCAUAUAACAAUCCCUCAACAUGCAACAAAGAGUCACUCCAAAGCCACUAAUAGCGGAGAACAAACGUAGAGAUUAUGGUAGGGUACGAAACCACCUCAAAGUUAUUCUUUUGGAUCGAUCUAUUAAAGAGUUCAUACUAGAAUAACACCUUAAGACACAAAUCAACCAAAACCCUAAUGUCACCUAGAUACUCCAUUGUCACCUCAAGUAUCCGUGGGCAUGAUUAUACGAUAUGCAUCACACAAUCUCAGAUUCAUCCAACCAACACAAAGUACUUCAAAGAGUGCCCCAAAGUUUCUACCGGAGAGUCAAGAACGUGUGCCAACCCCUAUGCAUAGGUUCAUGGGCAAAACCCGCAAGUUGGUCACCAAAACAUACAUCAAGUGGCACAUGAUAUCCCAUUGUCACCACAGAUAAGCAUGGCACAUACAUCAAGUGUUCUCAUAAAAGACUCAAUCCGAUAAGAUAACUUCAAAGGGGAAACUCAAUUCAUCACAAGAGAGUAGAGGGGGAGAAACAUCAUAAGAUCCAACUACAAUAGCAAAGCUCGGGAUACAUCAAGAUCGUGCCAUAGAGGGAACACGAGAGAGAACACGAGAGAGAGAGAUCAAACACAUAGCUACUGGUACAUACCCUCAGCCCCGAGGGUGAACUACUCCCUCCUCGUCAUGGAGAGUGUCGGGAUGAUGAACAUGGCCACCGGUGAUGGGUUCCCUCUCCGGCAGGGUGCCGGAACGGGCUCCCGAGAGGUUUUUGGUGGCUACGGAGGCUUGCGGCGGCGGAACUCUCGAUCUAUCUUGAUAUUCGAUAGUUUUAGGGUACGUAGAGUUAUAUAGGCGAAAGAAGUCGGUCUGGGGGUGCUCGAGGGGUCCACGAGACAGGUGGGCGCGCCCCUAUAUCCUGGGCUCCUCGAGGGUCUUCUGACUUGAUCUCCAAGCCUCCAGGAUGAUAUUCUUCCAAAAAAUCACGAUGCCGAAGGUUUCAUUCCGUUUGGACUCCGUUUGAUAUUCCUUUUCUUCGAAAUACUGAAACAGGCAAUAAAACAGCAAUAUGGGCUGGGCCUCCGGUUAAUAGGUUAGUCCCAAAAGUAAUAUAAAAGUGUAUAAUAAAGCCCAUAAUCAUUCAAAACACAUAGUAAUAUAGCAUGAAUGCUUCAUAAAUUAUAGAUAUGUUGUAGACGUAUGAGCUGAUGGCUCAUGCUGAUGCAGAGGACUUGGUCAGUAAAUAUGACGGUUGUCAGAAGUUCUCAAGACGGGCUCAUGUGCCGGCUCAAGAAUUGAGGAUGAUUCCAAUUACUUGGCCGUUUGCAGUCUGGGGGCUUGACAUGGUUGGGCCUUUCAAAAGGUCCAAAGAUAAAAAGACCCACCUCUUGGUGGCAGUUGAUAAAUUUACAAAGUGGGUUGAGGCAGAGCCAGUUAGUAAGUGUGAUGCAGCUACGGCGGUUCAGUUCAUGAAGAAGGUGAUAUUUCACUUCGGCUUUCCACACAACAUUAUAACUGAUAAUGGCACUAAUCUAUCUAAAGGCGCCAUGGAAGAAUUUUGUCAACGUGAGCAUAUUCGGCUUGAUGUUUCAUCAAUGGCUCACCCCCAAUUCAAUGGUCAAGCCGAGAGAGCCAAUUAGGAGAUCUUGAAAGGCAUCAAGCCCUGGCUUUUGGUCCCCUGCAGCGGACGCCAGGUUGUUGGGUUGAGGAGUUACCCUCUGUGUUAUGGAGCAUCAACACUACUCCCAACAGGUCUACGGGUUAUACGCCUUUCUUCGUGGUCUAUGGUGUUGAGGCGGUUCUCCCUAGUGACAUCCGUCAUGACUCGUCUCGUGUGGCGGCUUAUGUGUAGGCGGACAAUGAACAGGCGCAUCAGGAUGCUCUUGACUUAUUAGAUGAACAGUGGGACUUGGCAGUGAUACGUCUCCAACGUAUCUAUAAUUUUUCAUUGCUCCAUGCUACUUUAUCUACUAUUUUGGACUAUAUUGGGCUUUAUUUUCCACUUUUAUAUUACUUUUGGGACUAACAUAUUAACCGGAGGCCCAGCCCAGAAUUGCUGUUUUUUGCCUUUUUCAAUAUUUCGAAGAAACAGAAUAUCAAACGGAGUCCAAAUGGAAUGAAACCUUUGGGAUCGUGAUUUUCCAACCGAACGUGACCCAGGAGACUUGGACCCUACUCCAAGCAGUGCCCGAGGAGGUCAUGAGGGUGGAUCCCCCCCCCCCCCGGGGCGUGCCCCCCUACCUCAUGGGCCCCUCGGAGCUCCACCGACAUACUCCUUCCUCCUAUAUAUACCUACGUAUCCCCGAACGAUUAGAACAGGAGCCAAAAACCUAAUUCCACCGCCGCAACCUUCUGUAUCCACAAGAUCCCAUCUUGGGGCCUGUUCCGGAGCUCCGCCGGAGGGGGCAUCCACCAUAGAGGGCUUCUACAUCAUCACCAUAGCCCCUCCGAUAAAGUGUGAGUAGUUUACUUCAGACCUUCGGGUCCAUAGCUAGUAGCUAGAUGGCUUCUUCUCUCUUUUUGGAUCUCAAUACAAUGUUCUCCCCCUCCCUCGUGGAGAUCUAUUCGAUGUAAUCUUCUUUUUGCGGUGUGUUUGUUGAGACCAAUGAAUUGUGGGUUUAUGAUCCAGUAUUAUCUAUGGAAAAUAUUUGAUUAUUCUCUGAAUUCUUUUAUGUAUGAUUGAGUUAUCUUUGCAAGUCUCUUCGAAUUAUCCUUUUGGUUUGGCCAACUAGAUUGGUAGUUCUUGCAAUGGGAGAAGUGCUUAGCUUUGGGUUCAAUCUUGCGGUGUCCUUACUCAGUGACAGAAAGAGUUGCAAGGCAUGUAUUGUAUUGUUGCCAUCGAGGAUAACAAGAUGGGGUUUUUAUCAUAUUGCAUGAAUUUAUCCCUCUACAUCAUGUCAUCUUGCUUACGGCAUUACUCUGUUUUUACUUAAUACUCUAGAUGCAUGCUGGAUAGCGGUCGAUGAGUGGAGUAAUAGUAGUAGAUGCAGAAUCGUUUCGAUCUACUUGUUUUGGACGUGAUGCCUAUAUACAUGAUCAUUGCCUAGAUAUACUCAUAACUAUGCUCAAUUCUGUCAAUUGCUCAACAGUAAUUUGUUCACCCACCGUAGAAUACUUAUGCUCUUGAGAGAAGCCACUAGUGAAAUCUAUGGCCCCCGGGUCUAUUCUCAUCAUAUCAAUCUAUAUCACUUUAUUUACUUGCUUUGUUUUUACUUUGCCUUUACUUUUACUUUGCAUCUAUCUAUCAAAAAUACCAAAAAUAUUAUCUCUAUCAGAUCUCACUCUCGUAAGUGACCGUGAAGGGAUUGACAACCCCUAAGCGUUGGUUGUGAGUUGCUAUCAUUUUGUGUAGGUACGAGGGACUUGUGCGUGGUCUCCUACUGGAUUGAUACCUUGGUUCUCAAAAACUGAGGGAAAUACUUAUGCUACUUUACUGCAUCAUCCUCUCCUCUUUGGGGAAAUCCAACGCAGUGCUCAAGAGGUAGCAGGCAGCAGCUCGUUCGGUGAUUUACCAACAGCACUUGCACCGCUAUCACAGCCGUCGGGUUAAGUCCAGAGCCUUUCAGGAAGGUGAUUUGGUGCUCUGGCUCAUCCAGGAUCAAACUGAUGCGCACAAGUUAUCCCCACCUUGGGAAGGGCCCUUUGUGGUCAGCAAGAACUUGAACAACGGGUCAUACUACCUUAUCGAUGUUCGAGAGCACAAAGACUCACAUAAGUUGGAGGAGGAAACCCGCCGGCCGUGGAAUAUCGCCCAUCUUCGGCCUUACUACACUUGAGCCACCGGCUCUCGUGAUGUACAUAUUUUGACAAUGUAUAUAUUGUGAUAAAUAAUAAAGCAGGACCUCUGUCCUUUUUUCCCUUCCUCAAAGGUAAAUGUGUCAUUGUUAUUAUCAUUGUCAUUUCACAUGAUCACUUGGGGGCUGAUCGUAUUCGAUCAAGUUCCACCCUCUUGAUCCGGCUUACGAUCAUAUUCGAAUCUAGCCGUUAAAACUUAUGAUCACUAGGGGGGUUCCUGUUCAAACUGUUGGAAAUAUGCCCUAGAGGCAAUGAUAAAUUAGUUAUUAUUAUUAUAUUUCCGUGUUCAUGAUAAUCGUUUAUUACCCAUGCUAUAAUUGUAUUGAUAGGAAACUCAGAUGCAUGUGUGGGUACAUAAACAACACCAUGUCCCUAGUAAGCCUCUAGUUGACUAGCUCGUUGAUCAACAGAUGGUUACGGUUUCCUGACCAUGGACAUUGGAUGUCGUUGAUAACGGGAUCACAUCAUUUGGAGAAUGAUGUGAUGGACAAGACCCAAUCCUAAGCCUAGCACAAAGAUCAUAGUUCGUAUGCUAAAGCUUUUCUAAUGUCAAGUAUCAUUUCCUUAGACCAUGAGAUUGUGCAACUCCCGGAUGCCGUAGGAAUGCUUUGGGUGUACCAAACGUCACAACGUAACUGGGUGGUUAUAAAGGUGCACUACAGGUAUCUCCGAAAGUGUCUGUUGGGUUGGCACGAAUCGAGACUGGGAUUUGUCACUCUGUGUAAACGGAGAGGUAUCUCUGGGCCCACUCAGUAGGACAUCAUCAUAAUGUGCACAAUGUGACCAAGGGGUUGAUCACGGGAUGAUGUGUUACGGAACGAGUAAAGAGACUUGCUGGUAACGAGAUUGAACAAGGUAUCGGGAUACCGACGAUCGAAUCUCGGGCAAGUACAAUACCGCUAGACAAAGGGAAUUGUAUACGGGAUCGAUUGAGUCCUUGACAUCGUGGUUCAUCCGAUGAGAUCAUCGUGGAACAUGUGGGAGCCAACAUGGGUAUCCAGAUCCCGCUGUUGGUUAUUGACCGGAGAACGUCUCGGUCAUGUCUACAUGUCUCCCAAACCCGUAGGGUCUACACACUUAAGGUUCGAUGACGCUAGGGUUAUAAAGGAAGUUUGUAUGUGGUUACAGAAUGUUGUUCGGAGUCCCGGAUGAGAUCCCGGACGUCACGAGGAGUUCCGGAACAGUCCAGAGGUAAAGAUUUAUAUAUGGGAAGUCAUGUUUUGGUCACCGGAAAAGUUUCGGGUUUUAUCGGUAACGUACCGGGACCACCGGGAGGGUCCCGGGGGUCCACCAAGUGGGGCCACCGGCCCCGGAGGGCUGCAUGGGCCAAGUGUGGGAGGGGACCAGCCCCAGGUGGGCUGGUGUGCCCCCCCCCCCACACACAAGGGCCCAAGGCGCCUAGGGUUUGGGGAGGGGGCGCCCCACCUUGCUUGGGGGGCAAGUUUCCCCCUCUCCACCCCUUGGCUGCCCCCCUAGAUGGGAUCUAGGGCUGGCCGCCGCCCCCUAGUGGUGGAAACCUAGGUGGGGGCGCAGCCCCCUCUCCCCCUAUAUAUAGUGGAGGCAUAGGAGCAGCCCAACACAUGAGUUUCUUCUCUUGUUGGCGCAGCCCUACCUCUCUUUCUCCUCAUAUCUCGCGGUGCUUGGCGAAGCCCUGCUGGACUACCACGCUCUUCCAUCACCACCACGCCAUUGUGCUGCUGCUGGAUGGAGUCUUCCUCAACCUCUCCCUCUCACCUUGCUGGAUCAGGGCAUGGGAGACGUCACCGGGUUGUACGUGUGUUGAACGUGGAGGUGCCGUCCGUUCGGCACUAGGAUCUCCGGUGAUUUGGAUCACAACGAGUACGACUCCUUCAACCCCGUUCUCUUGAACGCUUCCGCUUAGCGAUCUACAAGGGUAUGUAGAUGCACUCUCCUUCUCCUCGUUGCUGGUUUCUCCACAGAUAGAUCUUGGUGACACGUAGGAAAAUUUUGAAUUUCUGCUACGUUCCCCAACAGUGGCAUCAUGAGCUAGGUCUAUUGCGUAGAUUCUUUGCACGAGUAGAACACAAAGUAGUUGUGGGCGUUGAUUUUGUACAAUAUGCUUACCGUUACUAGUCCAAUCUUGUUUCGACGGUAUUGUGGGAUGAAGCGGCCCAGACCGACCUUACACGUACUCUUACGUGAGACAGGUUCCACCGACUGACAUGCACUUGGUGCAUAAGGUGGCUAGCGGGUGCCAGUCUCUCCCACUUUAGUCGGAACGGAUUCGAUGAAAAGGGUCCUUAUGAAGGGUAAAUAGCAAUUGGCAUAUCACAUUGUGGUUUUGCGUAGGUAAGAAACGUUCUUGCUAGAAACCCAUAGCAGCCACGUAAAACAUGCAAACAACAAUUAGAGGACGUCUAACUUGUUUUUUGCAGGGUAUGCUAUGUGAUGUGAUAUGGCCAAGAAGAAUGUGAUGAAUGAUAUGUGAUGUAUGAGAUUGAUCAUGUUCUUGUAAUAGGAAUCACGACUUGCAUGUCAAUGAGUAUGACAACCGGCAGGAGCCAUAGGAGUUGUCUUAAUUUAUUGUAUGACCUGCGUGUCAUUGAACAACGCCAUGUAAUUACUUUACUUUAUUGCUAACCGGUAGCCAUAGUAGUAGAAGUAAUAGUUGGCGAGACAACUUCAUGAAGACACGAUGAUGGAGAUCAUGAUGAUGGAGAUCAUGGUGUCAUGCCGGUGACGAUGAUGAUCAUGGAGCCCCGAAGAUGGAGAUCAAAAGGAGCAAAAUGAUAUUGGCCAUAUCAUGUCACUAUUUGAUUGCAUGUGAUGUUUAUGAUUUUUAUGCAUCUUGUUUUCUUAUAACGACGGUAGUAAAUAAGAUGAUCCCUUAUUAAAAUUUCAAGAAAGUGUUCCCCCUAACUGUGCAACGUUGCGAAAGUUCAUCAUUUCGAAGCACCACGUGAUGAUCGGGUGUGAUAGAUUCUUACGUUCACAUACAACGGGUGUAAGCCAGAUUUACACACGCGAAACACUUAGGUUAACUUGACGAGCCUAGCAUGUACAGACAUGGCCUCGGAACACAAGAGACUGAAAGGUCGAGCAUGAGUCGUAUAGUAGAUACGAUCAACAUGAAGAUGUUCACCGAUGAUGACUAGUCCAUCUCACGUGAUGAUCGGACACGGCCAAGUUGACUCGGAUCAUGUAAUCACUUAGAUGACUAGAGGGAUGUCUAUCUGAGUGGGAGUUCAUGAGAUGAACUUAAUUGUCCUGAACAUAGUCAAAAGAACUUUGCAAAUUAUGUCGUAUGCUCGCGCUUUAGUUCCACUGUUUAGAUAUGUUCCUAGAGAAAAUAUAGUUGAAAGUUGACAGUAGCGAUUAUGCGGACAGUAGAAAGCUUAUGUCCUUAAUGCACCGCUCAGUGUGCUGAACCCCAAACGUCGUCUGUGGAUGUUGCGAACAUCGGACAUACACGUUUUGAUAACUACGUGAUAGUUCAGUUAAACGGUUUAGAGUUGAGGCACCAAAGACGUUUUUCGAAAUGUCGCGGAACAUAUGAGAUGUUUCGAGGGCUGAAAUUGGGAUUUCAGGCUCGUGCCCACGUCAAGAGGUAUAAGACCUCUGACAAUUUUCUUAGCCUGCAAACUAACGGAGAAAAGCUCAAUCGUUGAGAUUGUGCUCAGAUUGUCUGAUUGCAACAAUCACUUGAAUCGAGUGGGAGUUGAUCUUCCAGAUGAGAUAGUGAUGUUUCUCCAAAGUCAUUGCCACCAAGCUGCUAGAGCUUCAUGAUGAACUAUAACAUAUCAGGGAUAGAUGAUCCUUGAGGUAUUCACGAUGUUUGACACCGCGAAAGUAGAAAUCAAGAAGGAGCAUCAAUUGUUGAUGGUUGGUGAAACCACUAGUUUCAAGAAGGGCAAGGGCGAGAAGGGACACUUCAUGAAACGACAAAUCAGUUGCUGCUCCAAUAAAGAAACCCAAGGUUGAACCCAAACCCGAGACUAAGUGCUUCUGUAAUAAGGGGAACAGCCACUGGAGCAGAAUUACCCUAGAUACUUGGUAGAUAAGAAGGCUGGCAAGGUCGAUAGAAGUAUAUUGGAUAUACAUUAUGUUAAUGUGUACUUUACUAGUACUCCUAGUAGCACCAGGGUAUUAGAUACCAGUUCGGUUGCUAAGUGUUAGUAACUUGAAAUAAAAGCUACGGAAUAAAUGGAGACUAGCUAAAGGUGAGCUGACGACACGUGUUGGAAGUGUUUCCAAGGUUGAUGUGAUCAAGCAUCGCACGCUCCCUCUACCAUCGAGAUUGGUGUUAAACCUAAAUAAUUGUUAUUGGUGUUUGCGUUGAGCAUAGACAUGAUUGGAUUAUGUUUGUCGCAAUACGGUUAUUCAUUUAAGGAGAAUAAUGGUUACUCUGUUUAUUUGAAUAAUACCUUCAAUGGUCUAGCACCUAAAAGGAAUGGUUUAUUGAAUCUUGAUCGUAGUGAUACACAUUUUCAUGCCAAAAAGGAUAUAAGAUAGUAAUGAUAGUACCACUUACUUGUGGCACUGCCAUGUAAGUCAUAUUGGUGUAAAACGCAUGAUGAAGCUCCAUGUUGAUGGAUCUUUGGACUCACUCGUUUUUGAAAAGUUUGAGACAUGCAAACCAUGUCUAUUGGUGUAUACUCAUGAAGAAACUCCAUGCAGAUGGAUCGUUUGGACUCACUUGAUUUUGAAUCACUUGAGAUAUGCAAAUCAUACCACAUGGGCAAGAUGACUGAAAAGCCUCGGUUUCAAUAAGAUGGAACAAGAUAGCAACUUGUUGGAAGUAACACACUUUGAUGUGUGUAGUCCAAUGAGUGCUGAGGCAUGUAGUGAAUAUCGUUAUGUUUUACUUCACAAAUGAUUUAAGUAGAUACUGUAUAUUUACUUGAUGAAACACAAGUCUGAAUUAUUGAAUGGUUCAAGUAAUUUCAGAGUGAAGUUGAAGAUCAUCGUGACAAGAGGAUAAAAUGUCUAUGAUAUGAUCAUAGAGAUGAGUAUCUGAGUUACGAGCUUUGGCACGCAAUUAACACAUUGUGGAAAUUGUUUCACAAUUAAUACCGCCUGGAACACCAUAGUGUGAUGGUGUGUCCGAACAUCAUAGUUGCACCAUAUUGGAUAUGGUGCGUACCAUGAUGUCUCUUAUCGAAUUACCACUAUCGUUCAUGGGUUAGGCAUUAGAGACAACCGAACUCACUUUAAUAGGGCACCACGUAAUUCCGUUGAGAUGACACUAUGAGAACUAUGGUUUAGAGAAACCUAAGCGGUCGUUUCUUGAAAGUUUGGGGCUGCGAUGCUUAUGUGAAAAAGUUUCAUCGUGAUAAGCUCGAACCCAAAAUGGAUAAAUGCAUAUUCAUAGGAUACCCGAAACAGUUGGGUAUACCUCCUAAUUCAGUCCGAAAGCAAUAGGGAUUGUUUCUUGAAUCGGGUCCUUUCUCGAGGAAAAGUUUGUCUCGAAAAUUGAGUGGGAGGAUGGUGGAGACUUGAUGAGGUUAUUGAACCAUCACUUCAACUAGUGUGUAGCAGUGCACAGGAAGUUGUUCCUAUGGCGCCUACACCAAUUGAAGUAGAAGCUUAUGAUAGUGAUCAUGAAGUUUCGGAUCAAGUCACUACCGUACCUCGUAGGGUGACAAGGAUGUGUACUACUUCAGAGUGGUACAAUAAUCCUGUCUUGAAGGUCAUGUUGCUAGACAACAAUGAACCUACGAGCUAUGGAGAAGCGAUGGUGGGCCCAAAUUCCGACAAAUGGUUAGAAACCAUGAAAUCCGAGAUAGGAUCCAUGUAUCAGAACAAAGCAUGGACUUUGGUGGACUUGCCCGAUGAUCGGCAAGCCAUUGAGAUAAAUGGAUCUUUAAGAAGAAGACGGAUGUAGACGGUAAUGUCACCGUCUAUGAAGCUCAACUUGUGGCGAGAAGUUUUCACAAGUUCAAGGAAGUUGACUACGAUGAGAUUUUCUCAUUCGUAGCGAAGCUUAAGUCUGUCGGAAUCAUGUUAGCAUUAGCUGCAUUUAUGAAAUCUGGCAAAUGGAUGUCAAAACGAGUUUCCUUACUAGUCUUCGUAAGGAAAGGUUGUAUGUGAUACAAUCAGAAAGGUUUUGUCGAUCCUAAGGAUGCUAAAAGGUAUGCUGGCUCCAGCGAUCCUUCUAAGGACUGGAGUAAGCAUCUCGGAGUUGGAAUGUACGCUUUGAUGAGAUGAUCAAAGAUUUUGGGUUUAUACAAAGUUUAUGAGAAACUUGUGUUUCCAAAGAAGUGAGUGGGAGCACUAUAGAAUUUCUGAUGAGUAUAUGUUGUUGACAUAUUGUUGAUCAGAAAUGAUGUAGAAUUUCUGGAAAGCAUAUAGGGUUAUUUGAAAGGUGUUUUUCAAUAGAAAACCUGGAUUAAGCUAGUUGAACAUUGAGCAUCAAGAUCCAUGAGGAUAGAUCAAAAACGCUUAAUGGUACUUUCAAAUGAGCAUAUACCUUGACAUGAUCUUGAAGGUGUUCAAGAUGGAUCAGUCAAAGAAGGAGUUCUUGCCUGAGAUGUAAGGUAUGAAGUUAAGACUUAAAGCUCGACCACGGCAGAAAAGAGAGAAAGGACGAAGGUCGUCCCCUAUGCUUUAGACGUAGGCUCUACAGUAUGCUAUGCUGUGUACCGCACCUGAUGUGUGCCUUGCCACAUGUCUGGCAAGAGGGUACAAAGGUGAUCAAGGAGUGGAUCACCAGAUAGCGGUCAAAAUUAUCCUUAGAGCAAUAAGGAUAUGUUUCUCGAUUAUGGAGGUGAUAAAGAGUUCGGCGUAAAGGGUUACGAUGAUGCAAGCUUUAACACCUAUCCGAAUGACUCUGAGUAGCAAACCGGAUACGUAUAGUGAAGCAACCAUUUGGAAUAGCUUCAAGUGGAGCGUGGAAGCAGCAUUUACAAUAUGACAUAGAGAAUUGCGAAGUACAUACGGAUCUGAAUGUUGCAGAAUCGUUGACUAAAACCUCUCUCACAAGCAAAACAUGAUCAAACCCCAGAACACAUUGAGACUUAAUUACAUGGUGAUGUGAACUAGUUUAGACACUAGUAAACUCUUUGGAUGUUGGUCACAUGGCGAUGUGACCUGUCUGUUUUAAUCACAUGGCGAUGUGAACUAGAUUAUUGACUCUAGUGCAAGUGGGAGACUGUUGGAAAUAUGCCCUAGAGGCAAUGAUAAAUUAGUUAUUAUUAUUAUAUUUCCAUGUUCAUGAUAAUCGUUUAUUACCCAUGCUAUAAUUGUAUUGAUAGGAAACUUAGAUACAUGUGUGGGUACAUAAACAACACCAUCUCCCUAGUAAGCCUCUAGUUGACUAGCUCGUUGAUCAACAGAUGGUUACGGUUUCCUGACCAUGGACAUUGGAUGUCGUUGAUAACGGGAUCACAUCAUUUGGAGAAUGAUGUGAUGGACAAGACCCAAUCCUAAGCCUAGCACAAAGAUCGUAGUUCGUAUGCUAAAUCUUUUCUAAUGUCAAGUAUCAUUUCCUUAGACCAUGAGAUUGUGAAACUCCCGGAUGCCGUAGGAAUGCUUUGGGUGUACCAAACAUCACAACGUAACUAGGUGGCUAUAAAGGUGCACUACAGGUAUCUCCGAAAGUGUCUGUUGGGUUGGCACGAAUCGAGACUGGGAUUUGUCACUCCGUGUAAACGGAGAGGUAUCUCUGGGCCCACUUGGUAGGACAUCAUCAUAAUGUGCACAAUGUGACCAAGGGGUUGAUCACGGGAUGAUGUGUUAUGGAACGAGUAAAGAGACUUGCUGGUAACGAGAUUGAACAAGGUAUCGGGAUACCGACGAUCGAAUCUCGGGCAAGUACAAUACCGCUAGACAAAGGGAAUUGUAUACGGGAUCGAUUGAGUCCUUGACAUCGUGGUUCAUCCGAUGAGAUCAUCAUGGAACAUGUGGGAGCCAACAUGGGUAUCCAGAUCCCGUUGUUGGUUAUUGACCGGAGAACGUCUCGGUCAUGUCUACAUGUCUCCCGAACCCGUAGGGUCUACACACUUAAGGUUCGAUGACGCUAGGGUUAUAAAGGAAGUUUGUAUGUGGUUACAGAAUGUUGUUCGGAGUCCCAGAUGAGAUCCCGGAUGUCACGAGGAGUUUCGGAAUGGUCCGUAGGUAAAGAUUUAUAUAUGGGAAGUCCUAUUUUGGUCACCGGAAAAGUUUCGGGUUUUAUCGGUAACGUACCGGGACCACCGGGAGGGUCCCGGGGGUCCACCAAGUGGGGCCACCGGCCCCGGAGGGCUGCAUGGGCCAAGUGUGGGAGGGGACCAGCCCCAAGUGGGCUGGUGUGCCCCCCCACAAGGGCCCAAGGCGCCUAGGGUUUGGGGAGGGGGCGCCCCACCUUGCUUGGGGGGCAAGUUUCCCCCUCUCCACCCCUUGGCUGCUCCCCCUAGAUGGGGUCUAGGGCUGGCCGCCGCCCCCUAGGGGUGGAAACCUAGGUGGGGGCGCAGCCCCCUCUCCCCCUAUAUAUAGUAGAGGCAUAGGAGCAGCCCAACACAUGAGUUUCUUCUCCUAUUGGCGCAGCCCUACCUCUCUUUCUCCUCAUAUCUCGCGGUGCUUGGCGAAGCCCUGCUGGACUACCACGCUCUUCCAUCACCACCACGCUGUUGUGCUGCUGCUGGAUGGAGUCUUCCUCAACCUCUCCCUCUCACCUUGCUGGAUCAGGGCACGGGAGACGUCACCGGGCUGUACGUGUGUUGAACAUGGAGGUGCCGUCCGUUCGGCACUGGGAUCUCCGGUGAUUUGGAUCACGACGAGUACGACUCCUUCAACCCCGUUCUCUUGAACGCUUCCGCUUAGUGAUCUACAAGGGUAUGUAGAUGCACUCUCCUUCUCCUCGUUGCUGGUUUCUCCAUAGAUAGAUCUUGGUGACACGUAGGAAAAUUUUGAAUUUCUGCUACGUUCCCCAACACAAACAUAGGUCAUUUCGAACCAAAGAGAACAUAGCUGUCAGUACCCUUUUGAUUGGCACACUGCCGAGCUCACUAGGGGGCUUCUUUGUCGUAUUCGAAUCAUAGCUUAACCCCUUUUGGGAACCGACUUUGAUCGUAUUCGAAUUGGAGUCGUUAAAAAACUCUCAAGGUCAUUAGGGGGCUUCCUGUUCAAACAUAGGUCAUAUUCGAACCAAAGACAACAUAGUUGUCGGUACCCUCUUGAUCGGUGCAACGCCAAAGCCACUGGGGGCUACAUGAUCGUAUUCGAAUCCUAGCUUAACCCCUCUGGAACGGUUUACUGAUCAUAUUCGAAUCAGCAGCCUUGAAUUUUUUGUUAUUUUAUUUGGUUUAAGUUUUCUUCGGAAGCACCCUUUAUUUGACUUGAGAUUUUUUCUGAGGUUUACAAAUACGAGUGUGGUUAAUUUUAACCCGGCUUAAUAUUGGCUGAUACGUCGCCAAUGUAUGAGCAUCAUUAUACCUUUGAAAAUAUUGGUGUCCAAAGAUCGGGUUAUCACCCUUACUGACCGGGUCUCAUGAGCCGGCGGUGCAAAUUCAAAAGGUCGCAGGUGUAAGAUUAUAGUUGUGUUUUUUCAAACAUCAUAUGAUACAACAAACUUAUCUGUGACUCUUUUUAUAUAGUUAUUUUGACCCACCUGACGGUAAGCCGCCAAGGGAUCUUGUGGUCUGUUUUCAUGUGCAGGACAGUUAAAAGGUUUGGUCAAGCAUACGGAAAGCAGGUGAACAGUACACACGGGUGAAUGUAACACGACAGCUUAACGACAUUAAGCAAUAAAAUGUGCAUGAUGGCACGGCCAAAGCAAAGUUAUUUCUACUCUAUUACAUGACUCCUUGAGUCCAGAUGAUUCACAUUGUUUUUCAGCACGUCAUAGGUGUGAGCCGCCAUGGCAGGUUAGCCUUCAUGAUUGGCCUGAAGCGUCCGAGUUAGCACUCUCCGCGUCUUCGCCCUGUUCCCUUUCCUGGAAGGUUGACGAUGACUAGUCAAUGUUGUUCAAAGCUUCAAAUUCGGCUUCAUCAUCAACUAGAUCGGCCGGGUUAACUUUAGGGGCGAAGGUGUGCUUACGGAGUGGGGGAUCAGACUGGUCACUUCAUAAUGAGGCGUCAGAAUUCUCCGGUUCUCUUCAUCAUAACCCGCCUGGUACUUGGUAAGAUCCACUUGAUUUGCUAUCAGGGUAGCCACGGGGCGUAUCUCCUUCACGCAAGCAGUAAAAUCUGCUUCUUCAAAAGGAGUUCCAUCUUCCUUUAAGCUUGGAUAGCCAGUGGCAAUGUCGGCCGGGUCUAACUCUGAUAGCCAAGCCUUGGCCCGACUUAAAGCAUUUACUGCUCUGGCUCUUGUAGCUGACCGCCUCAGUUCAUUGAACCGUUGGGGUAGUACGGAAAGCUUCUUAAAGACCUCUACCAGGAGGGUAGGCACUUCAUUUGACAAGGCCACUGUGGCUAAUGCACAUUGAGACCCGGUAUAUAAUUGCUCCACCAAGGUGUACACUCCCUUCAGCUUGAUCAGCAUAUCUUGGUUCAAAUUGGAGCUUCUGGGGCCUGCAUAAACAUGAUCAGGUGAGUCAAUUCCAAUUAUAUGAUCAACUGAAAGGUUCAAAUGUUUAAACGCUUGUAGGGCGACUUACCAAAGAUUGCCGAGACCAUUUGAGAGACUUGGCGCUUUAAGCCGGUUAAUUCAUCGGUUGCGUCUUCUAGAGCUGCCUCUGCCUUCUCAGCUCGGUUAAUUAAAGUUGUUCUUUCAUCAGCCCAGGACUUCUUUUCAUUAUCAAAUUCUUUCUUCAGUUUUUCUUGUUCAAAAAUACUGAAUUUGAACUUGGUAUUGGCCUUUUGGGCCUCCAUUUCUUGGGCCUCAAGGCGGCUCUUCAGAUCAGUCACCUCAGAUUCGAGUUGACUCGUGGCGGCCUAUGCAAAUACAGGGUCAAAAUCAAGUCAAUUUUUAUGCAGUAUUAAAGUCCCAAGCCUUUUGCCAGCAACAAUGCUUGGCACUUGGGGGCUAAUGUUUGCCGAAGAAUUUUACUUUCAGCAGCGGUUCAUAACACAGCGGUUCAUAACAGUAAGUCCCAAGCACUUUUGCAAAACAAUAAUACUUGGCACUUGGGGGCUAAUGCAUAUUGCGGUUCAAAGCUCUGUAAAUACAUUUUUUAUAUAUAACCAUUUUAAGGACCGGUUUAACCAUGUUGGUUAAGCCGCCCCUUGGGGACUACAGAGUAAGCCGUAUUUUUUCUGUCUUAUUCAUCUAUGUUACUAAUGUCAUUAAAUUUAUUUCUAAGUCUACAGCAUAUUCAUCAUAAGCAAUAGACUUGGGGGCUGGCAUAGUAAAGAUAAAUGAAUACAGAGAAAGGGUUGUACCUCAAAUUUUUGGUACAUCUGUUUCACCAUGUCAAUCUCAAGAUUCCGGCUACUGUGUACUUGGCUCAUGUAGCCAGAAAAGAUGUCUCCAAUACUCAUGUGAGCAUAGUUUGUAACAUCCAGCUUGACCCGGCGGUGUUCUAGAAGUUCCUCCUUGGCGGGACAUUUGGCCAGCAGAGUUGGCCUUCCCGGCUCAACAAAGCCGAUUCUGGUGAUCUCAACAUCAGUGUUUUGCGGGUCAUCUAUCCUGACCGGGCUAGGGGCUUCUGGAUUUUCUGACUCAUCGGCGGUUAGUUCAGCGGGCAGGUCAGCAGCGGGGGUUGGUAUGUCUUGAGCUGGCCCAGAUGGCGGCUCAUGAGUUGAUGAGUCUGGCACAGCUAUUUCAAGAACUAGCUCGGUCAUGACCGUGUCUUCAGCUGGCUUGCUCUUCCUAACCCAUUUCUUGGGCUUGGCUUGUCCACUGCGUCAAAAUAAAAGGUUAGUUCAGAUGCAAGGGAUUAAAGUAAAUACAAGAUAAGCAGAUUAUUAUACCCUGGUGCAGUCUUGAAAGCCGGCAGGUUGGACUACAUUGAGUCGUCGGAGGAAGGAGAAGUUUCCUGAUAAUCUGAGUCAGAAGAAUUGAGAGGUUGGCGAGUAAGACCCGCCAAAGGAUAAAAAGAAUUUAAAUCAGAGGUGACCUCAUUCCGGCGCCUCUUUGGGGUGUUUGGUAAGCCUGAGGAGAGCUCCGCAUACUUGCUGGUCCGGGUCUGCCUCCGGCUCUCAUGAAUCUGCCGCUUCAGAAGAAAUUGAGGAUCGUGAUGAGCUAAAGGAUGAGAAAUUGAGGACCUUACUUUCCGGGUCACUCUGCAGAUUUUCCGUUUUGGCAAAGGCUCAGAGUCAAAGGAAAGGAUAGUUACCUCAUCAGCCUUGUUACAGCUUGCUUAUAUGUCCUCCUGCUGAUAAUCAGUGUCAAUAAGAUGGUUAAAAAAUGAGCCAAGGGAAUCAAGGGCUACCUCCGACUCAGAAGAGUCUGCUAGCCGAAGCAGGUUAGAGGCGGUGGCCUUUUUGCCCUUCUUCUUAGCAACCUCUUUUCUGGCAGCUUUUUUCUCCUUCCUGGCUCUCUUGGCAGCCUCAUGGUCAUAUUUGACCUUCCAGAAUUUAUCACCCGCCUGCAAAGAUUAACAUAUGUAUGAGUAUGGGUGAAAUAUCGAAAAAUCAAGGUAAUUAUUUCAUAUGGGUGGCUUGCCUUUGGAGCCGGGGUAGCUUUACAGAAGGGGGCUAAGCCUACCUUGCCACAGUCUGCCAGGCUCUCGUUCAAAAGAGACUUGGUCAUAUCAUCGAUGACAUCUUCAGGCAAGUCAUCAGAGCUGUGUUGCAAAGGUUCAUCCUUUGCGCCCGUAUAAUCGCACAUCAAGCCGGGGAGGCGGCUCAACGGAAUGACCCGCCAGGUGAUCCAAACCCGGACCAGGUCGAUGCCUAUUAAACUGUUUCCCAGAAGGGCCUUGAUCUUGGCCAAAGUGGGGGCGAGUGAUUUGCGUUCAGCGGUUAUAAUCUUGUCAGGCAAAUGAUGGUUGGGCCCAAGACAAAGAGCGCGAAAGCCAGGCAGAGGGUUUUCACCAGCCAGAGAGGUGUCUUGGCAGUAAAACCACAUCAUAUUCCAAUCUUUGGGGUGGCUCGGCGGGUUGGCGUAAGGAAAGAUCAUGUCCCUAUGGCACUGGAUUGAGACACCGCCAAGCUCUAAGCUCUGACCGCUAGCGCACUCAUUCUGGCGGUUCAAAUAAAAUAGCUCUCUGAAGAGCAGUAGAUUGGGUUCUUCUCCAAGGUAUACUUCACUGAAUACUUGAAAGUUGCAGAUAUUAGACAUGGAAUUGGGUCCGAUGUCUUGUGGGUGAAGAUCAAAGAAAUGCAACACGUCUCUGAAGAAUUUUGAUCCAGGUGGAGUAAAACCCCGGUUCAUAUGAUCCGUGAAAACAAUAACUUCUCCUUCUUUGGGCUGAGCGAAUUCCUCCUCCAGGUUAGGAGCACGAUAAGUCAUAACUUAUUUCUUUGGUAGAUAGCUGGUCUUCACAAAAUCAUCAAGAGUAUUGUCCGUGACAAUGGACUUAACCCAGUUGCAGGAACUGGGUGCCUUUAGUGCCAUUAUGAUUGAAAAGCCUAAGACAGAGUAAAAGGUACCGGUUCAAAUUUAAGCCGGGUAGGAAAAAUAUUUCAGCGCAUAUUCAAGAUGGCGGCUUACGAAGGGGCCUAAUGGUAUAAGGAUGAUUAUGUCAAGGUUAUUUAAGCUGCCAUAGGCUCUAUAAGACGCCAGGAUUAUUUAAACCGACGUGAGUGGUCGGAGUUAUCAAUUGAGCAUUGUUUCCUUAAAGCCGGCGUUCAGAGUCACCAUGGUUAGAUGAAUCUAACAAAUGCAGAUUUUUUUCCUAAGUGUUGUACAAACAUGUUUCACAAUUUGCAGCCAUUAUUUUGGAUCAAACAGAUGUUCAGAAAAGAAAAUUUUCUAGACCUAAAACAUGAUGCAAAGAAGUUCAUGCAUUCCAGUGGGGAUUUUUUACAAGGAAAGAAGAUCUACUAGUAUCUAAAAUGGAUGCGGAGCAACUACCGCACGAGAUCUACGCUACUGUUGGAUCAAAGAAACCAUGACAGAAGCAAAUGCGAAGAACUAGGAUGAACAGGGAACUGUACAGAUGGACUCGCUAACCCUAGCAUGGAUGUAUAGAGCAGAGAGGGGAAAACUUACUACGAUGGAUCUGCUGCGGUGGGGCAACGCUGUUUUCUUGUCAAGUUAAGGUCGAUGCAGCGGCCUAGGUCGACAGAGACGAGAUGUGCUGCGGUGGCGGCGGUGGAGCUCCAGUGGCAGAUGGGGGCGAGAGGAAGAAGACACGAACAGGAAGAAUGAGGAAGACCUAGUCGGGUCUAUUUAUAAGGAAAGACCACCAAAAGAGCGCGAAAAACGAGGAGGCCGAAAAUAUAAGUUAUCCAACUACAAGGACUCCUCGAUUUUCGGGAUGGUCAUCAAGACAAAGAUCCAUUGGGAUACAUUGAAUAAAACGUGCUUUUAUGACAGGUGACGUCAUGGCGGGUUACCACAAAUCCAGAGGAUGACGUCAUGGCGGGUUACAAAAAUUUCAUAAGAGCAGAAGAUUUUUCUGAAAGUAUCAAAGAUUGACAUGAACCAGUUCAAAUCAAUCUGGGGCCUAAUGUUGGGGAUAUAACUAUUGGUAUGACCCGCCCAGGAGGGCCGGGUUAUACUUACAAAUAUUGUUGAAGCCCAAGACCCAGGAUAGAUAUGGCGGUUCAAUUAAGGGCCCAAAGCCCAGAGGCGACUUAAGGCCCGUAGUGAUAAACCGCCAUGUAUGCGUGACUUGUAUUGUGAGGCAAGAAUAGUUAAGAGACCGAGCCACACAUUGUUUAUGAGCCGGACGGGACUCUGUAGAGCCGCUGGGCGUCGACCUCUGUAUAUAAAGGGACGACCCGGCGGCGGUUCAGGGCAAGUAACAUCAACUUGAGAGCUAGGUCAAGCGAUUCGCUCCCUGGUUAUCGAGACAUAAGCAAUCCCACUCAAAACUGGAUCGUAGGCUUUUACCUUCACCGUAAGGGCCGAACCAGUAUAAACCUCGUGUCCUUUGUCCCAAUUAACCCCUUUAAGCUUCCUAGUUGCGAUGGAUCCACGACUAAGUCCUUUCACAAGGACAUCUGCCAUGACAAUUCCACGACACUUCGUGAUGCUGAAAUCGACGAAGGUAGAAAUCAAGAAAAAGCAUCAUGUAUUGAUGAUUAAACAAGACCACUAGUUUCAAGAAAAGGGCAAAGGGUAAGAAGGGGAACUUCAAGAAGAAUGGCAAGCAAGUUGUCACUCCCGUGAAGAAGCCCAAAGCUGGACAUAAGCCUGAAACUGAGUGCUUCUAUUGCAAAGGAAAUGGUCACUGGAAGCGGAACUACCCCAAAUAUUUGGCGGAUAAGAAGGAUGGCAAAGUGAACAAAGGUAUAUUUGAUAUACAUGUUAUUGAUGUGUACCUUACUAGUGUUCAUAGUAGCCCCUGGGUAUUCAAUACUUGUUCGGUUGCUAAGAUUAGUAACUCGAAAUAGGAGUUGCAGAAUAAAUAGAGACUAGUUGAGGGUGAAGUGACGAUGUGUGUUGGAAGUGGUUGAAUGAUUGAUAUGAUCAUCAUCGCACACUCCCUAUACAUUCGGGAUUAGUGCCGAACCUAAAUAAAUGUUAUUUGGUGUUUGCGUUGAGCAUGAAUAUGAUUAGAUCAUGUUUAUUGCAGUAUGAUUAUUCAUUUAAGACAGAGGAUAAUUGUUAUUCUGUUUACAUGAAUAAAACCUUCUAUGGUCAUACACCCAAUGUUAAUGGUUUAUUGAAUCUCAAUCGUAGUGAUACACAUAUUCAUAAUAUUGAUGCCAAAAGAUGCAAAGUUGAUAAUGAUAGUGCAACAUAUUUGUGGCGAUGCCGUUUGGGUCAUAUCAGUGUAAAGCGCAUGAAGAAACUCCAUGCAUAUGGACUUUUAGAAUCACUUGAUUAUGAAUCAUUUGAUACUUGUAGACCGUGCCUUAUGGGCAAGAUGACUAAAACCCUGUUCUCCGGAACAAUGGAAGGAGCCAACGACUAAUUGAAAAUAAUACAUACUGAUGUAUGUGGCCCGAUGAGUGUUGAGGCUCGUGGCAGGUAUCGUUAUUUUCUGAUCUUCACAGAUGAUUUGAGCAGAUAUGGGUAUAUCUACUUAAUGAAACACAAGUCUGAAACAUUUGAAAAAUUCAAAGAAUUUUAGAGUGAAGUGGAGAAUCAUCGUAACAAGAAAAUAAAGUUUCUCCGAUUUGAUCGUGGAGGUGAAUAUUUGAGUUACGAGUUUGGCCUUCAUUAAAACAAUGUGGAAUAGUUUUACAGCUCAAGCCACCUGGAACACCACAGCGUAAUGGUGUGUCCGAACAUCGUAACCGCACUUUAUUAGAUAUGGUGCGAUCUAUGAUGUCUGUUACCGAUUUACCACUAUCGUUUUGGGGAUAUGCAUUAAAGGCAGCUACAUUCAUGUUAAAUAGGGCACCAUCAAAGUCUGUUGAGACGACACCGUAUGAACUGUGGUUUGGCAACAAACCUAAGCUGUCGUUUCUUAAAGUUUGGGGAUGCGACGCUUACGUGAAAAGGCUUCAUCCCGAUAAGCUCGAACCCAAAUUGGAUAAGUACGUCUUCAUAGGAUAUCCUAAGGAAACAAUUGGGUACACCUUCUACCACAAGUCCGAUGGCAAGAUUUUUGUUGCUAAGAACGAAACCUUUCUAGAGAAGGAGUUUCUCUGGAAAGAAGUGAGUGGGAGGAAAGUAGAACUUGAUGGGAUAAUUGUACCUACUCUCAACUUGGAAAGUAGCUCGUUCGAGAAAUUUGUUCUUGUGAUGCCUACACCAACUGGAGAGGAAGCUAAUGAUAAAUAUCAUGAAGCUUCAGAUCAAGUUGCUACAUAACCUCGUAGGUCAAACAGAGAACGAUCCGCACAAGACUGGUAUGGUAAUCAUGUUCUGGAGGUCAUGUUACUUGACCAUGACAAACCUACGAACUAUGAAGAAGCUAUGAUGAGCCCAGAUUCCGAUAAAUGGCUUAAGGCCAUGAAAUCUGAGAUAGAUCCAUGUAUGAGAACAAAGUGUGGACUUUGAUGGAUUUGCCUAAGGAUCGGCGACCCGUAGAGAAUUAAUAGAUCUUCAAGAAGAAGACUGACGCUGAUGGUAAUGUUACUAUCUAUGAAGCUUGACUUGUCGCAAAAGGAUUUUCGACAAGUUCAAGGGGUUGACUACGAUGAGGCUUUCUCAACCGUUGCGAUGCUUAAGUCCGUCCGAAUCAUGUUAGCAAUUGCCACAUUUUGUGAAAUCUAGCAAAUAGAUGUCAAAACUACAUUCCUUAAUGGAUAUCUCUAAGAAGAGUUAUAUAUGAUACAACUAGAAGGUUUUGUCGAUCCUAAAGGAGCUAACAAAGUGUGCGAGCUCCAGCGAUCCAUCUAUGGACUGGUGCAAGCAUCUCGGAGUUGGAAUAUACGCUUUGAUAAGGUGAUCAAAGCAUAUAGUUUUAUACAAACUUUCGAAGAAGCCUGUAUUUACAAGAAAGUGAGUGGGAGCACUAAUUCUGAUAAGUAUAUGUGAAUGACAUAUUGUUGAUCGGAAAUAAUGUAGACUUUUCUAGAAAGCAUAAAGGAGUGUUUGAAAGGAGUUUUUCAAAGAAAGACCUCGGUGAAGCUGCUUACAUAUUGGGCAUCAAGAUCUAUAGAGAUAGAUCAAAACACUUGAUAAGAUUUUUCAAUGAGUACAUACCUUGACAAGAUUUUGAAAGAGUUCAAAAUGGAUUGGUCAAAGAAGGAGUUCUUGCCUGUAUUACAAGGUGUAAAGUUGAGUAAGACUCAAAACCCGACCACAUCAGAAAAUAUAAAGAGAAUGAAAGUCAAUCCCUAUGCCUCAGCCACAGGUUCUAUAAAGUAUGCUAUGUUGUGUACCACACCUAUUGUGUACCUUAUCAUGAGUUUGACAAUGGGGUACGAUAGUGAUCCAGGAGUGGAUCACUGGACAGUGGUCAAAGUUAUCCUUAGUUACCUAAGAGAACUAAGGAAAUAUUUCUUGGUUAUGGAGGUGAUAAAGAGUUACGUCGAUGCAAGCUUUUACACCGAUCCAGAUGACUCUGAGUCUCAAUCUGGAUACAUAUUGAAAGUGGGAGAAAUUAGCUAGAGUAGCUCCAUGCAGAGCAUUGUAGACAUAAAAAAUUUGCAAAAUACAUACAGCUGUGAAUGUAGCAGAUCCGUUGACUAAACCUCUCACACAAGCAAAACAUGAUCACACCUUAGUACUCUUUGGGUGUUAAUCACAUAGCGAUGUGAACUAGAUUAUUGACUCUAGUAAACCCUUUGCGUGUUGGUCACAUGGUGAUGUGAACUAUGGGUGUUAAUCACAUACAAAUGUGAACUAUUGGUGUUAAAUCACAUGGCGAUGUGAACUAGAUUAUUAACUCUAGUGCAAGUGGGAGACUGAAGGAAAUAUGCCCUAGAGGCAAUAAUAAAGUUGUUAUUUUAUAUUUCCUUGUAUCAUGAUAAAUGUCUAUUAUUCAUGCUGUUGGGGAACAUAGCAUGCAAUUUCAAAAAAAAUCCUACUAUCACGCAAUAUCUAUCUAGGAGAUGCAUAGCAAGGAGAGGGGGAGAGUGUGUCCACGUACCCUCGUAGACCGAAAGCGGAAGCGUUAGUUAACGUGGUUGAUGUAGUCGAACGUCUUCACGAUCCAACCCAUCCAAGUACCGAACGUACAACACCUCCGUGUUCAGCACAUGUUCAGCUCGAUGAUGUCCCUCGAACUCUUGAUCCAAUAGAGGGAUGAGGGAGAGUUCCGUCGGCACGACGGCGUGGUGGUGGUGUUGAUGAUGUGAUCCGUGCAGGGCUUUGCCUAAGCACUACGACGCUAUGACCUGACGAAUAAACUGUGGAAGGGGGCACCGCACACGGCUAAGAGAAAUCUUGGUGUCCCUUUGGGGUGCCCCCUUCCCAUGUAUAUAAAGGAGGGAGGGAGGAGGAGGCCGGCCUAGAGGGGGCGCGCCAAAAGGGGGGAGUCCUACUAGGACUCCCAGUCCUAGUAGGAUUCCUUUUCGAAGUAGGAGAAGGGGGAGGGAGAGAGGGAGGGAGAAGGAAAGGGGGGCCGCGCCCCCUCCCCUAGUCCAAUUAGAUUUGGGUAGGAGGGCACCCGCCACCUCCUGGCCGCCGGCCUCCUCUUUCCACUAAGGCCCAUGAAGGCCCAAUACUCUCCCGGGGGGUUCCCGUAACCACUCGGUACUCCGGAAAAUGCCUGAACCUUUCCGAAACCAUUCCUGAUGUCCGAACAUAACCUUCCAGUAUAUCAAUCUUUAUGUCUCGACCAUUUCGAGACUCCUUGUCAUGUCCAUGGUCUCAUACGGGACUCCGAACAAACUUCGGUCAUCAAAAACACACAACUCUUAAUACAAAUCGUCAUCGAAUGUUAAGUGUGCGGACCAUACGGGUUCGAGAACUAUGUAGACAUGAUCGAGACACAUCUCCGAUCAAUAACCAAUAUCGGAACAUGGAUGCUCAUAUUGGCUCCUACAUAUUCUACAAAGAUCUUUGUCGGUCAAACUGCACAACAACAUACGUUGUUCCCUUUGUUAUCGGUAUGUUACUUGCCCGAGAUCCAAGGUAUCAUCAUACCUAGUUCAAUCUCAUUACCGGAAAGUCUCUUUACUCAUUCCGUAAUGUUUCAUCCCGUAACUAACUCAUUAGUAACAUUUCUUGCAAGGCUUAUAGUGAUGAGCAUUACCGAGAGGGCCCAAAGAUACCUCUUCGAUACACGGAGUGACAAAUCCUAAUCUUGAUCUAUGCCCACUCAACAGACACCUUCGGAGACAUCUUUAGAGCAUCUUUAUAAUCACCCAGUUAUGUUGUGACAUUUGAUAGCACACAAGUUGUUCCUUCGGUAUUCGGGAGUUGCAUAAUCUCAUAGUCAGAGGAACAUGUAUAAGUCAUGAAGAAAGAAGUAGCAAUAAAACUGUAACGAUCAUAAUGCUAAGCUAACGGAUGGGUCUUGUCCAUCACAUCAUUCUCUAAUGAUGUGAUCCCGUUCAUCAAAUGACAACACAUGUCUAUGGUUAGGAAACAUAACCAUCUUUGAUUAACGAGCUAGUCAAGUAGAGGCAUACUAGGGACACUAUGUAUUGUCUAUGUAUUCACACAUGUAUUAAGUUUCUGGUUAAUACAAUUCUAGCAUGAAUAAUAAACAUUUAUCAUGAUAUAAGGAAAUAUAAAUAACAACUUUAUUAUUGCCUGUAGGGCAUAUUUCCUUCACAUGCUAGAAUUGUAUUAACUAGAAACUUGAUACAUGUGUGAAUACAUAGACAAAACACCGUGUCCCUAGUAUGCCUCUACCAGACUAGCUCGUUAAUCAAAGAUGGUUAAGUUUCCUAGCCAUGGACAUGUGUUGUCAUUUGAUGAACGAGAUCACAUCAUUAGUAGAAUGAUGUGAUGGACAAGACUCAUCCAUUAGCUUACCAUAAUGAUCGUUCAGUUUUAUUGCUACUGCUUUCUUCGUGUCAAAUACAUAUUCCUCCGACUAUGAGAUUAUGCAACUCCCGGAUAACGGAGGAAUACCUUGUGUGCUAUCAAAUGUCACAACAUAACUGGGUUAUUAUAAAGAUGCUCUACAGGUAUCUUCGAAGGUGUUUGUUGGGUUGGCAUAGAUCAAGAUUAGGAUUUGUCACUCCGAGUAUUGGAGAAGUGUCUCUGGGCCCUCUCGUUAAUGCACAUCAUAUGAAGCCUUGCAAGCAAUGUGACUAAUGAGUUAGUUGCGGGAUGAUGCUUUACGGAACGAUUAAAGAGACUUGCCGGUAACGAGAUUGAACUAGGUAUGAAGAUACCGACGAUCGAAUCUCGGGCAAGUAACAUACAGAUGACAAAGGAAUAACGUAUGUUGGCAUAGUGGUUUGACUGAUAAAGAUCUUUGUAGAAUAUGUGGGAACCAAUAUGAGCAUCCAGGUUCCGCUAUUGGUUAUUGACUGGAAAGGUGUCUUGGUCAUGUCUACAUAGUUCUCGAACCCGUAGGGUCCGCACGCUUAAUGUUCGAUGACGAUAUGUAUUAUAUGAGUUAUAUGUUUUGGUGACCGAAGUUUGUUCGGAGUCCCAGAUGAGAUCACGGACAUGAUGAGGAGUCUCAAAAUGGUUGAGAGGUAAAGAUUGAUAUAUUGAAAGGUAGUAUUCGAACACUGUAAGGGUUCCGGAGUGUAUCGGGUACAUACCAAAGUACCGGAGGGGUUAACGGAACCCCCCGGGGAAAGAUAUUGGCCAUAUGGGCCAUAGGAGAGAGGCUAACCAACCCACAAGGGUCUAGUGCACCCCCCNNNNNNNNNNNNNNNNNNNNNNNNNNNNNNNNNNNNNNNNNNNNNNNNNNNNNNNNNNNNNNNNNNNNNNNNNNNNNNNNNNNNNNNNNNNNNNNNNNNNNNNNNNNNNNNNNNNNNNNNNNNNNNNNNNNNNNNNNNNNNNNNNNNNNNNNNNNNNNNNNNNNNNNNNNNNNNNNNNNNNNNNNNNNNNNNNNNNNNNNNNNNNNNNNNNNNNNNNNNNNNNNNNNNNNNNNNNNNNNNNNNNNNNNNNNNNNNNNNNNNUCCUUCUCCUAGUCCCUCUCCUUCCCCCUUUCCCCCUCCGUUAGAAGGAAGGGGCCGACUAGGACUAGGAGUCCUAGUAGGACUCCCCCACAUGGCGUGCGCCCUAGGACUGCCUCCUCCCCUCUCCCCCCUUUAUAUACGGGGGCUGGGGGCACCUCUAGGACAUCAAUUGUCUAAGUCGUGUGCGGUGCCCCCCUCCACCGUUUACUAUUCCGAUCAUAUUGUCGUAGUGCUUAGGGAAAGCCCUGCGCGGAUCACUUCACCAACAUCGUCAUCACGCCGUCAUGCGGACGGAACUCAUCGACUCCUUUGUGCCUCUACUGGAUCAAGAGUUCGAGGGACGUCAUCGAGCUGAACGUGUGCAGAACUCGGAGGUGCCGUACAUUCGGUACUUGAUUGGUUGAUUCGAGAAGACGUUCGACUACAUCAACCGCGUUAAGUUAACGCUUCCACUUUCGGUCUACGAGGGUACAUGGACACACUCUCCCCUCUCGUUGCUAUGCAUUUCCUAGAUAGAUCUUGCGUGAGCGUAGGAAAUUUUUUGAAAUUGCAUGUUAUGUUUCCCAACAAGAAGAUCUAGCUAGUGCCCUUGGGAGAAGAUCUAGGUCUCGCCCCUAGGAUCUUUGGAGCCCGGAUGGAGUGUCAUAUAUGGAGGGUUUAAGCACAGAAUCAUGUGAGGGGUUGGAGGAAGACGACAA
This 154105-nucleotide long non-coding RNA is filed under the name Triticum aestivum (bread wheat). Its description in RNAcentral is "long non-coding RNA (TAES_LNC011533)". The record is from RNAcentral. Lineage: Eukaryota; Viridiplantae; Streptophyta; Magnoliopsida; Poales; Poaceae.